UUUAUCCAAUUCUUGUGGCCAUGCAAAGCCCUUGUCUUUCUCUGCCCCACUUUCCACCCACACCUCUCACUCCACCCCCUCACCUCUCCUCUCUCUCACCUCCCACUUCUCCACGGCCACAGCCGCUGCCGACAAGCACACGCCCCAUCUCCUUUCUCUCUCCUCCCCCCUCCGUCGCCGGAAACCCCUGCUGCACCACCUCCCUCCGCCGCUGCCCCGGAAUGACCGUUCUGCUGCCUUAACACUGGGACUCUCUAGCCGGAGAAUUACUUGCAAGGCGACGGAAGUGUCGGUGGCGGAGGAGCCGUCGGCUGCGGGCGAUGGCGAGAACUGGGUGCCAGUGGUGCCGCUGUCGGCAUUGCCCAAGGGGGAGCGGCGCGUGAUUAUACAGGACGGAGAGACGAUUCUGUUGUUGUGAUUAUACACGAAAUUUAUGUGAAGAAUGAAAGGCUCUUUUGAGGCUCAUGCAAGCCAUGUAAGAAUUUUAUGUGGCCUUGGUGUAUAUUAUUAUGUGAUAUUCCUUUAAAUAUUAUGGUCUAAUAAAUAAUAAAACUAAAAUUUUAUUUCCUAAAUUAAAGGUACUUUGAUGAAAAGCAUACUCCUCAUUCUAUAUGGAAAUUGAUCUUCUCUCCAUCCUAUAAAAUAAAUGUUCAGAAAACCUAAGGAUAAAAGGGUUUAGGGAGAACAACACAAUUUCUACUUGGCUUAUUGUUUGGUCUCUUCAAGACUUCUAUAUAGUUUAAAGGUAUGUCUUUUCUCAAUAAUGGAAUUGUGAAAAUCAUAUUAUUCUAUAAUUCUUGACUAUUUUGAUUUAAGUAAAAUUAGGAUUUGAUUUACAUAAUUAAAUAAUUACUUAUGAGUUUCAUUGGUGAGCAUAUAAUACCAUUGACAUAUGUUGAUUAAGUGACAUGUAUACCUUUGAUGCUACUGUAAUGAAGUUUAUGAUAAUAAAAGUUUAUUUUAUCAAUUUUCGAUAUGUUAUAUACAAUGUAUGUUUAUGGCUAAUAUAUAAAGUGAAUGACUUUCUUGAUUUAUGAAAUUUAGUGAAUCGAUUUAUGCAUCAACCGCUUUUGAUUGAACCAAAAGUAUGAUUUUGUUCAUGGUAUUGCAUCUUCAUCAUCAAAAUAGAUAUCUAUAUGUAUGUGAAAUAAAUUAUGCUAUAUAUAUAUGUCAAUAGUGAAUUUUGUGUCUUCAAUGGUAAUGUUUUAACGAUAUACAUAUACUAUAUAUAAAAAACCAAGAAAAUUCUAUAAGAGUAAACACAUUGAGAGGAAGUACCACAUAAUCUAUAGAUAGUACAAAAAGGUGAUAUGGUAGUUUAGAAGAUAUCUUUCGGAAAGAGCCUAAUAGAUUCAUAUACUAAGACAUUGACUGGAAAAGUCUUUGAUUGUAACCGGGACAACAUAGGUGUCAGAUAUGCACCUAAUUUACUUUUAUUGCAUUAUGUUUUGAGGGCUUAUGGAAGAUUGUUAUGAUAUCAUCCUACAAAGCUUUACAUGAUAUAAGACAUUUGGAUUUAUCAUUUAUUUAAUUAUAUUCUAAUUGCUCUUUUAUCUAUGCUUGUAAUAGAGAGUUCCCUACGCUCAGAUCCCAACACUUAUAUCAUAUAAAAUAAAGUUUCAUGCUAGUAGAAUAUCUAAAUAUAUUCUUGGUAGUUUUUGGUCAUGCAUGCAUUCGCAUAACUUUGGGCUAUGCACAAUAAUUUUCCAUAUAAUUGGCUUUUAGGUAUAAAUUUAAUUUCUAUAUGAAAUCGUUCAAUAUAUAACUUUCUGCUACAUGAGUCUAAAAGUUAUUAACUUCCAUGCAUGGUGCGACUGGUGGGGUUUCCAGUCACUUGGAAACCAUGUCCAGAUACAUAUGAAGAGAUCAAUAAAACCAACCUUCCACUUCCUACAAUAAUCGUUUACCAAGUGUAUCUUCAAUCCUAAGCCAGUCUGGUAUUCGUUGUUGCAGCUCCUGUAAACUGGCCUCUGCUUGGUCCAGCUCCAGAUAUAGCUGCUCUACUUCAGCUAUCUUCUCAUUCAAGCGCCUACGAAUCACGUCCCUCUUGCCCUCUGCUUGUGCAUACUCAACUAAAGGUUGCACUCCAACAAAUGGGCUUCUUAACCAAUCAACCUUAACCUGAGCCCUCUCCAAAUCACUCAAUGUUCUAUCAAUGAAGUAGGUGUCUGCACCAGACAGGCUACGGGCAGUAUUCUUCUGCAUCAGCUCCACAAUCUGCAGUAUGGAACCUUUGAUUAUCUCUACAAACUGGGGUGCUGUAAAGGAGCAAUUGGCAGUUACGUCUCCAUAUUUGGUCAAUAUUUGCUGCCAAAUCGACUCCCUGGUAUUGGAAGUUACACCAGAUCCCUCAACCAUCUCAAGAAGCCCUGCAGCGGCUGUGUUAGGAUCUGUGAGAGUUUUGUCUGUGUCCUCAGCUUCAGUUGGAGCGAAGGUAGUUUGGAUCUCCUAAAGCCCAAAAAAGAGAAGGAAAAGUAUAGAACUUGUGCUUGGAAUUAACCAACAAAAAAGAUUAAUUUUGAUGUAAAAGUGCCCAAGGAAAAAUAUUUUGGUAGUUUCAGUUGAAAAUUUUGACAAACCUUGUCAGCUCCCGAAGCACCUUCCACUUCAUCUGAAGGCCAAUUAAGUGUAUCUAGGCAUUGCAACCUGUGAUUAUGCUCAAGAUGAAGUUUUGUGAUCACCCAUUGUCCAUUGUCAAGUUUGACUUGGAUCUGGACAUUGCAACCUGUUCUUGUUUCUGAUCUCUUAUACUUUGUUCCCUGGUUGGGAUGCUUCUUGGUCCGGAAGCCUUCACAUGAACAAAGAAAGCAUCGCCCUUUCAGUGUACCAUUUGCUUUCCUUUGUACCUUUCCUUUUCUUACUGUAAAACCAAUUCUCUUGGCAUACUUUUUACAAAAUUCUUCAGCUUCUAACUCAGAAGAAAACGCCAUCCCUCUCCGUGGUAUCUGAUCAUCGUCUUCAGGAUUUUUCUCAUUUACAUUAACCAAUGUUCCAAUCUCAUCACCAUUUACAUUAAUAGCCAUUUCAGUCUCACCACUAUAGAACGAACUCCACCAAGAAUCAAAAUUAAGCUCAUCCUGUACAAAGUGAGAUAGAGAGAGAAGUUUUCUAUGAGAAAAAUGAGAAGCAAAAAGCGGUACAAUGCAUAACAACAAUUUUCUUCUGUUACACCAACUAUUGAUUCAAACUACAUCUUAUCCUGUAACUCUUGUAGAACAAUGAAUUAAUAUAAGAAGAGUGACACUGUAAGACGGCUUAUAGACAAGUAGAUGGAGCAACAAAUUCUUGAUUUGCUGGUUGCAGCUUUAUUUGGGCAGAAAAGUUCAUGAAUUAUUUAUCUUUAAAAUUAACCGUUGUUCUAGAAAAUGGAUCGAGCUUACCUGGAUAGUGAGGCCCCUGAAGGAACCGCCAACUCUGUGGUGGUUUACUAAAUCAUCAGAUUCCUGUAUGGCACCCCAAACAUCUGGGCGUGAACCGAUGGAACUAUACCUGCCAAGAUGAUAGGGUUCGAUAGACAUUCUGGUGCAGUUGAUGGGUGUGGAUCCAGAGGAUCGGUGCUUGAUUGCUUUGCUUCCGGCUGGACCUUGGGAUCUCGCCUUCUCAAGACAGGACUCGUUUUAUAGCUCUCGCAGCCUGCUGUGUGGGACAGCGUCCCUUUUUCCUUGUUUGCUUUGCUUCCAUUUCCAAAUUCCAACCCACUGCGCUUUGACCAAAUGGUCCAAAUCUCCAUUUCUCGGCGACGUCGGUGCGUUCGGUUCUCUUUUCCCUUGUUUUAUUUCCUUCAGUGCCUCUUUCCUCCCAAGAGGCUACUACUCGCCCUCUCAAAAAGUCAAAACUUUAGAAACAUUAAAUAUAUAUAUUUUUUUUUAAAUAGAGAACUAUCAAAACGGUGGGCGGAAAGUGAUAAUCCUUUUUAAAAGUCAUCAUGUUGACCAAUUCUACUCUUCGAGUAAUCAUUUGAAAGCUUAACCAUUCGAAAUUUUCAAUUAUAUCCUAUUUAAACUUUAUUUUUUUAUUUUUUUUCUUUUGUAUUAUUAUUAUUAUUAAAUAUUAAUAUUACUCUUAAUAUUAUUAUUUAUGAUAUUAGUAUUUUAAAUUAUUCAUAUUAUUAUUAAUAUCAUUCUUAUUAAUAUUAUUUAUUAUUUUUUUAUUAUUAUUCAUAUUUUUAAUAUUAUAUUAAAAAUAAUAUUAUUAUAUUUUUAUUACUACUACUACAAAGAAACCUUAGGAGAUAAUUUAUAUUUUUUAGUUCUUAAAACUUGUAAACUUUAUUAAAAAAUUAUUCUUUUUUUUCAAUUUAUACUUUAUAUGUUAUAUUAAGAUUAAUUAAAUUAUUAUUAUUCUUCUUAUUAUUACUAUUAAUAUUUAUGAUAUUAGUUUUAUAUUAUUAAUAUUUUAAUAAAAUAAUAUUAUAUCCAAGUUAUAGAUAUAAUAAAAAUGCAUUGAUGUUAAUGAUAUAGUAGAAUAAAACAAUGUUUCUAAUAUAGAUAAAUACAACAUUUAUCUAUUGAAUUUAUAACAUAAAUACAUUAAAAAUACAAUAUAUUACAACAUUUUUAAUAGUUUUCAUGUAAAAAUAAAAUAAAAUUUUAUCAUUCAAUGCGCUUUUUCUAUUUGAGUCGUAACACCCGACUUUUUCUUUUCCUCUUUAUCAUUCAACGCGCUUUUUCUUUUCUUUGUUGCGUAAAAUAUUUGAAGUUUUGUUGUGAGACUUGCUUCGAUCACAGUUGUAUUCUCAAUUUUGCAAUUAAGCAAAUUUAGCUUUAUUAGUCAGUUGUGGUUGAUAUAAAUGAACUUUUUCUACUGCAAUUAAGUCAGGACUCAUAUCUCAGACUUGGUGUCUCUACUGCUCAGUAAUGGCUGCUGCUGCUGCUUCUUCUGCGUCUUCUCAGGGGCGCUAUGAUGUGUUCCUGAGCUUUAGAGGGGAAGACACCCGCAAUAACUUCACUGCCCAUCUCUGUGAGGAGUUGCACACCAAAGGAAUCAACACUUUCAUAGACGAGGAGAAGCUCGAGAGAGGGCAAGCCGUAUCUGCUGCACUUGUUUCUGCUAUUGAAAACUCCAUGUUUUCUAUCAUUGUUUUAUCAGAAAAUUAUGCAUCUUCUAGAUGGUGUUUAGAGGAGCUGGUGAAGAUAAUACAGUGCAUGAAAAACAGGGGGCACAGGGUUCUCCCAAUUUUCUAUAAUGUGGCUCCCUCGGAUGUGAGAAAUCACAAGGGAAAAUUUGGAGAAGCCUUGGCUAAACAUGAAGAGAAUUCCAAGGAGGGUAUGGAGAGGGUGCAGAUUUGGAAGGAUGCUCUCACUCAAGUCACCAAUUUCUCUGGUUGGGAUUCAAGGAAUAAGUAAUUAUUUAAAGCUUUUUUUCACUCUUACUUUUAUUUUUUAUUUUUAAUAUUGCCAUUUUAAAUGCUCUUGCUAAUUCAACUAUUAGUUAUUACAACACAAAGGGUAUGAUAAUAUAUACCAUGUUAACAUUAUCUGAUUAAAGGACUGGGUUCAUAGGAUUUAGAAAUAUUUUACUGGACUUUUUUAAAUUAGAUAUAAGAUACCAACCAUAUCUUGACACAUAUUCUCAUAUUCUCUUUAUUUUUAUUAUCUUUUUGUAGAUAGCUGGACUUAUUAUGUGUUUAUGCUUUAAAUAUGACAGGAAUGAGUCUCUACUAAUCAAGCAAAUUGUUAAAGAUAUUUUGAAUAAAUUGUUAUCUUCAUCCGGUAGUGAUACCAAGAAUCAAGUUGGAAUAGAUGCUCACAUACAAGAAAUGGAAACCUUAUUAUGCUUGGCGUCAGAUGAUGUUCGAAUGGUAGGAAUAUGGGGCAUGGGUGGAAUAGGGAAAACAACCCUUGUCAGAGCUGUUUAUAGUCGAAUCUCCUAUCAAUUUGAAGGUUGCUCCUUUCUUGAAAAUGUUGCAGAGGGUUUAAAAAAGAAGGGCUUAAUUGGGUUGCAAGAGAAACUUCUUUCUCAUCUAUUAGAGGAAGAAAAUCUAAAUAUGAAAGAACUCACAUCUAUAAAGGCAAGGCUCCACUCAAAAAAGGUCCUUAUUGUUCUCGAUAACGUGAAUGAUCCAACAAUAUUGGAAUGCUUAAUUGGAAAUCGGGAUUGGUUUGGUCAAGGAAGUAGAAUUAUUAUAACGACUAGGGAUAAACGUUUAUUACUUUCACAUAAAGUCAAUCUUUAUAAGGUUCAUAAAUUCAAUGAUGAUGAAGCUCUUGAGUUUCUUGCACGUUAUUCAUUAAAACACGAACUCCUUCGAGAAGAUUUCCUAGAGCUUUCAAGAGCUGUGAUAUGUUAUGCUCAAGGCCUUCCAUUGGCUCUUACGGUUUUGGGUUCUUUUUUAUUUAGCAUGAGCAAAGAAGAAUGGAGAGAUCAAUUAGACAAAUUAAAAAGUAUUCCUAAUAUGAAAAUUCAUGAAGUUCUUAAAAUAAGUUAUGAUGGGCUAGAUUUUGAGGAGAAGAAUAUAUUUUUGGAUAUUGCAUGUUUCCUUAAAAGAGAGGAUAAAAAUUACAUUAAGGAAAUACUAGACUAUUGUGGCUUCUUCUCAGUUAGUGGUAUACGAGCUCUCGUUGAUAAGUCACUCAGUAAGUUUUUUUCACAAUAGGAUAAUGAUGCAUGACUUAAUACAAGAAAUGGGUAUGGAAAUUGUUCGCCAAGAAUCUCAUACUCCCGGCCAGCGUAGUAGAUUGUGGCUCCAUAAAGAUAUCAACGAUGCAUUGAAAAAAAACAUGGUAAGAGCAAAAAAAUGAAAUUUAUUUUAUGCAACACAAGUUAAGAUUUGAAAUUAUUUUGGCUUAAGUAGUUAUAUGCUAAUAAAAUUGUAGCAGACAUAUAUUUAUUCACUAUGCAUGUUUUUAACUUAGUCUCCUUCUUGGUAUGCAGGAAAAUGAAAAAAUUGAAGGCAUAUUCCUCGACUUGUCUCAUUCACAAGAGAUAAUAGACUUUAGCACUCAAGCCUUCCCAAGGAUGUAUAAACUAAGAUUGCUCAAAGUCUAUGAAUCUAACAAAAUUUCAAGAAACUUUGGAGAUACCUUAAAUAAGGAGAAUUGUAAAGUGCAUUUUUCUCCGAACUUAAGAUUUUGUUACGACGAAUUGAGGUACUUAUAUUUGUAUGGAUACUCUUUGAAAUCAUUGGACAAUGAUUUCAAUGCAAAGAAUCUUGUUCACCUCAGCAUGCAUUAUAGUCACAUUAAACGACUUUGGAAAGGAAUCAAGGUAUGAUUAUGAUGUAUUGAUAUUAUUUUCUUUAAAAAGCGUUUAAUGUGCAUGAAAGCUAAUUUUUAAGUCAACUUUCUUUCAUGGUAGGUUCUUGAAAAGUUAAAAGUCAUGGAUCUCAGUCACUCCAAGUCCUUAAUAGAAACCCUAGAUUUCUCAAGAGUCCCCAAUCUUGAACGAUUAGUUCUCGAAGGUUGUAUAUCUUUGCAUAAGGUACAUCCGUCUCUUGGAGUUUUGAAUAAACUCAAUUUCUUGAGUUUGAAAAAUUGUGAAAAGCUCAAAAGUCUUCCAAGCAGCAUGUGUGAUUUGAAAUCCCUCGAAACAUUUAUUCUUUCUGGUUGUUCGAGACUCGAAGAUUUUCCUGAGAACUUUGGGAACUUAGAAAUGUUAAAGGAACUUCACGCAGAUGGUAUUCCUGUAAGAGUACUACCCUCCUCUUUUUCGCUCUUGAGAAACCUUGAAAUAUUAUCCUUUAAGGGAUGUAGAGGACCCCCAUCUACCUCAUGGUUGUUGCCAAGAAGAAGUUCAAGUUCUACUGGUUCCAUACUGCAUCAUUUGUCUGAUGUAGGACAACCCUAGGAUGGUUGCCUACACUCAAGGGUAGGUGGGCUAGGGUUUUAUUUUUAGGGUGUAAGGAGGGGAACAAGGAAUAAACUUUAUGGUAGAGAAAAUUAUAAGAUAAGAAAAAGAGAGAAAGAAGAAACAAUGAAGAAAAGAUGGAAAACCUUAGAGUCUCACUAAGGCCUUCUAGGAGUCUCACCUAGAAGAAAAUCAAUGGAGUCUCACCAUUGAGGGUUGCAACCUUGCAAUGAAAGAAAGUAUAAUAUUAUUCAUCAAAAAUUCAUUCCUUUGAUUUACAUUGAUUAGCCUAUUUAUAGGCUUCUCUAAGAAAUCCAAAGUCUACUAGGACUCUAAUAACCUAUUCUACUAGGACUCUAAUAGGACUCUAAUAACCUAUUCUACUAGGACUCUAAUAACCUAUCAUGACUCAAAUUCUAAUUAUAUUAAUCCUACUUAAAGUUUACUUAGGUCUUCCCUUUCUUCCUUGAAUAAACUUUAAAAGGCUUUCCCCCAUCAUUGUCAGGUCUAUAUUCUUUAACAAGGCUAAACCUAGGUUAUUGUAAUUUAUCAGAUGAAACAAACCUUAGCAGUCUUUGCCUCUUAUCUUCAUUGGAAGUGUUAGAUCUAUCUGGGAACAACUUUGUUACUUUGCCAAACAUCAGGGGACUUUCUAGCCUAGAAGGUCUGUUGUUGGAGAAGUGUAAAAGACUGCAAGUACUGCCAGAACUUCCAUCAAGCAUAUAUAGUUUAAUUGCGCAAGAUUGCAUAUCAUUGGAAAAUGCCUCAAAUCAAGUACUCAAGUCACUCUUUCCAACUACAAAGUCCCCGAAGAAAACUUUCAAGGUGGGUUCUAUUUGUAUACGAUGUAUCAUAAUUUUAAUUAUAUAUGCAUAUAUAUAAUUAUUUCGAUUCUAUCUCUCUAACAUCCUAAUAAUUUUGAUUCUACAGCGUAAUUCGGGUGCACACUUGAUAUAUGUGAUGGUUUAUGGGAGUAGAAUACCAGAUUGGAUAAGGUAUCAGAGCUCAGGGUGUGAAGUAGAAGCAGAUCUACCUCCAAAUUGGUAUAAUUCCAACUUGCUGGGUCUUGCUUUGAGCUUUGUCACUUAUGUUUUCGCAUCUAAUGUGAUUAUUCCAGUAUCGUAUACCUUGCGCUAUUCAACAUCCAGUUACAUUGCUAACCGCAUUAGUAUCAGAUUUGAUAAGGAAGGUGUAGGGUUAGAUCACGUGUGGCUACUUUAUAUAAAACUCCCCCUCUUCAGCAAUUGGCAUAAUGGAACUCCCAUAAAUUGGCAUGAAGUGACUCACAUCAGUGUAUCAUUUGGGACUCAGGUCAUGGGGUGGUAUCCUCCGAUUAAGAGGAGUGGGUUUGAUCUAGUGUACAGUAAUGAUCAAGACGUGAAUCCCCCAGUGAUCCAAUUCAGUUCUAUCUCCUCUCCUCCUCUUCCGAACAAGUCAACAGUAGUCCUUAAAGAAAUCCAUAAGAAGGAGGAACCCAGUGGAAGUGAGUUGUCGAAUGUUGAUGGCUCAGAAUCAGACAGCUCUGAUUACCAUACUGCUGAUGAGGAAGAACCCACAACUGCAAAAGAAACUGACCGCUCAGAGGAUCACUCUGAAUCAGAGAUGCGGCCGCAGAAACGUUUGAAGUGCAGGCAUUAUGAGGGCAUCCCUUGAUGAUCGGAGAAACAGACCUAAAACUCUUCCCAUAACAUCAUCUCUUGGUAAUGGUAGGUUGUGUGUUUCUUUUCUUUCUGCCUUUCUUUCUUAAUCUGAUUUUCAACAUUUUUGCUUGGGUAGAUGUCUUAAGAUCAUUUAGAACUGUUUAAAGCGGGAACUAAAAAAUCCCAUAACACUGUUUGAAAUUAGAGUACUCUCACAUAUCGUCGAUUUCAUGCUUAAUCAUCCCGGGAUACACAUGGUUCCAUAUCAUUAGAAUCAUUUGUAUUAAUAAUGCAUUCUCAGUUUACUAAUUGUGGCAACUAAACAGAGUCCCAAAAUCUCUCUCGGGGUUGAUCAUCUUCAAUAGAUACGCAUUGUUUUAGCAGUGAUAAUGUAUUUUGUGAAUUGCAGUCGCAUGAUCUCCAUUCCUGUGAGCAUUGCAAUUAACUAGGGAGAUUAUUUUAGUGGGGGUGAUGCUACAGCACCAGCGAAGGAGCAGAAGCAGAAGCAGAAGAGAGAAAAGAUCUUGUAACGGAACCCAAUCUUCCAUAAACUAACUAUUUUUGGAUUGUUUUUCAUUUCUAGAAAUGGAACGACUAUGUAAAUUAAAGGAUUACUGGAUUCUUCAAUUCAAAGAGUCAUCACAAAUUUGAGUCACUACUCACCUACAUUUGAUUUCAUUCCUUCUACUAUCUCCACCUUGCUCCUUAAUUCUUAUAAUGAUAAAUGUGUUAUAUAAAAUUUUGAUUAUAUUUCAUUUAACCAUUUUUGCAUUAGGGUCACAUCUCUUAGUCGUAUAGAUAUUGUUUACUUUAAUCCAAAGGACUCCCACGAUUUUAAAACGCACCUAUAAGGUUAAAAGGAAUCCAUGCAUAUAUAGAUAUAUCACAUCCAAUAGGGUGAAAAAGCUUUUACUCUCUUACGCCAUCCCUUCCCAUGAAACCCUCUAUUUUGUGCCCACCUAUACCUAUCCUUUCCCUCUUUCUCUCAUGGGCAUAUCCUUUGCAUGAUACACAUUUUAAUCAACAAAUUAUAAUUAAUUUGUUCACUAAAAUAUUUCUUUAGGUUGUAUUUGGUUCCAAAAAUUACUAAGAAAAAAAAAGAAAAAUAUAAAGAAAUAUUAUUUUUUCAUAUUUGGUUAUCGUAUGAAAAAUAUAUAAAAAAUCAAAUAUAAUUAAAAUUAAGUAAAAUUUUUUGUAUGUUUAAAUUAUUUAAUUUUUAUAUCGAUGAGUUAAAAUAAAUAAAGUCAGUUUAAAGUAACAAAUAAAAAUAAAAUUUCAAAUUUUAAUCUAUUUUUUUAUUUUUCUUUAUUGUUUUUUUCUUUUACUUUUUCUUUCUAUUUUCUUCCUCCCAUAUUUUCCCCUAAUUUUCCACCUUAAAAUUGUAUUUUUGUGAUAACUUUCGAAUAUAUUUGACAUAGUGGUUGCCUAGGGUUCAUUCUAAACCAUUUGUUUGGAUUUCGAAUAUAUUUGACAAUUUUUUAAAUCCUUCCUCCCACCUAUACCUAUCCUUUCCCUCUCUCUCACACACACAACCAUCCCGUUCGGGCCAUUCCCAUGAAACCCAUUUUUUCUCUCUUUUCUCAUCCCUCUCACAAAUCACAACCACUUUUUUCUUCCUUUCUUCUCAUCAUUUCAUGUUCUUUAUUUUUUUUCUCUCUCUCUCCCUCUCUUUCUUUUUUCCAUAGCCAUUUUCAUCUGCCCAUCACCGACGCCACCAUCCAUUGUCCGCCGCGACGUGCCACUACCGACGCUGGCGUCACUCUUUCAUGGCUUCCUCCUCUCUCAUCUCAUCAUUUCUCUCUUCUUCUCUCCCUCUAAAAUACCAAGAGCAUGGCAUGGAGGGAAAAUGGGAAGUUCGGGUGAGCUAAACACCAAGGCAACUUGUAGAGUCAUUGCUAUGGCUACUUUCAUCUUGUUUUCAAGACAUGCAUGGGUAUACUCUUUGAUCUCUACACAGUAGAUGUUAGUAAUUUGUGGGUUUUGUUUUCAUUUGAUGUUUUGUUUAUUGAUUUAUAUUUUUGAUGUUGGGUUUGGACUUGUUGGAUUUUGUUUAAUUCUUUUAGGCGUCAAUUAUUAAUGUUAGGCUUGGUUAUUCCAUGCAGACUUGGGCCUGUGCGUAUUGAAUAUUUAGGUUGGGCCUCAUUCCUUGAUUUGAGCCUGGUAGGGAGGUUUUGGACUUGACCUUGGGUUAAUUUUAUCCUUUAUAGUUCAUUUAUGAUUCAUUGUCGUGUUUAGAUCAUUCAAAAAAUUUGUUUUCAACUAUGUUCUUGAAAAUAAUUUCACUAAAAGUAUCAGAAAUCAGAAGGUGUCCAAUUAGUCGAGUUUUAAAAAUAUUGUUGACAAAUUUACCAAUAAAUUCUUAACAGCCCAACCACCCAAAAUAUAAUUGCCUACUUGAAUGAAAUAAAUAAUAAACUUUAAUUUAUACAAAAUAUUUAUUAUUAUAAUUAAUAUUUUAAUAUCCUUCAUUUAAAAAUAAAAUGAAUAAAUAAAUAAAUAAUCAACACAGACUCUUCUUCAAUGAUCGCAUUUAAUUUACUGCAAAUUUUGCUAAGAGUAUAUUAUUCCCAAUUCUCAUUUUCAUACAUAUUCUAUUAUUUUUCUUUUGCAAAUAAUCAAAUAUAGUUAUCUGUUUGUUUGAUUUGUUCAUCAAUUUGGAAUUAUAUGUAUCUUUUUGUUUCCCACUGGAUAAUUUAGGAUUCACAACUCAAAAUUUCUGAAUCCAUCUUCUCCACUCCUCAUAAUGGCUGAUCCUUCUUCUUCUCCCUUUCUUUACAACAGGGCUAUAACGUGCUCUUGAGCUUUGGAAGAGAAGAGAAGACACCCACAAUAGCUUCACUGCUCAUCUCUAUAAUGAGCUUGAAAAGGUGUUUAUACUUAUGAUAUCUUAAUCUAAUUUCUAGAUUUGGACUCAAUUUUUCGUAAUCAUGUUUUUUUUAUUAAAAAAUGAGUUACAUUAGAAUUUUAUUUCUUAUAUUAUUUUUCUUUAAAAACAAAUAAAAAUAAGUAAUGGCUCUAAUUUUUAAAAAUUAAUAUGUUUUUUAAUAAAAAUGAGUUUCACCAUUAAAUGGAAAUACAAGUAAAACAUACAAAUCAUAGUUUCAUUGUUGUUUUCCUCUUAUGAUCUUUUAUGUUUAUAAAGAGAAAUAUGAAAAAAGUAAUACAAAAGGUAAAAUUAAGUCCUUAUACAAAUUCUAAAAACUGAUGACCCCAUAGACUACUUAUCCUUGCCAAUUCACACUGUUCCACAAUUUUGCAUGUUCACAUUGCUCAAAAUAAAACUAUUAUAGAUCAAAAGAUGCGUCUAGGUUCAAAGAGUUUAGCAGAUUUUUAGGAAUGCUAGUUGAAGGGUGAGAUGAAGAAAUCUACUUGUUGCUGAGUAAGUUGAGGAAAAUGGUCGAAAGCAGGACAUCUUGCAAAGGAAGGAAGAAGAAAUCGGUGUCCGUUUCUCACUUUGAAAUGGAGCUUAGAAGGUUGGAUUGUUCGAUUAGUUAUGGAGAUUUUGUGUUCACUUCCAAAAAGGGUGGCAAAAACUAUUGGGAGCUAAUUUUGGUGGAUUGAUGAAGAUCAAAUCCUCUCUUGGAAUGUUAGAGGGCUCAAUGACAGGGAGAAAUAAAAACUGCUUAAGUCAGUGAUUAGGUCUCAGAAGAAAGAUUUGGUUUGUCUUAUUGAGAUGAACAUGCAGGAGAUGUUGUUAAAGGUGGUGAAAAGUCUGGAUGUUGGUAGGUUUUUGGACUAGGGUGUAGUUGAUGCUAGGGGAGUGUCCGGAGACAUCUUGAUUUUUUGGGACAAUAGAGUUUUGGAUCUUCUAGAGCUAAAAUGUGGAGGUUUCACCAUCUCGAGUAGUUUUAGGAAUGUGGAAGAUGGUUUUGUUUGGGUAUUCACAGGUGUCUAUGGUCUAGUCCUCUCAAGGAAGAGAAAAAAAAAAAGACUUUUGGGAUGAGUUGGGUGUAAUUAAAGGUAUGUAGAACGAUCCCUGGUGUGUAAGAGGGGAUUUCAACUCUGUUAGAUUUCCAAGGGAAAUGAGGAAAGAGGUCAGUUUAACGGCAAAGAUGAGAAGAUUCUAUUAAGUCAAUGAGGAACUAAGACUAAAAGAUUUACCCCUUUCUGAUGGUCAGUUCACGUGAUGUGGUGGCUCAAACUCUCAAGCAGCGUCAAGGUUGUAUCAUUUUUUAGUUUUUAAUGAAUGGGAGGACCACUUUUCAAGUGCCUUCCAAUGCGCUCUUCCUAAGAUCGUCUCUGAUCACUAUCCUAUUACACUAGAGGGUGGAGGGGUUAAAAGAGGUAAGACUGUGGACCCACAUUUUUCACGUGCGUCCCCACUCGAUCGGCGAGACUCGCUUUUUAUUACUAGUGAAAAAAUAAUUUUGGAAAAAGUCGGAAUCGCCACUUAUUUUAUUUUUAUUUUAAAGGGAAAAUAAAACAAAAAAGAAAAACCUUAAAAUGUGACUCCAUAAUUUUUGGAAAAAACAUGUCUUUGAAAAACCUGAGUUUAGGUCCAGGGAUCAAGUUACUUAUUGGGAAGGUACCUCUAGGAGGUAGCACCCCUCUAAGCCUAAAAGAGGUCUCUACUUACUAAGUUGGGGGAAGUGUGGCAAUUAAUUAAUUAAUUGAGGAUACCUAGAUAGGCUAAGGUGAUUUCAAAAAUAACAUGCCAAACAUGAUCAAAUUACAAUAAAUGAGAGUUAGGGUGCAUACCUGGACUGCUUCUUAAGCGCCAUCUAAAGACAUCAAUGAUUAGUUUGGAAAAUAAAACGCACAACAUAUAUUUUAUCCUAGUCUCUUAAUCAAACAUGGCAAGCUAAACAAACAAUAAAAAAGAUAUGUUGAAAAAUUUGAGAAUCGCAUACGAAGCAAUACAUAACGAUCAUAUAUAAAGCAAUACAUAAUUUAUGGAAUUAAGAUACGAAGGUAAGAAGCAUACCUGAAUAGCAUGGGUAACUCAUAAUGCUCUUCCACAAGACAUGAGGGGUUAGAUAAUAAAUAAUGAGAUAAAUUCUAGCAUGCUUGUUAUCUAAUUAGCAUAGCAAAAAUUAUCAGAGUAUACUAAUUCAUCAAUUAUCACAUAGUCUUGUAUAUAAUUCCUAAAAAAAUUGAUAUGAUUGUAACAACCAACAAAGGUGGUAGCAAAAAUAAGUUUUGAAUAUAUUUUUUUGUGUAGGGGUUUCACCAAUUCCCCAAUUGAUAUACACAAAUCUAACCUAGAAUUAUCCCAUUUAUGUGGGACCACAAGCUUGGAUUCGUGUUUGAUUUAAAACCAAAAUUUUCAUUAAAAAAACCGAGAAAGAUGCAAACCAAUAAAAAAAAAUGGUUGCAUAUUAUUUUAAGAAAAUGGGGUUUUUGAUUCUAAGGACUCUAAAUGAAUUUUUAAAAUAGGUUUUUAUAAGGAACAUUUUGGGAAAAGUAUUUUAUUUUAAAGGGAAAGACAUUAUUCACAAACAAACGAUUCGCAAAGGUCAAAUAUAGGCAACCCAAAAUAAAACAAAAUCACAAAGUAAAAUUUUCUCAAUAAUCAACAAAACUAAUAAAGGUGAGGGUAGAGGCCAAUCUUCAUGAUUUGCCAAUGGCCUCUAAAAAUUAAUCUUCACAAAAAAAUAUCAAAGCAAUAAACUAAAUGAUUUUAGAUCAGAUAAGAUUAGAAGAUAUUAAUCAGGAGUUAAAAAUGGGGAAUCAAACACAGAAGAAUAAUAAAAAAACUAACAUAAGAUCAAUUAAGCUAAUUAACUAAAAUUUUAGAGAAACAUAUGAACUAAAUUAUGAUUAAUCCAAGAAUGAAAAUUUAUACAUUUAAGAUGAAAAUAAUACAACUUAAGAUCAAUUAAAACAGUUAUCUAAAGCUUUGAAAAAACAUACAAACUAAAAGUGGACCAACCAAGAAAUAAAAUUAACAAGUUCAGAAUAUGAAAAUGACAUGGAACCAAUCAACUUAAACAACCCCAAGUCUUAAAAACUCACGUACUAAAAGAUGAAAUAAAAAAAUAAGAUUAAUAUUGGAAAACAUAAAUUCAAUUGCAUAGGAUCAAUUAAACUAAUAAACUAGAAUUCUAAAACCACUUAAACUAGAUAACAUGAAUCAAAACAAGGAUAAACAAUUUUAAAAGACAUGAGAUUAAUUACAUGGAUCAGCCAAAUUGAUAAACUAAAAUUAAAAAAAAAAAAAAAGAACCUAAACUAAAUAGAUAAAUCAAAACAAAACUAAAGCAAGGCUAAAAACAUGAACUUUAUCAAUAGAAUUGGUUAAAUUAAUGAACUAAGAUUAUAUAAAAAAAAAAAUGCAAACCAAACAAAUAAAUUGCAAUUAAACUAAAACAAGAUCAGAAGCAUAAAUUUUAUCAAUAAAAUUAAUUAAUCUAAUAAACUAAACCAAGAUUAUAAAAAUACAUCAACUAAAAAGAUGGGACAAAACAAAAUCAAAACUCGUUUUAAAAAACAUAAACCUUAUCUAAUAAAAUUAUUUAACUAAUGAAUUAAAAUUACUAUUACAUUCAAACUAAAACUAAACUAAUGUGGAAUUAAAAAAAUAAACUUUACUUUACAAAUUACUUAAACUAAGGAAUUAAAGUCACUAACACACUCGAAUUAAAUCAUAAGCUAAAAUUAAGUUAAUCCGGAAUUUUAAAAAAUAAACUUUACUUCACAAAUUACUUAAACUAAGGAAUAAAAAUCACUAACUCAUUUAAAUUAAAUCAUAAGCUAAAAUUAAGUUAAUCCGAAAUUUAAAAAAAUAAACUUUACUUCACAAAUUAUUUAAACUAAGGAAUUAAAGUCACUAACACAUUCAAAUUAAAUCAUAAACUAAAAUUAAGUUAAUCCAGAAUUUUUAAAAACAAAUUUUAUCUCUCAAAUUAUUUAAACUAAGGAAUUAAAGUCACUAACACAUUCAAAUUAAAUCAUAAACUAAAAUUAAGUUAAUCCGGAAUUUAAAAAAAUAAACUUUACCUCUCAAAUUAUUUAAACUAAGGAAUUAAAGUCACUAACACAUUCAAAUUAAAUCAUAAACCAAAAUUAAGUUGAUCCGGAAUUUAAAAAAAUAAACUUUACUUCACAAAUUACUUAAACUGAGGAAUAAAAAUCACUAACUCAUUUAAAUUAAAUCAUAAACUAAAAUUAAGUUUAAAAAAUAAACUUUACCUCUCGAAUUAUUUAAACUAAGGAAUAAAAAUCAUUAACACAUUCAAAUUAAAUCGUAAACUAAAACUAAAAGGUGGAUUAGAACUAAACUAAUUGAGAAUUUAAAAAACAAAAUAAACUUUAACACAAAGAAUUAAUCAAAAACUGAAAUUUGUUUUAAAAGAAAUCUAGACUAAAUAAGAAUAUUAUAUGGAAAACUAACCUGUGAAGUGAAAGAGAAAAUCCCUUCUUGGUGACUAAGGUGAUAGCCCGGUCUCUGCCUGAAGUCCCUUGCUCUCCUCUAAAGUUCCGCGUGAAAAUUCUUUCUGUCUCUUCCCCUCUGAAAAAAAGUUCCUUAUGCUUGGAUUCUCUCCUUUAUUUAUAAGGCAACCCACUCCUUAUGGAAUAUCUUAUUUCCAUUUUUUCUACAUGCCCGUGGAUAUGGGAAGUCCAUUAUGUGUGGCUCACUUGGACAUUUCCCCAAGGAUGCAGCCGUAUCUUGUUUGGUAAGUGAUCAGAUCCCUUUUAAUCUUCUUUCCAUAUGCUCCCGGAUUCCUUCUUAAAGCAAAUCAUAUGCAGCCCGGAUUGUUCUUAAAGCCGUGAUCUGCCCACUUUCUAUAUGCAGCCCGGAUUCCUUCCAAGUUUCCCUAUUUGGCCGUGAUCUCCUCUCCUUGAUGUCUUCAAUUGUUUCCUUAUCUCCUAGAGCCACCUUUCCUUAAACUCUCCCAAAACGUAUCUUCCAAUCUCAAUAUGGUAUCCAUUCCAUCUCCAAUGAUCAAGCAUCCAAGGAAAUCCCACAUUCCAAAUAUCAAUACCGUGCACAUCUUCCAUACAUUUCCUAUAAAAUUUCAAAUAAAUAAGGACAAGUAAUAAAAUAAUAAUAAUAAUAAUAAUAACAAUAACAAUAAUAAUAAUACUAAAAAAAAUAAAAAUAAAAAUAAAUAAAAAUAUUUACACAAAAUUAUUAAAUUAAAAUAGAUAAGUAAGGACAAGCAUUAUGGAAAAAGUGACAAAAUAAUAAGGAAAUAAAAUAGAUUAAGAAAUAGACAAGAUAAUAAAUAAAAUAAAUAAGAAUUAAAUAAUAAAAAGUCAAGUCAUGCAACUUUAAAAUAAACAAGUCAUGCAAGUCAUGCAAGCCAUACAAAAAAUGCAAUCAUGCAAACAUGCAAAAAAUUGCCUGAAAGGUGACCUAAGUGGGCCUAAAUGAGCCUAAGUAGGCCAAGUGUAUCUAAAUGGGCUUAGGGUGUCUAAAUGGGCCUAGGGUGCCUAAAUGGGCCUAGGGUGCCUAAGUGGGCCUAGGGUGCCUAAGUGGGCCUAGGGUGCCUAAGUGGGCCUAGGGUGCCUAAAUGGGCCUAGGGUGCCUAAAUGGGCUUAAAGUGCCUAGGUGGGUCUAGGGUGCCUAAAUGGGCCUAGGGUGCCUAAAUGGGCCUAAGGUGUCUAAAUGGGCCAAGAGUGCCUAAACGGGCCUAGAGUGUCUAAGUGGGCCUAGAGUGCCUAAGUGGGCCUAGAGUGCCUAAGUGGGCUUAAGGUGCCUAAGUGGGCCUAGGGUGUCUAAGUGGGCCUAGGGUGCCUAAAUGGGCGUAGGGUGUCUAAAUAGGCCUAGGGUGCCUAAAUGAGCCUCGGGUACCUAAAUGGGCCUCAGGUGCUUAAAUGGGCCUUAUGUGCCUAAAUGGGCCUAGGGUGUCUAAAUGAGCCUAAGGUGCCUAAAUGGGCCAAGAGUGCCUAAACGGGCCUAGAGUGCCUAAGUGGGCCUAGAGUGCCUAAGUGGACUUAGGGUGCCUAAAUGGGCCAAGGGUGUCUAAGUGUGCCUAGGGUGUACUAAGUGGGCCUAGGGUGGUGCCUAAUGGGCCAAGUGUAUCUAAAAACUAUCCUAAAAAUGAAUGAAAAGCCUAAGUCUAAAUUAGGGCUGCCAAGGGUCACAAUAAGGGGUCAGAUAAUCCCUAAACCAAAGUCUCCGAGGUGGCUAAAAAAAGGUAAGUAGUGUGAGUAGCUAUGGGCCACCAAGGAACUACUGUAAAGUAUCGAAUAAGUAUCUAAUAGGACAUGUGCUAGGAGGACAAAAUUGAGGGUCUACAAAGACCCAUUUCCGUUUUGAGAAUAUGUGGCUAUUAUCGAAUGGUUUCAAAGUGUUAGUGAGGAAGUGGUGGACCGAGUACUUGAUUACAAGGAGUAGUAGUCAUUGUCUUGAUGAGACAUUGAAGGGCUCUUAAAAAGGAUCUCAUAGUGUGGAAUAAAUAAAUUUUUGGCAACCUCUUCUUUAAAAAAUCAGAAGCCUUUUCUCGAGCUCAUUUUUAGGAUUCCAAGAGAGAGUUAAUCCCCUCUCUAUUAAGGAGGCAAAGGCUAGAAAAGAGGUUGUCAAGGAGUAUAAGAAAUGGUUUUUAUUGGAAGAAGCUUCUUGGAGACAGAAAUCUAGGGAAAUCUGGUUAAAGAAGGGCAACAAAAACACCAGGUUUUUUCACAAGGUGGCCAAUGCUCGGGCAAGAAGGAAUCUAUUAUCCAAGGUGAAAAUUAAUGGGGUUAUUUUAACUAACAAUGAGGAUAUCAAGGCUAAGGUGUGCAGGGCUUACCAAACUCUACUGACUGAAAAUGGGGACUGGAGACCAAGCCUUGGGAAUCUUCAAUUUAGAGUGUUGGAAAAAGAUAGGUCCAGAAGUUUAGAGGAGCCUUUUUGGAAGAAAAGGUGUUUAAAGCCCUUUCCAACCUUUGUGGUGAUAAAAAGUCAAGUCCAGACAACUUCACCAUGGCGUUCUGGCACUUCUGUUAGGAUUUCACAAAAGUUGAGAUUAUAACCCUCUUUGAAUAUUUCUUCUACCUUGGCACAUUCCAAAGGAGUUUAAACUCCACUUUCCUAGUUCAGAAAAAUGGGUGCAGAAGAGUUGAAAGACUUCAGACCGAUUAACCUGGUUGGUGGACUAUACAAGUUGUUUGCCAAAGUCCUGACAAACAAGUUAAAGUCAACCAUGGGGAAGUUGGUUUUAGACAGUCAACAGGCCAUUAUGUGGACCCGCAUUUUUCACGUGCGCCCCCACUCGAUCUGCGAGACUCGCUUUUUAUUUGUGAAAAAUUAAUUUUUGGAAAAAAAGUUGGAGUCGCCACUUUUUUUAUUUUUAUUUUAAAGGGAAAAUAAAACAAGAAAGAAAAACCCUAAAUGUGACUCCAUAAUUUUUGGAAAAAGCAUGUCUUCGAAAAACCCGAGUCUAAGUCCGGGGAUCAGGUUACCUAUUGGGAAGGUACCUUUAAAAGGUAGCACCCCUCUAAGCCCUAAAAAGGUCUCUAUUGACAAAGUUAAGGGGAGUGUGGCAAUUAAUCAGUUAAUUAUAGAUACCUAAGUAGGCUAGGUGAUUCCAAAAAUAGCAUGCCAAACAAGAUCAAAUCACAAUAAAGGAAGGUUAGGGUACGUACCCGGACCGCUUCUCAAGCGCUAUCAUAAAACAUAAGAGAUUAGUUUGGAAAUAUAACACAUAAUAUGUAUUUUAUCAAAGAUGAUCAAACAUCAAGACAAUCAAUUAUGGCAUUAGACAUGGUCAUGAUUCAUGAUAACAUAUAGAAUUUUAGAGUUGAAGGGUAGAAGGAGCGUACCCGUUUAGCGAGCAUCCACACGUCUAUGGGAACAAGGGUAUCUCAACAAUAGAUAUAAAGUGAAUUCAAGUAUUGCAUCAAGAAGAAAAAAAAUCAACAUAUCAAGCAAACAGUAUUGAAGUGAGUGUUAUGAAUGUUGGGCCCCCACCAAAGCCCUAAUUAAUUUCGCAUGAGUUGAUCCCAUAAAUUCCAUGACUUGAAAUUAUGGAGUUUGUUCGUGCUUAAGAAAAUCGAGAAAAAUCAAGAAGAUCGGUUGAAAAUCAAAUAAAAUAGUGAAAGCGCAUGCCAGAAGAAAAAUGGCAGCAAGAGUAUGUUAGAAUAUGGAUUUUAUACCUAGAAAGGAUCUAAGAUGAAUUUUUCAAAGCCAGGAAUGUUUAGUUGAACAAUGAUUAAAAAAUUCAAUUUAAAAAAAUAAGUUCCCAAUCAAGGAAGCAAAUAGAGGAGAAGAUGUGUAUAGCAAGGUUGCCAUGAAGUGAAGCCAGGGAAAUUUUGGAUAGAAGGGACCAAUUCACUGCAAGAGCGUUCAACUGUCAAAUGCUUCAACGAGCCAAGCUAUCCAGGUGGAGUGUUAAUCGUUGGCCACAAAUGCUAUCCGAAUAAGCGUUAUCGAAGGAUCCGGACAUGUCUGUCCAGGGGAAGUUGAAUCGUCCUCAUCUCCCAUCUGGUGGCAGGCGCCGGAUGUGAAAUAUCUGGAGAAGGUGGAACGUCGGUCGGAUAGAAUUGCGGCGGUGAGAUAUCCGGAGAAAGCGGGGUGUCGGCCGGAUAGAAUGGCGGCUAUGAGACAUCCGGGUGGAAUUGGGAUGUUGGCCGGAUAGAAUGGCGGCUGUGAGACAUCCGAAGAAAGUGGGAUGUCAGCCGAAUAUAAUGGCGGCUGUGAGAUAUCCGGAGAAAGUGGGAUGUCUGCCGGAUAGAAUUGCGGCUGUGAAACAUCCGGACAAGGUAGAACGUUGGCUGGGCAGAAUUCCGGAUGUGAGACAUCCGGGUGGAAUUGGGAUGUCGGUCGGAUAGAAUUGUGGUUGUGAGAUAUCCGGAGAAAGUGGGAUGUCGGCCAGAUAGAAUUGUGGCUGUGAGAUAUCCGGAGAAAGUGGGAUGUCGGCCGGAUAGAAUUGUGGCUGUGAAACAUCCGGACAAGGUAGAACGUUGGCCGGGCAGAAUUCCGGAUGUGAGACAUCUGGGUGGAAUUGGGAUGUCUGUCGGAUAGAAUUGCGGCUGUGAGAUAUCCGGAGAAAGUGGGAUGUCGGCCGGAUAGAAUUGCGGCUGUGAAACAUCCGGACAAGGUAGAACGUUGGCCAGGCAGAAUUCCGGAUGUGAGACAUCCGGGUGGAACUAGUGAGAAUUUCCGUCCGGGUGGAAUGAGCGAUGCCACAAACCAAGAACCCUCAAGAACUAUGGUAACCUCUGCAUCUGUUUAACCCCAAGAAAAACCCGUUUUACACAGCCUUUAUCAAGUUCCCAUCUUUCUUGGAAUGCUCAUGGUCUCCAUAUCCAAGAAUACCAAGGUAAAGAGAGGAAAGAAACGUAGAUACAGAAGCACACAAAAAGACCAAGAAAGAAAAGAAAAGAAAAAACAGGGGAAAAGAAGACCACCAGUGGGUAUUUUGAAGCCAGAUUGGGACAUAAAUGGGGGCAAGACCCAUAACAUCAAAUUCAAAGGUAAACCUAUAUUCAGAUUACUUUCAGAGGAAACCAAAGACAUUAAAAGGAAUAUUAAAAUAGCAUAAACAUGCAAGUAAACCAGUCUCAACUAAUCAAAUUGUGGCCCUUGCGUCCACACCAAACGACGAGAAUGAAUCUUCAGAAAACUAAGAAGUCAGGAAAGAUUGAAACCAAAUGGUGAUAUAGCAAAAAUCUGGAAACAUACCUGCACGUUCUCCUCUCCAAUUGCUUGGUUCCAGGCUGCUGCACCUUUUCCCGACUGAAAAAUCUGCUCCCCAAACCUUUUUCCAUCCACCAAUCUUCUCCCUCUCUAUACAUGUUCCAAGUCCCUCUCUUCUAUGCUUCCUCUUCCAAACCCCUCUCCUGCCCCCCAAACCUUUUUUCGUCCGCCAAUCUUCUCCCUCUCUACACGCGUUCCAAGUCCCUCUCUUCUAUGCUUCCUCUUCCAGACCCCUCUCCUGCUUUCUUUUCUCGCUAAUGCCCCACUUGUUCUUUUUCUUUUCUCCUUAUAUUCGUAUCAGCCUCUCAAACUCAAUCUGCUCAAGAGAAUCCACUUUCCUUUCUUCUAUUUCCCUUCAUUUUUUCAAAAAUCAAAAUGCUUCUCUCUUCUCAUGCAGGAUCUUCUCUUUCCAUAUGUAUGCAGCCACAUUAAUUCCUUUUUCCUCACAAAAUAUUUCUCUUACCUUUUUGAGUGCACAUACCUUAGUGAGAGUUGAAUAGCAACCCCUAUUCUCUUAUCAAGUCAUACAAAAAAGUGGGUCUAAAAGUGCCUACUGGGCCAAGUGUGUCUAAGUGGGCCUAGAGCGAUGCCUAAUGGGCCAAGUGUACCUAAAAGCUAUCCUAAAAAUAAACGAGAAAGCUUAAGUCUAAAUUAGGGCUGCCAAGAGUCACAAUAAGGGGUUAGAUAAUCCCUCAACCAAAAUCUCCGAGGUGACUCAGAAAAAGGUAAGUUGUACGAGUAGUAAUAGGCCACCAAGGAACUACCGUGGAGCACUGGAAGUGAAUUUAAAGACAUGUGCUAAAGGGACAAAAUUGAGGGUCUACACAUUAUUCAAGGUAGGCAUAUUUUCGAUGUUGCCCUUAUAGCAAAUGAGGUUGUGGAUUCUAAGUUAAAGGUCAACAUUCCUGGCCUUCUCCUAAAAUUGGACAUUGAAAAGGUGUUUGACCAUGUCAAUUGGGACUAUCUUCUUUUUAUUAUGGCUAAAAUGGGGUUUGGGGAAAGAUGGAUUAGCUAGAUUAGUUAGUGUAUUUCCAUUGCUAGCUUCAGUUUUAAUCAACAGAACUCCAUUCGGCUUUUUCCAUAACACUAGAGGCUUGAGACAAGGGGACCCGUUAUCUCCCUAUUUUUUCAUUUUGGUCAUGGAGACUCUCAAUCAAUUGCUAUCUAGAGCCAGUUGUGGGGACUUCAUUAAGGGGUUUAAGGUGGGAAGAAGUAGUGGGAAGGGAGAGACUUGCUUCAUUUCCCAUUUGCUAAUGACACUCUAAUUUUUUGUAAUGUCAAUAGCAACCAUCUGAGAUACUUGAGUUGGGUGUUUUUGUAGUUUUAGGCAAUCUCGGAUUUAAAAGUGAAUAGAGAUAAAAGUGAGGUUAUUACCAUAAGAAGGUUAGAGUCUUGGGAGGAUGUUGCUUCGGUGAUGGGGUGUAGAGUUGGGAAGCUUCCCACUUCUUAUUUGGGACUCUUUUUGGGUGCCUUUUUCAAGUCUUCAAGGGUAUAGGAUGCAAUGGAUGAGAGAUUUAGAAAAAAAUUGUCUCUAUGGAAGAGGCACUAUCUCUCUAAGGGGGGAAGGCUCACCUUGAUAAAAAGCACUCUAUGAGGUCUUCAAAUUUAUUUCCUUUCUCUCUUUGUUAUUCUGCGGAAGGCGUGUGUAAGACUUGAAAAGAUUCAAAGGGACUUUUUGUGGGGCGGUGGUGUCUUAGAGAAAAAACCCCACUUGGUGAAUUGGAGCUUGGUUUGUACUUAUAAAAGGAGGGGGGCUUGGGAAUUUGUAGACUUGUGGUUCUAAACAAAGCCUUACUUGGGAAGCGGAGUUAGAGAUUUGCAGUAAAGAGUGAUACCUUUUGGAAACAAGUCAUAAUCAACAAAUUUGGGUUAGAGGAAAGAGAGUGGUGUUCGAGAGUAGCAGGGAGAGGCUACGGUGUGGGGGUGUGGAAAGCCAUUAGAAAAGAAUGGAAGAGUAUUUGUUGCAGAUAUCGCUUUAUUGUUGAGAAUGGGAAGAAGGUCAAAUUUUGGAAGGACUUGUGAUGUGAGGACUAAACAUUGAAAGAAGUUUUCCUUAACUUAUACUGGUUGGCUGUUAAUAAAGAUGAGUGGGUGUCAAAUGUUUGGGAAGGGAGUGAGGAGUUGGGUUGUUGGAAUCCUCACUUCCCCAGGCAUUUUAAUGAUUGGGAAUUGGAGAAAGUGGAGGGUUUGUUCCUGAAACGGCAUCCUUUGGUAGUGAGAAGAGAAGUGGGGGAUGUAUUGAGUUGGAAAGAAAGUAGGGAUGACAUUUUCUCUGUUAGAUCCCUCUACCAUUCCUUCACAAGGGCCUCUAGUGAUCCUUUUCCUUAGGAUAUUAUUUGGAGGUCUUGGACUCCAAUGAGAGUACACUUUUUUUCUUAGGAAGCAUCUUGGAACAAAAUUUUAACCCCUUGAUCAGUUCAAAAGAAGGGGAUAGAAUAUGCCGAAUAGGUGCUACUUGUGUAACGAGAAAGAGGACACUAACAAUAAUUUAAUCUUAUUUUGUGAAAAAAUUACAAUGCUUUGGAGUUUGAUUUUCUCCAUUUUUGGUGUGUAGUGGGUUUUGCAUUCUUCAAUUAAAAGGAAUUUGCUUAAUUUGCAUGAUGUCUUUGUGGGUAAGAAGAGGGAGAAGGCUUGGAAGGCUGCCCCUUUAUGUUUAAUGUGCACCUUAUGAAAGGAAAGAAAUGAAAGAGCGUUCAAUGAUAUCGAACAAUCAAACCAAGCUAUAAAACAUUCAUUUUUGUAUACUCUUGUAAAUUAGGUUAGGGUAUUUAUAGAGGAUCAUACUUUGUCUAUGAUUGAUUUUAUAAAUUGACUAUGUCUAGUUAGGAGAAGGUUUUUUGGCUUCUUUGCCUAAUUUCUUGGGCGUUCUGAUUGUAUACUUCAUUUGUACUUUUUUUUUGCCACUUCUAGGCGUUUCUAAUACAAGCUUUAUUUACCUAUAUAUAUAAAAAAAAAUGCUUCCACUCCUUUGCCUUGCUUUUGAAGUAAACUAGUUUUAUUUUGACCAAUUAAUGUCACACGGCUUUUAUCUUACCUUCUAUCCUUCAAGCUUUUGAAGCAAAUAGUUUGACCAAUGUCACACGACUUUGACCAUCUCUUCCAGCCUUCAUUGUGCUCUCGUCCACCUAAAAAUGGGAGCAUUUUCUUUACCUGUUGUAGAAGCAACUUAUUCCCCUCGUUUACUGCAAGUUUUGUAGUAAAAAAGCAUCAUCACCAAACACUUGUCACUGUUUUUAGUUAUUACUAUUGGUCAUGAUUCUCUUGUGUUUAGAUUUCUUAGUCGUAUUCUUCAGUUAUUAUUAUUAUUAUCUGUUUGUUCAUGAAAUAUUCAUCUGUAAUAUCUAAUAUUAUUUUAAUAGAUUGAUCAAAGCACCUUUUUUCUGCAAGUUAAUUAUUUGAAGUUACAGUUGAAGUCUUUAUAACUUACAUCUCUUCGUCUCUCUGCUUCUCGAUAAUGACUUCUUCUGUUUUUUUUCCUUCUCCUUCUUCCUCAUCUCUCUACUUAUUGACAAUGGCUAUAUAGCUCACAUCUCUUCAUCCCUCCACUUUUCCACGAUGGUUUUUUCUUAACUCAACUCCCUUCAUCUCUCUUUCUCAACAAUGGCUUCUUCUUCUUCUCGACAAUAACUUUAUAACUCGUAUCUCUCUACUUCUCAAUAAUGGCUUCUUCUUCUUUACUCAAAUCUCUUCAUCUCUCUCCUUCUUGACGAUGGCUUUUUCUUCUCAAUAAUGGCUUUAUAAUUCAAAUCUCUUCAUUUCUCUACUAAAUUCCUGAUAAUGGUUUUUUCUUAACUUAAAGCUUUUCAUUUCUCUCCUUAUCGACAAUGUCUUCUUCUUCUUAACUCAAAUCUCUUCAUCUCUCUACUUCUCGUAAUGACGUUUUCUUAACUCAAAUUAUCUUCAUCUCUCUCUUUCUCCUAACUCAAAUCUCUUCAUCUCUUUCCAUCUCGACAAUGGCUUCUUCUUCUUCUUCUUCUUCUUCUUCUUCUUCUUCUUCUUCUUCUUCCCACUAUGAUGUCUUUCUCAGUUUUAGAGGUGAAGACACUCGUAAUUCCUUCACUGCUCAUCUCUAUAGGCAGUUGUGCCAGAAGGGAAUCAACGUUUUUAUAGAUGAUGAGAAGCUUAAGGGAGGGCAAGCCAUAACCCCUGCACUUGUUACAGCUAUCGAGAACUCCACUGCUUAUGUCGUUCUUUUAUCAGAAAAUUAUGCGUCAUCUAGCUGGUGUCUAGAGGAGCUUGUGAAUGAGUGCAGGAGAACAAAGGGACAGAGGGUUCUUCCAAUUUUCUAUAAGAUCGAUCCAUCAGAUGUGGGGAAUCAAAGGGGGAAAUUUGGAGAAGCCUUGGCUAAACAUGAAAAGAAUUUGGAGGGUAGGGAGAUAGUGCGGAUUUGGAGGGAUGCUCUUACUAAAGUUGCCAAUUUAUUUGGUUGGGAUUCAAGGAAUUGGUAAGUUUUUAAACCCUGCAUGUAUUUUUAAUAUGUUUCUAUUAUUAUUAUUAUUAUUAUCAUCAUUAUUAUUAAAAUGAAAAUUGGUUAAGGAAAUAUUAUGAAUGUAUUAUGAUUGUCCACUUAGACUUAAAUAUAGACUUUCAUAAUUAUAGAAUUACAUCUAUUAUGUGAAACCUUUUAUCUUUAAGUCCAAUCUAAAAUUUAAAAUAGAAUAUGAAGAUUUAGAUACUUAGGUGGUGUUUGUUUUUUUACUCUAACUCUAAAUAGAACUUUAAUGCUUAGAGUGCAUUUUGUAGUGAUUUUAGGAAGUGUUUUUACUUUUUUCAACACUCAAAAUUUUUUAUCUUUCAAAUAUCAAAAAUACUAAAAACAUUUCUUAAAAUCACGGUCAAAUGCACUCUUAAUAAUGUUAAGUAUUAGACUAUUUAUUUUUGUAAUAUUUUAUAUCUAUUAAAUAUUAAAAAGUAAAGAAAAAUCAAUAUGAUACUUUUUCUAUUUUUAAAAAAUUAAAUAUAUUGGUUUUUGUACCUAACAAAAUGUUUAUAAUAAGUUAUAAAAAGUAAAAAAAAAAAAAACAAUUUAAAAUUAGAAAGAAAAUUAUUUUUAGCAAAAAAUUAAAAAACCAAACACUCUCUUAGAGUUGGCAUAAGUCAAACUCCUUUUUGAAUGUUUUAUUUAAACAGUGAUUAGUAAAUUUCUAAACUUGUUUCCUUCCCGAAAAAUAAGGAAAAGAAAAAAUUACUAAAGAAAAUUGCAAUACUAGCGGUCACCAUUUAAACCAACGGAUCAUGCCUAUUAUUCUUUGUUCUGCAAUCAUGGCAGGAAUGAGGCUAAGCUUAUUGAGAAAAUUGUCCAGAGCAUUUUGGAAGGCAUGGACGAGCCUUUGAGAAAAUCAAUUGAUGAUGGUAGGGACCCAGUGGUACGAUUUUUUUAAGAAAAUGAGCGAAUUUAUUCUGAGAACUUUGAUACAAUCGACUAGUAGAAUAACGGCUCGUACUCAAUUAACUAGUCGCCAUGGUAGUGAUAUCGUGAGAAAUUUGAUACAGUAGCUAAUUCAAUAAGGGCUUCUAUACAAUCAGCUAAUCCCAAUGAUAUCAUGAAAGAUUUGAUAAAAUUAACUGCUGAAAUAAGGGCUCUUAUAGAAUUAAUUGGUCCUGAUGAUGAUGCUAUCGUGAGAGAUUUGACACAAUUAGCUAGUGAAGUAAGUGCUCUUAUGAAAUUAAUUGGUCCCCUCGAUGAUGCUGUCGUGAGAGAUUUGAUGCGAUUAGCUAGUGAAGCGGAGGCUCGUAUACUAUCAAUUAUUCCCAAUGAUAAUGGUAUCAUGAGACGUUUUGUAGGUGAAACUCAUCAGGUACCUUCGCGAGCAGACAAAAGGCUUCAAAGGCGCAUGGAGCAAGUGCGUUCCAUCUCUUCUGACCAUGUUGGAGAAGAUUUGAAGAGACAAGGAAAACUUCUUUCAAAAGUAUCAGGGUGUAAAAAUCUAGGUUUGAAAUUCCUAUAAGGGCAAGUUUUCUGGGUUUAACACGGAGCACUACGAUAAAGGCAAGACUUCGUGCCAAACAAGUCCUUAUUGUUCUUCACUACGUGAAUGAUUCAGUAGUCAGCAACUAUGCCAAUGCCUCCAUAUUGAUUUUAAUACUAGAUUCUUGGAAUCUCCUGUAUGUGCUGCUUUUGCAGUCCUGUGAUGAUGUGUUUCAUGGCAGCCCUGCUACAAUAUUUUGUGAAUCGAAGUUGAGUGAUCUUCGUUCCUGUGAGGUGGCCGCAUUGGCAAUCCACUGAACUGGGGUGAUGGAGGUCGUUCUAGCGGAAGUGGUAGGAGAAGAAGCAGGAAAGGGAAAAACCCUAAGAAUGGAAGAUUUUGAAGAUAGGAGGUGAUAGAUAAGGACUGACUCCCACUGCUUGCCAAGGAGCUGAAGCUUUUGAAUUAAAAGGCAUUUUCUUGUAAUAUAAUAGUAUGUUCUUGGACUGAUUUACAUGCUCUAUUUUGACUUCAUCUGCACGGUUCUAAUCAAUAUUAAAAACUUGAAUAUUGUUUUAUUCUAUAAUUAGCUUCUUUUAUUUAUGAUCAUAUUCACUUAAGUACUACUUUAUUCUCUUAUUCAUGUUCACAUAUUAGUAUUCAUAAGAUUGAAAGGAUCCACUUGAUAGUUUUAUUAGUAUAAGGAAAGUCGCAUUGUUCUCCCAUGUCUUGAAAAAUCAUUUGUAUUACUUCCUAAAAAAGCACUUGAUAGACGAUUCUCUGAAAAAUACUUUCAUUAAAAGCACUUUAGAUAAAAAUACUAUUAAUUAAUCGCACUUUACAUGAAUUUGUGGUUCUAUGGAAAAAUAUAUCCAUGUAUAUUAGAACAAGCAUAAUUAUGAUGCAUAUUAAAAGAAAGGCAUGUUUCCACAGUAGUGGAGAAGAAAGGAAAAGUAGUUUGUAUUUUCUUAAAGGAUUCGUGUGAGCAAGUUGUCCACCAAACCUUAUAAAAAAAUGGUUAAAAUAAAAGUCAUUUAAGAAAAAUAGUUUAUUUCUAAAUAUGCUUUCAUGAGUAAAAGUAGUUUGUAUUUUCCUAAAAGAUGCAUAUGUGAGCAAGUUGUCCACUCAACCUUAUAAAAAACGGUUAACAUAAAAGUACCUUAUAUCAAAAGAUGCCUUCACGAGGAAAAGUAGUUUGUUUUUACCUAAAAGAUCCUCUCCUAUUGUUAGAAGAUUCUUAAAAUAAAAAAAUCCUCCACGAAGUUGCUUCUCACUACCGGGCAACCUCCUCUCAUCUUGUUUUAGUUGUUUCAAGCUCUUGUUAGAAGAUUAUUAAAAUUAUCUUUCUUUAAUAUUGCUGCUCAUGAAUGGAACCUACCAAAAGACUUGUGUGUGGACAAUAUAUUUGUUGUUUUAGGAUUUCUUUUUAAUGAUGAAGCAUUUUCUCAAACCUUGGAAUCAAUCGAGCUAGCCUAGUAUGAAGUCUAAAAAAAUUUGAACAAGCAUAAAUUCUACUUUAACCUAAGGUUGGUUAGGGAAUGCUUGGGUCCUUGUUUUAACCAUCUACAACCUUCAAAAAACAAAUUUGAUAUCAUUCAUUUCAAUUCCUAAUGUCCUCAUGUUUACUCACUUUUUUUUACCAAUCCUACUAUAUAUAUACCCAAGUUGAAAAAGUCCAAACUAACUUGCUAUUGACCUAGGUACCUUUUCAAAAUAUUGGUCCUUAUUUCUCAUUCUAUAAUUAUUAAGGAAAAUAAUUAAAAAUAUGUACAAAAUCAAAAUCAAUCAUGACAUAAUAGAAAUUAUAAAGAACAUGUACACAAUCAAAUGCAUAAUGAAAAAAAAAACUCACUCCAAUUUGCAUUUUAAAAAAUAAGUUAAUUUCAUUCACCUCAUCCAAAGUUUUCACUAAAUACACCUAACCUCUAUCGAUUUGAAAUUUCAUCAAGUUUUCAUAAAUCAACACCCUCUCCAUGUUCCUCAAGUUUUCUUCAUGUUUAGUCAAUGCUUCUCCAAAAUUUCCAUUUGUGAUAUCUUACAUGUGAGGGAUCCACAUUGUAGAAAAUAGGGAGAACCCUCUGUCCCUUGGUUCUCAUGCACUCUAGAAUCUUCACCAGCUCCUCCAAACACCACCUGGAAGAAGCAUAAUUUUCUGACAAAAUGAUGACAGAAAACUUGGAGUUUUCAACAUGGUUUUGAAAACCGAAUCGGACUGGCCGGUCAUGGUUUCGGUCCAAUCAGGUCAUGAAUUAGACCGGAAAUAGGUUGAACUAGGAUCGAACCUAUUGAACUGGUGGUCCGACCAGUUCACCGGACAAACCGGUCUGUUCGAUUAAAAUUUUUUUUUUUUUCAGCAUCAAAACGAUGUCGUUUUGAUGUUUCUGGAGUCAAAACGAUGUCAUUUUGGAGGACCUUCUUCCAAACCCUCCAUCUCCGACAAUUGCCGCCCACCCCCAACGCGCUGCAACAGGCUCCCACCAUCAGCCAUUUCACCUCAAUGGCAACCAAAGCUCUACUUCCUCCUCCAACAAUGGCAGCAAGAGCAUCAAGUUCCUCAAGAAGACUCUCUCCUGCACAGACACUAGUUCAAUGCUUUCUACUGAGGUCGUCCCAAAAGGGUUUCUGGCCGUGUGUGUUGGGAAGGAGCUGAAGAGGUUCAUCAUCCUGACAGAGUAUCUGGGUCACCAAGCAUUUGGGGUUCUGCUGAGGGAAGCCGAAGGAGAAUUCGGGUUUCAGCAGGAGGGUGUGCUCAAGAUCCCAUGUGAAGUGGCUGUGUUUGAGAGGAUCUUGAAGGUGGUGGAAGAGAAGAGAGAUGUGUCCUUCUUGUAUGAGUUUGGAUUGAAUGCGGAGAAGGAGAUGAUUGGUUGUUGUUCAUCCUCAGAUUGUGAGCUCACACCUUCUCACCAUCCUCAAAUGAGUAGGUGAUCAGAAGAUGAGAAGAUCAGAUCAUAUCAGAUUUCCUCAAAUUGUUGCUUGUCCCACCCAAUUAGUGAUUUAAAUUUCAAUUUGUAAUAAUAAAUUGGCCGAGAAGAAAAGAAAUAGGCACCGGUUGUAGAUCGCACAACCCCCCUCCCCGACUAGUGGUAGUAGCUGCUCCAACGAUUUAUUUUUAUAUAAUUUUUUUUUUAUGUUUUAUUACUUUUAUAUUUAUUAUUUAAUGUGUUAUUUUUAUUUAUUGAUCAUAAUUUUGAUAGAUAUCAUAAAAAUUUAGAUAGAAUUUAUUUUUUUAUUUUUUUUAUUUUAAUAAUAUAUAAAAUGAUAAAAUAUAAAUUUAUGACGUCACCGAUUCGACCGUCGGUCCAAUCAGUGAACUGUGAACCGGGAACUUUUCCGGUUCAAUGACCGGUCCGAUUAUAAAAACAUUGAUUUUCAAUAGCCACAACAAGCGCAGAAGCUAUGACAUCACCCCUCUCAAGCUUGUCAUUGUCGAUGAAAGUGUCGACUCCUUUGGUGCAUAGCUCCUUAUAGAGAUGGGCAGUGAAGCUAUUGCAGGUGUCUUAUCCUCUAAAGCUCCGGAAACAUAUCAUAACUAUUAGAAUUUUUGGGUUGUGUAUUAAUGGUGUUACUGACAAGUUUUUGAAGAGUGAUGGAUGUUGGGUUAUUGUUGCUGGUUUAUGCUUCUAAUUUGCUAUGAAUAUCUAUACCUACAUACUUACAUUCAGUUCAUAAAUGCAGUUUCUUCUUUUAUUCUACAGAAAGGUUGCAGUCUUAUAUGUAGUUCUAAGUGUGGUUGUGAGUUUAAACCAGCCAUGAUUCAAAUUAUUUGAUACUUUCUUUUCAGGGAACACACUAUCCAAACUAUUUUCGUAACUUCAAAAAUAUGAGUAAAAUUGGGCUACAGCCAAUAAAACUGAAUGAAUUUCUCAAAUUAAAUCAGAAGUAAACAAGCUUAUAAAGUCAUCUUCAUAGAGAGUAGAUGACAAUUGGAGACUCUUCAUUCUCAAAGUUUUUGAACAUCAUGAAAAAUUAUUCUUGGAAAAUCACUAGUGGAAUGCGAUGACCAGGUCAAAUGCUCACUACCAAUCAAAUAAAAAAUUCAGGAACCAAAAAUACAAAUUCUACUUUGCCUUAUUCUAAAACCUAAUUCAUUAGGUACGUUAUAAUUAUCAAAGGCAUUAAAAUCAAUACCAGCAGGGUUCGAAUCAUAUACUCAGAAAAAUGGUGACAAAUAGUUUAAUGAUAUAUGCAUUGUAUAAAAGUUUUAAUAAGUUUCUACCCAAUUUAUCACAUAAAAGAAACCAACUAGGUUCAUAAAUAACAUCAGACAAGUAUAUAAAAUAAUUCAUAAGAAAGCAAGAUUCCAAGCUCCUGGAAUCGCUGCAUUUGCAAAGGAGUUGCUCUGCAGAAAGCAAGAAAAUUAACUCCCUCCAUGGAAAUUCUGAUUCUGGCCUCUGCAAAAGAGGAACAGCUUGUCACAUGGUGUAACUCAAGAUUCUUAUCAUUUCCACCCAAAGAAAGUUUUGAAUGUUACAAUUUGCCAUGAUUGUCAAACUCGUGUUAAACAAAAUGUAGAAGAACCGGAUUUUAUGACUCAAACAUCAUAAAUGUUAGCAAAUGUUCCUGCAGUUUUUAUCCUAGUACUCAACAUCAUAAGUUUCUAAUGCUUAUAACACAAGCAAAACUACUACUAUUAAAAUUGAAUCAUUCACAGUCAGAAAAGAAGUAUGCUGGGUGAUUCAUCAGGCAACUUGCAUUCAUCACCCAACACCAACUUUGCUUCAUUUUCUUAAUCAAACUCCCCAUAUUCGCCACCAAGUGCUAAAUAAAACUCAACACUGUCAACAACUAAUUUUGAAGGCUUAAUAACAAAUUUCAGCAUAAUCAAAGGUCAGAUUCAAACAAAAAUAUCUGCCUAAAAUAUCAAAGAAUACAAGAAAAAAUGACAAAGAGAAUUUCAGUUGCUUCAAUCAAUAUAUCUCAAUAAGAGAAAAGUUGAUGACUCACCGAAAAGUCAGACAGAGAUAUAAUAUAUAGACAUGAUUGGAGGAGUUCGCUGAGAAUUAUUGACGAAAAAUAUCAUCACUGAUUUUGAGAAUGCAUGACCAAAUCAACAGAAAAGAGAAUUUUAUUGGAAAAAAGACCUGGAUGAUGGUAGUCAUUCUUGAGGACGUUUGCGCUUGAGCUUGAGCGUGGGAUCAUUGGUGGGUCCAUCACUGCAGCCACUAGAACUAGAGUCCAUUCCACUUCGAUUGAGUCCUGCUCUGUCACUGCUUCUCUCAACUACAUUACACCCCCUACUCUUAAGCUGUUUUCUAUUUUGUGGAUGGAUUCCUUCAAGAUCUUCUGCAUAUAUAAGACAUACGCCACACUUCUUCACCACAUUGGAUGCACUUGAGUUGAAUCUGUGGGCUGCUUCAAAAGAAAUCUCAAUGUGAUUCCACUCAUUGGGGUCAUUGAAUUGAAACAACCUCAACUGGGAACACGGUUGAUAACCCAGCCAGACAUGUUCUGACCCAACAAUGUUGCCUGUCCAAUGGAAAUCAUGGCCGAAGUCUUUCAAGUCCCCAUAAUUAAAAACAUCAGAAUUCAAAUGGCAUAUAAUUCUCUCAGGAAGAUGUUCAAGAACAGAGCAGAGAGCAAAUCCCAAGAAGUCAUCACUAUACCAAUUUGUAGGUAGCUGAAUUUUUAUAGAAGAUCCCACAUUCUGAUGCCAGAUCCACUCAGGAAUCCCAGUGCCAGGAAAAACAAUACUAAAUGCAAUAUUUUCAAGCAAUUUCUGCAUCAUAACAGGUGAAGUAGUCACAGAGGAAUCAGAAGCAGUGGAAGACACAUAAAUAUGUGGAAAUAUUUGUAAUUCUGUCCUCUUAUCAUCACUGGAUUGGUCCUCAACUGGUUUGGAGCAAUUAUAGAAUAGGAACUGUAGCCCUUGCAAUGUGCUUACACUUGAUGAGCCUGGCAAAAGAGACGUGCAAUUGUGUGCAUCUAUGUCUCGGACACUUGGUGGAAGCUCCGGAAUUCCUGUGAGACUCUGGCACUGCGCCAAUCGAAGGUCUUUUAGGUUUGUAAGUUCACUGAUGCCAGCAGGUAUGCUUAGAAAAUUGUUCCGGCUUAGAUCUAAUUUCUUCAAUGAGAUUAAGGAGCAAAUACCGUUGGGGAUUGCUCCUUCUAUUAGUUUGCAGUCACUUAUGUCUAAAUUUGAUAAGGACCUGAAACUAGAAAAACUAGAAGGCAAGCGCAAACCAAUCCCAUUUGAACUGUUUCCAUGCAAUAACCAGAAUGAAAAGAGCGAACCCAAUGAGGUAGGUGCUAAUAUUUUACAUCCAGGAUAGAUCAAUACUUGCAGGUUUCUCAAAAGAACAAUUGAGUCAGGAGGUUGUGCUAUAGCAGUUCCAUCUGCAUGGAGCUGUGCUAGACGUUGCAGGCUCCCGAGGUUCCUCGGCAAAUUGUUUAAUUAUGAACAACCAGAGACAAUGAGUGUUUCAAGAGAUGUCAAAUUACACAUGCCGUUUGAAAGACUCAGAAGGUUUUUGCAUUUCCUCAGAUUCAAUAGAACGAGGCCUUUGAGACGUUCAAUUGAUGAGGGUAGCACUUCGAUAGGUGUCCCAUCUAAAAGAAGCUCUUUCAAAUUGUCCAUAUUCUCCGUCACUUCUGGAAAACUUUCAAGUUGUGAACAUCCAGAAAGAGAGAGAUUUUCAAGGGAUUUCAACUUACAAAUACUUGUCGGAAGACUCUUAAGAUUUUUGCACCAUUUCAGAUCCAAUAAAACAAGUCCAGUGAGAUGCCCAAUUGAGGAGGGAAGUUCCUCAAUAGCAGUUGAAGCUAAAUAAAGCUCCAAUAAAUUUUCCAUGUUACCUUGAAUAUUUGGAAACUUCUUGAGCCCUGAGCAGCCAGAGAAAUUGAGAAUUUCAAGCGCUUUCAUGUCGAUGAUGCUUGGAAAACAAAUAAGCUUUUUGCAAUUUUUCAAAUUCAAUAAAAUAAGCUUGUUCAGCUUUCCAAUAGAUGGGUGAACCUCAAGCAAACUUGAACAACCAUCAAGAAUUAGUUUCUCCAGAUUGGGCGCACUCACUGUGAUGUCUGGAAUUUCAAUGAGGUGUUGAGAGCAACUAACUCUUAUAGUAUUUAACUUUUCAAGAAGCUGUAACAGGAAAAAAAAAAAAAAUUACUUUGAUAUAUUUGCUUUCAUGGACUUUAGAGUUUAACCAAAGAAGAAAUAUGAAUAAAUAAUCAAUCAUCAUACCAAGUCACCUUCCCAAAGUCGUUUUAAGCUGCUAUAACACAUGUCAAGUUCAACAAGGUCCUCUGCAUAAAAUCCUAAUGGCAAAGAUUCCAAAGGAUAACCAUGCCAAUGGAGAUAUCUUAGCUCAUGAGAAGGGAAUUCAAAGUCUUUAGAUAGCUUUACUUUAUUAUCCUCCCUCGUAGAAGCAGAUUCUAGAUCCCAAUGGAUUUUGAGUAGUCUAAGAUUCUUCAUCAUUGCAAAAGCUUCAGUAGUAAUAUGUAUCCGCGUCAAUCUAGACAAGUUCAGAAGUAUGCCUUCAAUUGCCUUUGUUCCCUGGUAAACAAGAGUAGAUGAUGAGUAGAGCAAAAUACAUAGAAGUUAAAUAAGACAUGUAACUUAAACAAAAAUGAUAUUGUUGAAGCUUAGGUAUUUUGAAUAACCUUAAACAUGAAAGUAUAUUCAUUUGCAUUUUCUCUUACCAUUUUUCUUGUCAAUACACGAUUUACAACCUCAGGAUAGCACAAUCUGCUCCAUUUUCCAGGGUCUCUAGGACAUUCUUGUCGAACAAUUUCUCGUCCCAUUUGUUGUAACAAAUCAUGCAUCCAUAUCUUGUUGUCUAAAAUAGUUACAAAGCACUUAUCACCAAGGACUCCUAUUCCACUCUCCGCAUAGAAGUUGCAAGCAUCUAGGAUUCUAGUAACAAAAUCUUUCUCCUCUCCAUUAAAGAAGCAAGCAAUAUCUAAGAAUAUCUGUUGUUGUGUGUCAUCUAAUUCAUCAUAACUUCUCUUAAGCACACGUUGGAUUUCUUGGUUAGGUUCCCUCUGCAGUUUUUGCAAUUCACUUUCCCAUUGACGUACUGUCUUGCCAUAUAGGAAACAACCCAAAAUCUUAAGACCUAGCGGAAGACCAUUAACAUAAUGUACAACAGAGUUUGAAAGUGUUUCAUAGUCUUCUUUGGGAUGGUUCUGUUUAAAUGCAUUCCAACAAAAGAGUUCAAUAGCUUCCUUGUGAUCUAAUUUCUUAGCCUCAUAUAAUGCAUCCAUUCCAUGCAGCUCCAACAAAUGCUUAUCUCUAGUUGUUACAAUAAUUCUACUUCCUGGACCAAACCAACUAUGGUCACCAGCUAAGGCUUCCAAUUGGUUCAAAUCGUCAACGUCAUCAAGAACAAGAAGAACCUUUUUAAAGCAUAGUCUGUCUUUUAUCAUAUGGACCCCUUCAUCAACAUUCCUUAUAAAGUUCUUCCUUCUUGGCAAGAUAUCAUGAAGAAGUUGUUUUUGUAAAUAAAGUAGACCUCGACUUUUAGAAUCCUCUCUAACAUUAGCAAUAAAGCUAGCAAUCAUGAACUGGGCACCAAUUCGGUUGUAUAAAACUUUGGCCAUGGUUGUCUUACCAAUUCCUCCAAAUCCAUAGAUCCCAACCAUGCGAACAUCAUUUGAUAAUGGAUCUAUUAUUUGUGGAAAAAUUUCUUCCAUUUCUUCCAAACGAUAAUCCAUCCCGAUGAGGUUCUUGUCAACCUGUAAGAGUUUCUGACUAAAUUUCAUCAAAAUAACGCAAGUGAUAUCCUCAAUAAAAUCUGCCUCAGACUUGCUGCCAGAAAGCACAUACAUAGGUGAGCUAACAGAGCAACAAAUGGUAGAAAACAUGAAGUAAACUUGAUUAUGCUUGGUUUAGUACAAAACAUGAAUUAUGGGCAAUUAGAAUUUGUUAAGGGGAUAAGGAUGAAUUAAUUAGAUGUUUCAAGCACCAUUAGAACACUAUAAGAAGAAGAAAGAAAAAAACCUUCUAAAUGUUGCCCUUUAUUUCAUCUUUGCUAACCUCUACCUAUACUGGAAGAUUACUCAACUCCCUUCUUAGAUGAUGUUGGCCUUUAUUUUAAACUUUACACUCUUCCUUUCAUAAGCUUUUUUUUCAUUAGGUCUAUCCUAAGUUAGCAUUUGUAUGUAUCAGAAAACACUAAAAAAUCAAGAAUAGUUGUUUGCCCAUACUAACAUAUUAACCUUAUAAAAGAAUGGAAAGAAAUAGGAAAUCAAUUAAAUUUUAGAUGGGCUUUGAUAGAUCAAUUUAAUGACUUGAUAACUUAAUUUAAGUCAUUAAUAGAUUAAGUAUGUUUAGCAAAAUAACUUAAUAUUAUAAUUUAAAGUAAAAAAUAAUUUUAAAUAUUAAGUCAAAUUAGGUUCUUUAUAAUCUGCAAUCCCUUUUACCUCAUGUCCUCAUGUUUAGUGAGAGUACUACACAAUCAUAACUCCACAUUCACAACCCAUCUUUUAUAGUAAAUAUUUUUUAACCAUUCUAGAUAUCUACAAUAUAUGUUUAACAAAUAAAUUUAUUAUUUAAGAUUAGUCAAAGUAAAUAGGAGUUAAAAUUAGUGAGAGUAAAUAUGAGUUAAUUUGAUGAUUUAGAAUAAAUUUUAAAUUAACUUUAUCAAACAACCUUAAUACUUAAAGUGAAAAUUAAGUAAUAUAUUUUAAGUUAACAACUUAAGAAUAAUUUAAUACUAAUUCCGUCUAAUCUACUCUAUCUAUCGGAAUUCUCCAUAUUAUAAAUUCACUUUAUUUUUUAGGAUAAGAUGCAUGUGCUGAUUAUAAAUUCUAGUAGAUUUCUGAUUUAUCAUUAUGUAUAGAAAGAUAAAAGGAUACUUGCAAAAGAUUAUGCGGAUCGAACAAGCUAUAUUUACCCAUUCUGUAUAUGCCAUCCAGAAAGAUUGCCCACUUCCCUCAAAGCUGCUCUCAACUUCUGUGUAUACUCCAGAGGAAUUUUUCUUUCAUGAUUGGCCAACGCUUCUCCAUAACUCUCCCCCUGAUUUCGCACAUCGGAAGGAUUCACAUGAUAGAAAACUGGAAAAACUAUUUUUCCCAUUUGUCGCCUCGACUCCAUGAUCUCCUUCAACUCGUCCAAACACCACUUGGAAUGAGCAUAGUUUUUCGAGAGAAUUACGAGAAAGCACCUUGACAUCUCAAUAGCUCUCAAAGUAGUUGGCAAAAUCAUUUCUCCCCUGAUAUAAUCCACUCUAAAGGUUCGAAACCCUUUCUGAUACAAAGCUGCAUAGAGAUGAUCUGUGAAAUUUUGUCUGGUAUCUUGACCCCGAAAACUCAAGAAAACUUCAUAUUCCCAUGGACCAAUACAAGUAGAAGUAGAAGAAGAAGACGCCCUUCGAAGAUCCAUCCCAACAAGCUUCUUCUCAACCUGUAAGAGUUCCCGGUUUAAACUCUUCCAAAUAGUGGAAGUAAUCAUCUCAAUAACAUGUGACUCGGGUCUGCAAGUGGCAAAGCAUGACACAUGGGGUGAGUCAAUGGUUGCAAACACCAGCAAAACAUGAAUUAAGUGCCCUGGAUCAUAUAUGCUUUUAGCUUUACUUAGAAAACACGAUUUAUCAUGCAAAGAAAAGAAGUUAUAGUUACCCAUUCCUUAAACACCAUCCGCUAAUCUUCGCCACAUUCCACAACGCUUCCCUCCACCUCUUUAUCUUCGACAUUCCUUCCUCGUCUGCCGUUCUUUCAUGAUCGGCUAAUGCUUCUCCAUAACUCCCCAUCUGUUUUCGCACAUUGGAGGGGUCCACCUGGUAGAAAAUCGGAAACACUAAUUGUCCCAUACACUGCUUCCACUCCAUGAUCUUUACCAGUUCAUCCAAACACCACCUAGAACGGGCAUAGUUUUUGGACAGAAUUACGACACAAAUCCUUGACUCUUCAAUAGCUUUUAAAAGUUCUGCUGCAAUCUCUUCUCCUCUUCGUAGCUCCUCAUCAUCUCUAAAGGUACGAAUCCCUUUCUGAUCCAAAGCUCUGUAGAGAUGAUCUGUAAAAUUAUGGCGAGUAUCUUCACCCAUAAAGCUCAAGAAAACAUCGUAAUUCCAUACACGAGUAGAAAUAGAAGAAGAAGAAGAAGAAGCUCUUUGACUUUGAGGGUCUGCAAAAGCCAUCCACUCUUUACUGUGAGAACUCACUCAACUUAACUUAAAUGGCAGGCAAUUUCUUCAUAAAAGGCGGAAAGAAAUGGCAGGAAAACACUGGUAGGUAGAAAGACAGCGAUGAACUCUGCCUUGGAAGGUCGGGAUGCUGUGUGCUAAAAUUGUUGUGAAGGUCUCCACUGUAUCCCGAAUCUUUUCUAUUGUUUACAAAUUAUUGUCCAUGUAUAUAUCAAAUAUAAAAAUGGAUUACAAUAUUUUUAAUUAUUAUUUUAUUUUAAAUGCAAGAAAGAAGUUUGAUUCCAGCUACCAUCCAUCCACAUACGAUGCCUAAAAAAAAAAUUGAUUGGGUUUAGCUUGACACAUGGGUCUGAACAAACCGGCUUUAGCAUUCAGGUUCUCAUGCCAUAUAUCCAUCAUCGUCUCCGAGGAAGAAAGAAAGCCAUGAAAUCUAGUUUAAAUGAAAUUAACCUUAAAGUAAGUGUUUAGUUUAGAUGUUUGCUAAAAAAUUAAUUUAAAACUUCAUCCGGUGAUAUGAAAUUUAAAUUUUAGAGUUUAUUUACAAAUUAUAAUUUAAAACCAAUUUAUUUUUAAAUAAUUCAGUUCUCUUGGGUUUUGUUUUAUAAAUUCAAUUUAUAUGACAUUAAUUUAAUUUAUAUUAUUAUUGAUUCAAUCAUGGCAGGUGGGGAUGGAGGACGAAAUUUCCUUCCAUUGACCUAAGAAAGAUUCAAGUCUUUUCCUCCCAAUAUUUAAAGACUCAUUGGGAUAUGUAGAUGACAAUGAGAAGGGAAUUAAUUGACUCAUUUUCUAAAAGGAGACACCACAAAAGCCCAAAGUUUAAAAUAAAGUAGCCUUUAUGCUGCCCAAACAAUUCACUACGUAUGACUAGCUCUUUCAACUACUACCACUAUAUGUUUUUAUCAUAAAUUAAUUUGUGGUUGAAAAAGUAUUUUAUGGUGAAAUAAUUUUUUUAUUAAAAAUUAUUAUGGUUAAAAAAAUAUUUUGGGGUAAAAAAGUCUUUUUCAUUAAAAAUUAUUUGUGGGGAUGCUUGAUAUAAGUUGGUGAGUAAUUAUUCUUAGGGUUUUGCUUUGAAAAAACUUGUGUAUAAAAUGAUUAUCUAGGAAUUAUAUUAAGUGAUUAUCUAUAUUUGUCACUUUUAAACUUUAAUAAAAAUUUAGUAAAAGAAUAGUUAUAAUUUAUUUAAUGUUACUAAAGUUAUAACUCUAAGACUGUAAAAAAAUAUUUUUGAAAUACAUUUGUGAAAGUGUUCAUUGGUAAAUUAGAAUAUAGAAUCUACUCUUAAUUUAAAAUAGUAUUAUUAAUUUCUUUGAUUGUAAUUAUAUUGUUAGUUUUUAAUUUAUAGUUGAACUUGUAUAUGCAAAGGAUUGGGUUAAACAUUGAUAGUAUUUUUUUAAUUCAUAAAUUAUUACAAUGUUAAAAUAAAUUUAAAAAUAAAUAAAUAAUGUAAAUUUUGAGGAGGGUACGAAAAAUGUGAUGAAAGUACAAAGAAUAUAAAAAUAGUAUAGGAAAUGUGAAGAAAGUACGAAGAAUUUAAGGAACGUACAAUGAAUGUAACGAGUGUAAGAAGAAUAUGAAGAAUAUACAAAAAAAAUGUGAGAAAAGAACGAAAAAUGUGAGGAAUGGAUAAAAAAUGUGAGGAAUUGAUAAAAUAAUGUGAAGAUAGUAUGAAGAAUGUGAGGAAUGUAUAAAAAAAAUGUAAGAAUGGUAUAAAAAAAUGUGAAAAUGGUAGGAAAGAAUAUGAAGUGAGUACGAAAAAUGGGAGAAAUAUACAAAAAAUGUGAGGAGUGUAAAGAUAAUAUGAGAAGGUAUAGAGAAUGUGAAAAUGACACAAAAAUGUGAGAAGAGUACUAAAAAUAUAUGGUAUGAAAAAACAAAGAGAUAUAUGUUCUUUUCUUAAAUGCGAUGUUGGAGUUAUAUUUUUUUUUAAUUAAAAUGUUUAAAAAUCUUAUAUUUGUUCUUAUCUUUUUAAAAAAUAUUUUAAUAAGAAAAAUGAUAUGGUUCAAAGCAAGCUUGAAAAUGACAUGUACAAAUUUCAAGUCUCCGAAUCAACUAAUUCUCAUUCAAAUUGUCAUUCUCAUGAGCCUUUUAAUCAUCCUAAUGUAGCAACUAAUAAUGCUAUUAUAGUACCUAUGCUACCAACUCUCCUAAAAGCAAUUGUUGUUAGGAAAGGUGUACCCUAACCUUAUAGUGCAUUCACCCAAGCGCCACACAAGGGGAAUUGAUGGAUGCAGCCAACCCUCCGAACUACUAACAAUCCCCCUCCCACCCCCAGCGACACCCCUGGGGUUCAAACCCAUGACCUCGGCUCUGAUACCACUUAUAGGACCUCAGACGCUACCAACUCUCCUAAAAGCAAUUGCUGUUAGGAAAGACGCAUACCCUAGCCUUAUAGUGCAUUCACCCAAGCGCCCACGGCGAACACAAGAGGAGUUGAUGGACGCGACCAACCCUUCACUCUGCCAACAACUAUCUCUAAGAUUUUUUAUAUUUGACAUUCUUGUUUAGGUCACCCUUCUAUUGAGAUUGUAAAGAAGGUGUUCUCACUCUCUAUUUUCUUAGUUGUAUCGUUUGCGUACAAAGGGUCAAGCUUUGUGAUUACUACUCAAAAAGUGCUAUUUCAUAGCUUGUAAUUAACUCUUUUAAACACUUUUGAGUAGUAGUUAUCACCUUUUAACCCAAUUAACAUAUUAAGGACCCUUGCAAUCAAUUCUAAUCAAAUUGUGUUAAGUUUUGGUGUUUUGAUAGCUUUUUGAUCACCAAAGCAAUCCGAGAUUGAGAAGAGUUCUUUGGAAUCCAUGGCAAAAGAUGUCCGGACAGGGCGUCCGGACACACCAUCGGAGGGCGGCGGAACGUGGGUUGUGGCAGGCUAUUGGAAUGACGUAGCAAGGCUUGUGCGCUUUAGCAAUGAUCCUGACAACAUAUCCGGAAUUCUGCUCCGUCGAUAUUACACCCGGAUGUCUCACAUCCGGAAUUCUGCUCCACCGACAUUCCACCCGGAUGUAUCACAUCCGGAAUUCUUCUCCGCCGACAUUCCAUCCGGAUGUCUCACAUCCGGAAUUCUGACGCCGGAUGGGAAAGGAGGGCGUUUCAACUUCCCCGGUCAGACAUAUCCGGAUCUUUUGAUAGCGCUUACCUGGAGAGUUUCGCAGCCAUUUUGCAUAGUGCCGCGGUGUUCUCCUGAAGCUUCCAAAUAUUUGCAACCGACAUUUUGAGAUAUUUUGCUUUAGAUAUUUGAUGUCUAAAUCCCCAAACUCUUCUUAUAACCCACCAAUUAUAGGAUUCCUUAGUUCUUAAGUUUGGAAAAAGGGUGAAUAACCCCUUAUAUAUAGUUUGUAAUCUUCUUUAGAAAAUAUCCAUCUCUCGGGAGCUUGUUCUCAGAGACGGAUCCUUUGUACAGUUUUGCAAGGAAGUAAAAUACAGAGCCUUUGCUCUGCCUUACCUUCUCGUUUUAAUUGUUUUGUAUAUUAUUUACUUUUUAUUUCUAGCCAAUCAAACUCUGAGGAUUUUUCCUCAGAGGAUGAGAGGCUAGGCUCUUCGUCUCUUGGAGUGAAGAAAGCCGGGUAAGUUUCCAUAUGCAUAAAUUGGAAGUUUUGUUGUUUUAGUUUUUAAUGAAGAAAAAGUGUGACCCGUUAAUGGUUUUUAUCUUUUUAGUUAACUUAAAACGCCUUUAAAUCACCUGGGCCAACACUUGAUAAGGCAAGUGAUCUCCAUCCAUUGAGAUGCACUAGUUUAUCUCUUGCGAGCCUUUGGGAAGUGGUUUAAAGGUAGGAUUUUCUAGAAUAGCCAACACUUGGUAAGCUUUUGGACUCCAAGGAGACAUCCAUUAGUUAUCUCUUGCGAGCUUUUGACGGGUAAUCCAAGGUUAAAGAUCACCUUGAAUGGUAAAUGCUAGGUGAGAGGCAUGAGCCAUUGCAAGGUGCAUCAGUGAGAGGGAUUUAAUGUUUGAACCCAUUAAAAGGAAGCAUCUGUACCACACCGGUUAGAGAAUUAACUAUAUGUUAAUUCUCUAAAGCGAGGAAAAGAAACAAGUGACCGGAACUCCCUUUUUGUACAAGGAAUCUAAGCCCAGUGAUCUAAACUCCAAGAAACACUUUUCUUUGUAAUUAAAAUCAGUUACUAUUAUUUUUGGUUAGCUUAAAACCAAUCCUUUUUCAAACAUCUUUAUGUUUUCUUUUAAAGCUAACCUUGAAAUGAAAAGGCACCAAUUCAUCUUUGAAUUAAUAUCAAUUGUGAAAUGAAAACCCAUCCUAGUGAACGAUCCUAGAGCCACUAUGCUAUAGUAGCUUUGUCUUUGCUACCCUAGUUCAUGGUGUAAUAGGUUAUAAAUUUUGUUGAUUACUCCCUGAGAACUACAAUCAAGGGAUACCAGCUGGACACGAAUCAGCUAAGACACCAAUUGGGAACGAAUCACUUUGUCAAUCAAUAUUUGUUCACUUCAAAAAUCUUGUAGAAAACCACUUUAACAUUAAGAUAAAAUUAUACCCAAUUGAUGGUAGGGAUGAGUUUAAACCUUCUCAUUCUUAGUUAAUCAUGACAUUAAACAUUGAUUGUCUUGUCCCAAAACUCCAUAGUAGAAGGCUCAGGUAGUAUGUAAGAAUCAUUAUGUUGUAGGUUAGCCUUGUUUGCUCAAGCAUUUAUGCCUUUCAAAUUUUGGGUGUAUGCAUUUCAUGUUGCUAUUUUUCUCAUAAGAAAAAUGGCUUCUUAUAUGUUAAACUUUCAAUCUCCCUAUCAGGUUCUUUUUAGAUCAAUUCUUGAUUAUUCUUCCUUUAAAUCCUUUGGGUGUCUUUGUAAUCGCUUUAUUCAUCUUUUUAAUAAAUAGAAACUACAAUAUUGGUCUACUAAAUGUCUUUUUGUCAGUUAUCACACUCCUCACAAAAUGUAUCUUUGUCUUUAUUAAACCUUUGAUAAAGUUUACAUCACUCAUCAUGUUGUUUUUGAUGAAUCUUGUUUUCUUGUGGUUGUAGGCACUCUCCCUAGUGUUUCUACUAACUCAUCUCCUUUCCUUAUUUUUCCACUUGCUUUUAUUCAUGUCUUUUUCUUCUCCUUCUCAUGGUUCCUUCAAUACUUUACAUUCUACUCAUCAUUCUUCUUUUGUUUCCCCUAUGUCAUCCCCUAUUCAACUUGUGGUUUUGGACUCUAAGAUGCAUCCAUUACCUCCAACUAUUAAUACUCAUCCUACGCUCACUCAUGUCAAAGCUGGUGUUUUUAAACCUAAGACCUAACAAGCUAAUGCUUCCAUUGAGUUAUCUAAUUUUUAGCAAUUUAUCAAGGAUCUUCAUUGGUAAAAAGCUAUGGAAACUAAUUAUGAUGCCUUAAUGGAGAAUGAUACCCAUACACUAGUUUUUCUACAUUCAAAAGCUAAUAUUGUUGGUUGCAAGUAGGUUUAUAAGUUCAAGUACAAUCCUAAUGGCAACAUUGAACAUUUUAAGUCAUGCUUGAUUGCCAAGGGAUUUCAUCAAACACCUGCCAUUGACUGGUUUUAGUCCAGUGGUCAAAGUGGCUACUAUUUGAAUUUUUCUCAUGAUUACUCUCUCAUUUGGUUGGAUGAUUUGCCAAUUAGAUGUGCAUAAUGCCUUUUUAUAUGGUGAUUUACAUGAGCAAGUAUUUAUAUCCUAGCCAUAAGGAUUUUUUCAUCCCAGUAUCUUGACUAUGUUUGCAAGCUUAACAAAGCUCUCUAUGACCUCAAAUAGGCUCCUCAUGCCUGGUUCACCAAAUUAAGAUUGGCCUUAAGCAGCUUGGGUUUUAGAUGUGUAAGGGAUGAUAAUUUAAUGUUUGUUUAUUAUUUAGCCUCAUAUCUUAUCAUUAUCUUGGUCUAUGUUAAUGGUAUAUUAGUUAUUGGUAGUAGCUCUACUCAAGACCCUCAAUUGAUUGUUUUCUUUAUUGCUUCCUUUCUUUAUAUGAUCUUGGUGUUAUCAAUUAUUUUUUUGGUGUUGAGGUCACUCAUACAUUUGGAGCCCUUCUUCUUACUCAACAUAAGUACAUUAAGGACUUGCUUAAUUGCACAAAGAUUCUCACUUGUAAACCAACUGCUACUCCUAGUUGUGUUAGUCCAACCUUGCCUCAAUUUGAUACUUGAUAAGUCCAUUUAGAGCAACUUAUUAUCUAUGAUUUAACUUGAUAUUUCAUUAGUUUAAGAGUAAUUUUAUCUCAACAAUCAUUAUUUUUAUUGUUUUAGGUCUCAAAUAGCCAAGAGUAUGAAAAGUGAGCAAUAUGAGGCAAAAUUGGAAGAAAAAAUGAAGUUUGACGGCCUCUUACGUGACAAUUUGCGUAACUCACCCGAGAAGAAAGCGCCAUUGCGGGAAGGACUUAAGCGCCACGGCGUACGCAUGUGGAAAAUCAUAGUUGGGGACUCGAGACAAAACCGUCGCAAUUGGAGAAGCUUGUCCGUAGCGGCGCCCAAAGGAAUUUCAGAAAUCCUAAGAACCCGAGACUAAAGCGCCACGGCGGGAGACACUGAGCGCCACGACCUGAUAUUUAAAAUUUGAAAAUUAUUCGUCCUUAUCUCAUUCUGUUCAGAUCAGAAUUAGGUGGGACAUCAGUUUACGAUAUUGGGGCUAUAAAUAGACGAAAGUAGGGUUUAUUUGGGGAUUUUGGAGACUUGGAAGAAUGAGGAUCUUGAAGACCUAGGAGAAGAGAGAGCUUGGAGAACAAGAAGGAAAUUUGUAGAUUUUCUUCUAUUUGUCUGGUUUAUUCUUCCAUUUUCUUUAUGAUUGUAAUUCAAGAUGUUUGUUCUUCAUCUUAAGAUGAACUAAUUUCCUUUGUCUAGGGCUGAGAUGUAGCUCAAUCACGAUUUUUGUUUUUGAUUGGUUUAAAUUAAUUCUCUGUUUUGCAUCAAUUUAUUUGUGUAUCUAUUCUGCGCUUAAUGCUCUCAAUUCUUAAGGGCCCAAGUUUUGAUUGAUUUUAUGAUUUAGGUUGAUAACGAGAGUUAGAAUCUAAAUUAAAUCCAUAGAAUAGAUUACGUUAGAAUGAAUGAAUAGUAGAGAUACAUUACCAUGUUUUAAGAGAUUAAUAGUUAAAUCUAUAAUAAUUCCAUAGAUCGUAAUUACUCCUUUAGACUUAAAUUCACAUAAAGAUAUGUUAGGUUAGUAAUUUAAGGAGCAAUCUGAUACAUUUUGAGAGAAAAUAUUGGUUGGCUUAGGGAAAUAAAUCUCCAAAUAAAGCAUAACAGGAAUUAGGUCAAGCAAUCAAUUGCAUGAAAAGUGUUUGUAGUGAAAUCAAAAGCCCUAGAUCGUUUAAAUCAUAAGAGUUUGAAUUUAUUUUCUUUAAUUGUUUAAGUUGUUUUCUUUUACAACUUUAAAUAUUUGGUUGAUCAAAUAGUAAUAGAAAUAAUAAAUUUUAGUAAUUAGUAGCAUAGUCCUUGUGGGUUCGAUAUCCGUACUUAGGUACAAUUAUAUCACUUGAACAAUUCGUUUACUUACGAACCAACACAUCAAGUUUUUGGCGCCGUUGUCGGGGACUAUUUGUUACUAAUAUUAAUUCCAGUUAUUUAUGUGCUAAUUUGAUUUAUUUUCUUUUUAUUCUCACUCAAUUGUUUUUCUUUUUUUAGGUUUUCUUAAUGUGUGAGACGUACAAGGAGUCUGAACUUAGUACCAAUCGACCUUGAUAUCAACAAAACACUACGAAAACUAAAUCGAAAACGCAAGCAACAAGUAAUUCAAGAGGUUCCUGCAAUGGGGGAUGAGAAUCAUGUUGAUAAUGGAGUCCCAAACAGGGUACUCAAGGAUUAUUAUGUUCCUAAUGUGGGUGUCUCAAGCAUUCGAAGGCCACCCAUCCAAGCUAACAAUUUUGAGAUCAAACCGGUAAUUAUUCAAAUGAUUCAAUCUUCGAUUCAAUUUGGAGGAUUGGCCAAUGAUGAUCCUAAUCUACAUAUUGCAAAUUUCUUAGAAAUUUGUGAUACCUUCAAGCAUAAUGGUGUGACCGAUGAUGCAAUAAGACUUCGAUUGUUUCCAUUCUCUCUAAAUAACAAGGCUAAGGCAUGGUUAAUUUCAUUACCUCCGGGGACAAUCACUACAUGGGAUGGACUAGUUAACGCUUUUCUUACUAAAUCCUUCCCACCAGAAAAAUCUGCAAAAAUGAGGAAUGAUAUAACUAACUUUUUACAGCAAAAUCAAGAGUCUCUUUAUGAAGCUUGGGAAAGGUUCAAAGAUCUUUUAAGAAAGUGCCCACACCAUGGCUUACCAAUGUGGAUGCAAGUGCAAACGUUCUACAAUAGUUUGCACCCUAAUACUCAAACCAUGGUGGAUGCAGCAAGCGGAGGAGCUUUUAUUAAUAAGACAUCGGAUGAGGGAUAUCAACUUAUAGAAGUGAUGGCUAGCAACAAUUUCUUGAAGUCUACGGAUAGAAAUGCACAAAAGAGGACAGUCGGGGUUCAUGAUAUCGAUGCUUUUAAUAAUUUGGCUGCUCAAGUUGCAAUUUUAAAUAAUAAUUUUAAGAAACUGAAUGUUGCUACUGUUUCUAAUCUAGUUUGUGAAAAUUGUGCAGGUAAUCAUCAUAACUUAGAGUGUCAAGUUGGAGGCCCAUAUGAAGCAAAUCCAUCCAAACAAGUGAACUAUGUGACCAAUAAUCAACGUCAAUACAAUCCCAACUCCAAUUAUUUCAACCAAGGGUGGAGGAAUCAUCCGAACUUCUCAUGGAGUAACAACACUCAUGUGCAAAAACCACCUUCCGGUUUCCAAUCUCAAGAUAAUAAGCCAAACUUGGAAGAAGUUUUCACCCAAUUUAUACAAAAGACUAACGAUUUUAUUGAUGAUACUAAAGCAAAUUUCAGGAACCAAGGUGCAAGUAUUCGCAACCUUGAGCAUCAAGUGAGGGAGAUUUCUAAGUUAUUGACGGAGAUAACACAAAGAGCACUUCCUAGUAUCACAAAGACGAAUCCUAAGGAGCAUGUAAAGGUCAUAACUCUUAGAAGUGGGAAGUAGUUAGAACAAUCAAAGGAAGCCGAGUAGCAAGCAAAUAAGGAGAAUACUUCAGUUCCCAAGGAACAAGAUGCUUCCACUUCUAUAUAGCCAUCUAUUCCAAAACCAUCAUCUAAUGCCAUUCUUUUUCCUCAAAGGCUGAAAAAACAAAAUUUAGAUAAGCAAUUUUCUAAAUUUAUUGCUAUUUUUAAGAUCUUACAUAUCAAUCUUCCUUUUGUAGAUAUGCUGGAGCAAAUGCCGAAAUAUGCUAAAUUCUUAAAGGAGGUGUUAUCAAAUAAGAGGAAAUUGAUGGACAAUGAGAAUGUGAUGCUCACUGAAGAGUGCAACACCAUUCUUCAAAGGAAGCUUCCUCCUAAGCUAAAAGAUCCAGGGAGUUUCACUAUACCUUGCACUAUUGGUGAUUUUUAUUUUGAUAAAGUUUUAUGUGAUCUAGGUGCAAGUGUUAAUUCGAUGCCUCUUUCUAUUUUCAAGAAACUUGGACUAAGGGAAGUAAACCCUACUACGGUAUGUUUGCAGCUUGCGGAUAGAUCUAUCAAACAUCCAAGAGGCAUUAUUGAGGAUGUUUUGUUAAAAGUGGAUAAGUUUAUAUUUUUGGCUGAUUUUAUUGUAUUAGAUAUGGAAGAAGACCGGGAUGUUCCACUUAUAUUAGGAAGACCUUUUCUUGCUACAGAUAGAACUCUUAUAGAUUUUCAUCAAGGUAAGUUGAUUUUAAGGGUUCAAGAUGAAAAAGUUACGUUUAAUGUUUUUGAGGCUAUGAAAUUUCCAUCUGAUAUUGAUGCAUGCUUUGCAAUCAGUGUUUUUGAUAGGGUGGUAGCUAAAACAUUUCAUGAAACUUUUCCCACUUCACCUUUAGAAAAUUGUAUAAUGAAUGGUAGAAAUUUAGGAACUCUUUGUGAUGAUGAUGAUGAUAUAAUUGAAUGUGUUAAUAAUCUUGAUGCAUUGCUAACUUAUGAGUUUCCAAGAAAGUUAAAAUUUGAGGAAUUAGAGGCCAUUCAUGUUAACAAUCAUACAUUAAAGAAGAAGCUUCCUAAACUUGAACUUAAAUUGUUGCCAUCUCACCUCAGGUAUGCUUUCUUAAAAGAUUCUAGUUAAUAUCCUUUUAUUAUUAACUCUUCUUUGAAUGAUUUGGAGGAAUAAAAACUAUUAAGAGUUUUGAGGGAGCAUAAGAAAGCUAUUGGAUGGACUAUUGAUGACAUUAAUGGAAUAAGCCCAUCGAUUUGUAUGCAUAAGAUCCUAUUUGAAGAAAGCUACAAGCCAACAGUUCAACCACAACGAAAAUUAAAUCCAUCUAUGCAAGAAAUGGUUAAGAAAGAGGUUGUGAAGCUUUUGGAUGCAGGUAUAAUUUACCCAAUCUCGGAUAGUACAUGGGUAAGUCCAAUUCAAGUAGUUCCUAAGAAGGGAGGUAUAACUGUAGUGAAGAAUGAUAAUAACGAACUUAUCCCCACAAGAAUGAUAACCGGAAGCUUAAUGAUGCCACAAGAAAUGAUCACUUUCCUUUACCCUUCAUUAACCAAAUGGUGGAGAGACUUUCCGGUCAUGAUUAUUAUUGUUUUCUAGAUGGAUAUUCAGGAUACAAUCAAAUCCCCAUAGCACCGGAAGAUCAAGAGAAGACCACUUUUACAUGCUCAUAUGGCACUUUUGCUUACUGACGAAUGCCAUUCGAUUUAUGCAACACUCCGGCCACUUUUCAACGUUGCAUGAUGUCCAUUUUCUCUGAUAUGAUUGAAAAAUGCAUUGAAGUGUUUAUGGAUGAUUUUUAUGUUUUUGGUUCUUUUUUUUAUGAUUGCCUUUCUAAUCUUUCUUUGGUUUUGUAGCGAUGUGUUGACACAAACUUGGUUUUAAAUUGGGAAAAAUGCCAUUUUAUGGUAAGAGAAGGUAUUGUGUUAGGACAUCGAAUUUCUGUAAAAGGAAUUGAGGUGGAUCGUGCUAAGAUAGAUUUGAUUGAGAAGUUGACACCACCUACAAAUGUAAAGGGAGUUAGAAGUUUUCUUGGUCAUGCAGGAUUUUAUAGAAGAUUCAUUAAGGACUUUUCAAAAAAUUUCUAAACCUCUUUGUGAUUUAUUGGCUAAGGAUGCAGUUUUUGAUUUUUCUAAAGAAUGUUUAAAUGCUUUUGAAACUCUUAAGUCUAAACUGAUAUCUUCUCCUAUUAUUGUUGCACCUGAUUGGGAAUUGUCUUUACAUUGAUGUGUGAUGCUAGUGACUUUGCUAUAGGUGCUAUUUUAGGGCAACGGAAAAGUAAAAUUUUUCACGUGAUUUAUUUUGCUAGCAAGGUUUUAACAGAGGGUCAAGUAAAUUAUGCAACCACUGAUAAAGAACUUUUAGCAAUUGUUUAUGCUUUUGACAAAUUUCGAUCUUAUUUGAUAGGGUCUAAGGUGAUUGUCUAUACUGACCAUUCAACUUUGAGGUAUUUAUUUGCUAAGAAAAAGGCAAAGCCAAGGCUACUUUGUUGGAUCUUGCUAAUACAAGAAUUUGACUUGGAAAUCAAAGACAAGAAAGGAACUGAGAAUUUAGUUGCAGAUCAUCUUUCUCGGAUGAAUCAUGUGGAGCCUAAUGAAGAAGUUGAUGAUGAUAUUAAUGAAAGAUUUCCUGAUGAGCAACUUUUUGCAGUUGAAAAAGCGUCAUGGUAUGCAGACAUUGUUAACUAUUUGGCUAAGAAGAUUUUGCCUCCCAAGCUUACUUAUCAAAGGAGGAAGAAGUUUUUCUCAGAUCUCAAGUACCAUUUAUGGGAUGAUCAUUUCCCAUAUAAGCAAUGCGACGAUCAAAUAAUUAUGAAAUGUGUGCCGGAAGAGGAGAUGGAGAGUAUUCUGCAUCAUUUUCAUUCUCGUGAAGUUGGAGGACAUUUUGGAGCUACUAAAAUUGCAGCCAAAGUUUUACAAUCAGGAUUUUAUUGGCCUUCUCUUUUUAAAGAUUCAUUUAAUUUUGUUGCCAAUUGUGAUAGAUGUCAAAGGGUUGGAAUAUAUCUAGGGAAAAUGAGAUGCCUCUAAUAAAUAUUUUAGAAAUAAAAUUGUUUGAUGUAUGGGGUAUUGAUUUUAUGGGUCUUUUUCCAUCCUCUUAUGCUAAUGGUUUUAUUUUGGUUGUUGUAGAUUACGUUUCCAAAUGGGUUAAAGCUGAGGCACUGCAGACCAAUGAUGCUAGAGUGAUGGUUAAAUUUCUUAAGAAGAAUAUUUUUGCAAGAUUUGAUACACCAAGAGCUAUCAUAAGUGAUGGGGGAUCUCAUUUUUGUAAUAGUCAAUUUGAGUCACUAUUGGGUAAAUUGGAGUAACACAUCGUAUAGCUACUCCUUAUCACCCGCAAACAAGUGGUCAAGUUGAGGUAUCUAAUCGUGAGCUCAAGCGAAUUCUGGAGAAAACAGUUAAUUCUUCUAAGAGGGAUUGGUCAAGUAAGUUGGAUUACGCUUUAUGGGCUUAUAGAACGGCAUUCAAGACACCUAUUGGGAUGUCUCCAUAUCAAUUGGUUUAUGGCAAAUCGUGUCAUCUUCCGGUUGAGUUGGAGCACAAAUCAUUUUGGGUUGUUAAACUUUUGAAUUUUGACUUACAAACUGCAGGGGAAAAGAGAUUGUUACAAUUAAAUGAGAUGAAAGAGUUUCGUAAUAAUGCUUAUGAGAAUGCUAAGAUUUAUAAGGAUAAGGCAAAAAGAUGGCAUGAUAAGCAUAUUCAGAAGCGCAAUUUUGAAGUUGGUCAAUAAGUUCUUCUUUUCAACUCACAUCUCAAGCUUUUUCUGGGUAAAUUAAGAUCGCGAUGGUCUGGUCCAUUCAUAGUUAACAAGGUUUUACCAUCAGGAGCAAUAGAAGUUCAUCAUCCAUCAAAGGAGACUUUUACAGUGAACGGGCAACAAUUGAAGCACUAUUUGGGAGGAAAUUUUAGCACCGAACGGGUGUCUGUUGUGCUUUCAAUUCCAAAGUACAAGAGUGGAGAAAGUCUAGCUAACAACUUAAAUUUUAGCGCUUUUCGAAAGACAACUCGAUUUAUUUUGAGCAAUUUUUAUUUUCGAAUCUUGAAUUAUUUUUAGUUGUUAGGAUUUUUAUUAAUUUUGUUUUUAUUUUGUUUCAAAGUUAAUUUAGUUAGUGAAUUUUUAGAGUUAAUUGUUUGGUAGUUUAGGAUUAAUUUUUAUUUUUUUUAUUUUUAACUAUUUUUCCUUUAUUUUCAGGAGAAAAAGGGCUUUUUACAUACCCAGUGAAAGGAGCCGCAGCGGGAGGCAUUGAGUGUCGCGGUUGACUCUUCAAAUGCUACUUAUAAAGGACCCGAGGCUAAACCACUGCAGCUAGUAAGGCUUUGCGCCGAAGCAGUCACCCCCAAUUGAAUUUCUCUUAUAAAAAUUAGGGCUUUGCGCCGCGGCGAAAAGACUUGAGCACCGCUACGCGAUGAGUAAAUGGGAGUUUUAAAAGGGCCAUUUUCCUUCAUUUUUCACAAACAACUUUUCUCAUUUUCUCAUCUUCUCUCCAUUUUCUCUCUAUCCUUCGAUCCUAAUCAUAUUUAAACUCCGAAUUCUUUGUUUUCUUUUGGGAUUACUCAUGGGUUUUGGAGAUUUGGCAAGAUUAAAGCUUGAUUUGGUGUAAUUUUGGAAGGAAAAUUGCAUAUCCAAUCCGUCUUCUUGUUGGGUCACGAUUUGGGGUGAUUGUUUCUACCUUUUUGCUGCAAUUUGGACACUACUAAAUGAUAAAUGAGCGAUUUUUUUAUGUGCCCCAAAAAUUCAUCAAAAAUGGAGUUUUUUCUUUUCCUUACUUUAUUUUCUUUUGUUCAUUGAGGGCAAUGAAAGUAAUUAAGUUUGGGGGGAACGAUUAAUUUCUUCUGGGUUUAGCUAAGUUCAGUUAAAAAUGUUUUUUUCGAAACUUCUUGAUUUUUUAGCAUUAUUUUUCGAGUUGAUUCAUAUAGUCAAUGAUAAUAUCUUGAUUGCUAUGAUGCGUGGUUGUUAAGAUGAAAUUUGAUAUUGCUUAGAUUUUGAGGAUAAUUUGGAUGUUUGUUUUGUUUGGAUUUGAGAUUCAAUGUUGGUCUAGUAUGGUGAUUUUGAUAACAAUCCCAUUUUGCAUGCUUAGAGACAUUUUAUUUAGACAAUUGUGGAUGAUAGAACUUGGCUGAUUGUUACUCAAGGUGAAAUCCUAGAUUUUCAUGUUACUUAGGAGAUGAUUUAGGCCAUUUUUAGAUCGUUUGAGCUUUUCUUACCUUACCCAAAAUAUUUUAUCCGCUAGUUACCUAUUUGAGCCUUUUUAUAUAAUGUUAGCCUUAUUUUUCUUUCUUUAAGCCUAUCUUCCUACCUAUUUUAAGCCUAAACACUUAUCCUUACCCUUGAUGAGAAUAUUUACAUGUUUGUUAUUUAUUUUGUUUGAGAGCAAAAAUAUCUUAUUGAGGAAAAUAUGGAAAUGUGUAUUGUUAACCUAGUUAUAAUAGAGAAAUAAGUUUGGGGGUUUUGAAGAAUAAAAGGAAGAGUGUGCAUAAAAAAAAAAAAAAAUUGGCAUUAGGGUGAAAUAUGUGAAAAGUGCUUAUGAGCACGAAAGAAAGAAAAAGUAUGAAAAGUUUCAAGAAGGUAGGAAGUGAUGUUAAUAUUAAAAGCUCCUUGAGUCUGUUACAUUUUGUUCAAUUGUGAAUGUUCUCAUUCUUUGAAUUUAUCCUUUCCAUUCUUUGUGAGCCAACACCUUAGCCUAACAUUACAAGCUUAUUAAAGACCUUUUGAUCCGAGGUAACAUGAUGAAUAUACAUUAGUGUAGGAUAGCAAGAAAGCCAAGCCUAUGAGAUUCGAUAUCAUACAUUACUUGUUAGAGGUCGACUUUGUCUAUAAUUGUUUUUAUAAAAUCAUUUAGGUAGUAGAAUUGAUUGUUUGAAAGGUUGCUUACUUGGAUUUUUCAUAAGAUUGAAGGUUUGAAUGGAAUGAAUGUCUGAGUAAUCCUUCUUGAUUCGUGCCCCGUUAGUGUACCUUGAUUUUUGGUCCCCUGAUGGGAGUAAUCAACAAAAUUUAUAACCUAUAUCACCAUGCACUAGGAUAGCAUAAGCUAGUAUAGCAUAGUGGCUCUAGGAUCGUUCACUGGGAAGGGUUUUCAACUUACAAUUGAUACCAAUCCAAAGUUGAAUUGGUCCCUUUUCAUUUCAAGGUUAGCUUCAAAAGAAAACAUAAACUUUGGUUGAAAAAGGUUUGGUUUCAAGCUAACUAAAAAGAAAGUAAUGGGAAUUACUUAUAAAGAAAAAGCGUCUCUUGGAGUUUUAGGAUCACUGGGGUCAGGCUCCUCAUGCAAAAACAGAGUUCCGGUCACUUUGGUUCUUUUCCUCGCAUUGGAGAAUUAACAUAUAGUUCAUUCUCCAACCGGUGUUGUACAGAUGCUUCCCUUUUAUGGAUUUUAGUACUAAUUCCCUCUCACUGAUGCAUCUUGCAAUGGCUCGUGCCUUUCACCUAGCAUUUACCAUUCAAGGUGAUCAUUAACCUUGGAUUUCUCUUCUCAAGCUCGCAAGAGAUAACUAAUGGAUGCCUCCUUAGAGUCCAAAAGCUUACCAAGUGUUGGCAAUUCUAGAAAAUCCUACCUUCAAGUCACCUCCCAAAAGCUUGCAAGAGGUAAACUAGUGCAUCUCCAUGGACGGAGAUCAGUUGCCUUACCAAGUGUUGGCUCAGGUGAAUUGAAGGCGUUUUAAGUUAACUAAAAACAUAGAAAUCAUAAACGGGUUACACUUUCUCUUCAUUAACAACUGAAACAACAAAACUCUCAAUUAUUGCAUUCGGGACCUUACCCGGCUACCUUAGCUCCAAGAGACAAAAAGGCCUAGCCACCCAUUCUCUGAGGAAACAUCCUCAGAGCUUGUUUGGCUAGUAAUGAAAAAUAUAAUCAAAUUGAGUAGGUAAGGCAGAGCAAAGCUCUGUAUUUUACUUCCUUUCAAACUAUACAAAAAGUUGUCUCUGAGAACAAGCUCCCGAGCUCCCCUUUUGUAAAGAAAAUUACAACUAUAUAUAAGGGGUUAUUCACCCUUUUUCCAAACUUAAUAACUAAGGAAUCCUAUAAUUGGUGGGUUACAAGGAGAGUUUGGGGAUUUAGACAUCAAAUAUCUAAAGCAAAAUAUCUAAAAAUGUCGGUCUCAAAUAUCUGGAAGCUUCAGGAGAACACCGCGGCACUGUGCAAAAAUGGCUGCGAAACUCUCCGGGUAAGCGCUAUCAAAAGAUCCAGAUAUGUCUGACCGGGGAAGUUGAAACGCUCUCCUCUCCCAUCCGGCGUCAAGUGCUGGAUGUGAAAUAUCCGGAUGGAAUGUCGGCGGAGCAGAAUUCCGGAUGUAAGACAUCCGAGUGGAAUGGCGGCGCACUUUCCUAUCCGGACUCCCUCAGGGAGAAGCACACGGCACUCGUGAUCAUCACACCCCGGACGAUAGCAUAUCCUAUUCGGAUAUGUUGUCCGGAUUAUUGACGCCCAUGUUCCUCCGCCCUCCGAUGGUGUGUCCGGACGCCCUGUCCGGACAUCUUUUGCCAUGGAUUCCAAAGAACUCUCCUCAAUCUCGAAUUGCUUUGGUGAUCAAAAAGCUAUCAAAACACCAAAACUUAACACAAUUUGAUUAGAUUUGAUUGCAAGGGUCCUUAAUAUGUUAAUUGGGUUAAAAGGUAAUAACUACUACUCAAAAGUGUUUAAAAGAGUUAAUUACAAGCUAUGAAAUAACACUUUUUGAGUAGUAAUCACUUCUCAUUUUUGUAAUGUUCGAUAGAUUCUUGACGGCUUUGUGUUAUUAGUAAUUUUUGAGAUAAUAUUAUGAAUCAAACUUGACAAAUGAAUUUGAUUCUAGAAGUUUGAGAAGUUUUGAGUCUUGAUUUAGUUUGUGAUUUAAUUAUUUUUAGAAUAGUUUUAGGUUAGAUUUUAUUUUGUUUUUGCUCGAGGACUAGCAAAAUGUUAAGUUUGGGAGAAUUUGAUAAGUCAAUUUAGAGCGACUUAUUAUCUAUGAUUUAACUUGAUAUUUCAUUAGUUUAAGAGUAAUUUUAUCUUAACAAUCAUUAUUUUUAUUGUUUUAGGUCUCAAAUAGCCAAGAGUAUGAAAAUGGAGCAAUAUGAGGCAAAAUUGGAAGAAAAAUAUGAAGUUUGGCGGCCUCUUACGUGACAAUUCGCGUAACUCACCCGAGAGGAAAGCUCUGCCGCGGGAAGGACUUAAGCGUCGCAGCGUACGCAUGUGGAAAAUCAUAGUUGGGGACUCGAGACAAAACCGCCACGUCUGGAGGUGCUUGUCCGCCGCGGCGCCCGAAGGAAUUUUAGAAAUCCUAGGAACCUGAGACUAAAGCGCCACGACGAGAGACAAUGAGCGCCACAACCCGAUAUUUAAAAUUUGAAAAUUAUUCAUCCUUAUCUCAUAUGUUCAGAUUCGAAUUAGGUGGGACGUCAAUUUACGAUAUUGGGGCUAUAAAUAGACGAAAGUAGGGUUUAUUCGGGGAUCUUGGAGACCUGGAAGAAGGAGGAUCUUGAAGACCUAGGAGAAGAAAGAGCUUGGAGAACAAGAAGGGGAUUUGCAGAUUUCCUUCUAUUUUUCUGGUUUAUUCUUCCCUUUUCUUUAUGAUUGUAAUUCAGGAUGUUUGUUCUUCAUCUCAAGAUGAACUAAUUUCCUUUGUCUAGGGCUGAGAUGUAGCUCAAUCACGACUUCUAUUUUUGAUUGGUUUAAAUUAAUUCUCUGUUUUGCAUUAAUUUAUUUGUGUAUCUAUUCUGCGCUUAAUGUUCUCAAUUCUUAAGGGCCCAAGUUUUGAUUGAUUUUAUGAUUUAGGUUGAUAACGAGAGUUAGAAUCUAAAUUAAAUCCAUAGAAUAGAUUACGUUAGAAUGAAUGAAUAGUAGAGAUACAUUACCAUGUUCUAAGAGAUUAAUAGUUAAAUCUAUAAUAAUUCCAUAGAUCUUAAUUACUCCUUUAGACUUAAAUUCACAUAGAGAUAUGUUAGGUUAGUAAUUUAAGGAGCAAUCUGAUAUAUUUCGAGAGAAAAUAUUGGUUGGCUUAAGGAAUUAAAUCUCCAAAUAAAGCAUAACAGGAAUUAGGUCAAGCAAUCAAUUGCAUGAAAAGUGUUUGUAGUGAAAUCAAAAGCCCUAGAUCGUUUAAAGCAUAAGAGUUUGAAUUUAUUUUCUAUAAUUGUUUAAGUUGCUUUCUUCUACAACUUUAAAUAUUCGGUUGAUCAAAUAGUAGUAGAAAUAAUAAAUUUUAGUAAUUAGUAGCAUAGUCCUUGUGGGUUCAAUAUCCGUACUUAGGUACAAUUAUAUUACUUGAAUGAUUCGUAUACUUGCAAACCAACACAUCAAUAGGGAACCAUUUCUUCAUGUCUUUCUUCAUCGCAAUAUUGUUAGUGUUCAACAAUAUGUCUUCAUUACCCAAACAAACCUAUCUUUUAUUGUUAAUAAGUUUGUCAGUUCAUGUCUCAACUUACUUCUACAUAUUGUUUAUCUAUGAAACACACUUUGCAUUAUUUGAUAGGAUCUUUAUAUUAGUAUCCUUUUACAAGAAAUUGAUCGUCUUCAUUUUCAAGCUUAUUCAAAUUCUGAUACAGUCUAGGCUCUUGUCCUAAUGACAAGAAAAACAAUAAUGAUUAUUGUGUCUUCCUUAGGUUGAAUUUGGCUUCUUAGUCCUCUAAUAAGCAAUGGGUUAUUUCAAGGAGUAGUGUUGAAUUAGAAUAUUGUGGUCUAACUACUACAAUUACUAAACUCACUUAGAUCUACUCUAUGCUUUAGGAACUGUGUAUAGCAUAGGUUACCCCUCCAAUUCUGUGGUGUGAUAAUCAAAAUACUGCUUAUCUUGCUACAAAUCCUAUCUUUCAUGCUCGCCUGAAACAUAUUGAACUCGAUAUCUGACAAAAUGUUACAUAAUGAACUUGUUAUUCAAUAAAUUCCCUCUACUGAUCAACUUACUGAUGUGCUUGUUAACCGAUUGUAGUAAACUUUGUGUUGUUCCCAAAUUGAUUAACUUGCGACGGGAUGAUAAAGAGUAGAUUGCCACCUCAACCUAACUUCUAGAAUAAUCUAUUAGCUGCAACAACUAUUUGUUAUGGAUACUACACACCCAUGUUUUGCUCUUGUUAGAUCUAGUGAAUUAGACAUUAAAGCUUAAAUAAAUAUUUAACAUCACAAGCUCAUGAGUUAGGUGAUUUUUUAGUUCAUUCUCUAGAAUUUUCAAUUUACUUCCAAAGCCUAUAAAUGACCAAUUGUUGAAACAUUGUACUAACAUAUUUUUUUUUUUCCUCAAAGCAUAAAAAUCACAAAUUGUUCGAAUAUUGGAUUGACCUUUUUUUUUCCCUUAUACUUUCGUAGUUGAAUUCAUAAUUUUAGCAAUAAAAAGGGACUAAUUACUUCCAUUAUUGAUAUUGAUGAAACAAUUCCAAUGUAUAUAUAUUGACUAGAUUUAAUUCAGUUGAUUUGAGAUUGAGGAUGAUUUUAUAUGAAUUUAAUGCAUUUUCAAGAUGUUUCAAUGAAGAAUUAAUAGAUAGCAUUUAGUAUGAUUACCAAAUUUGGCUAAAGAAAAAAGGAACUAAUGCCAUUGAAUGAUGACUUAUUCUCUUCCAUUUAAUAAAGGUUAUGUUUUUUAUAUUAUAUAUUUCUUGAUGUAAUUUUCUUUUUUUCAUUCUUCUAGGAUAACUCAUGAGUUUAUUAUUAUUUUUUGGAAUAUAAGAUUUUGCUCAGAGAAUUAGAAAAUGCAAUGAAAUUGAAAAUAUAUAAUUAAAACUUGAAUUUUAAUUUAAAUUUGGGGCUAGAAUAAUUGGCUCUAAUAUUCUAGGCUCCACUACUAAUAACUUUCUCUUAUAGAUUCCAACCAUUCCAAUAUCAUUUGACCAAUUACAUCACUAUGUUUAUCAUUCAAUCUCUUGAAGAUGUUUUCCACAAUUUCAUUGAUGUAUUUGGACUCAUACCAACCAAUUAUAAAUCAUAAUAAAACAUAUGGUGAGUCAAAUGAGCUACAAAAUAAUGAUAAAAGCAACAUGAGGAAAAUUUUAUAAUAUUUUUUUAUAAGCAAAUGGUAGUAAAUUUUAUGCUUAAAUCACAUCAUGACUACAUGAUUAGUAUCCAUGUAAAUGAAGCAAUAUCUUAGUGAGGGCUCCCAAGCUCCUAAUUAAGUAUUAUUAUCAUGGAAAAGAUGAUGUAAGGGUGGUAAUUCUUGAUUAAAUCAAACUAUAAAUAGGAUUUGAAAAUGACAUGAAACUAGUGAGUUCCAUUAAUUGAUGUUGAUCGAUCAUAUUCUAAGUUGAAGUUUUCAACCUGAAUGUAUACUUCAUUUUUUUCCUCUUAGUAUUGUUAUCCUAUGAUUGUCUUCCCUCAUCCAUGUUCCUUCAUUGCAUACAUACUUAGGAUCCUUUUCUAAGUCAUUUAUUGUGUCCUUAUUAGUUGUUCAUUGUUACUCAUCUUAUCACUGUUUUUGGACCUCUUUUAGGGAUAUAUAUUAGAAGGAUUUUGUUUUUCUAAUAUGAUUUUAGUAUCCUUUAGUUUUAGCUUAAGAGUUUGUUUUCAUUCGUAAGUUUUCUUUUGAUUUUGGUUUUUCAACUUGUUUUUAGUUUAGCCCCUUUAUCUUUGUUCUUAGGUAAAUUCAUUUAGUUGCAUUUUAGGAAAAUUCACUCAGUAGUUGAUUACUACUCAAAAAGUGCUCUUUUAUAGCUUGUUAUAAACUCUUUUAAACACUUUUGAGUAGUAUUUAUUACCUUUUAACUCAAUUGGCACAUUAAAGACCCUUGCAAAUGUUUCUAAUCAGGUUUUGGCAAGUUUUGGUGUUUUUGAUAGCUUUUUUAUCAUUAAAACGAGCCAAGAAUGAAGGAGAAUUUUGUAUAGUCCAUGGCAAAGCAAGUUGAAGCUCAAACACAUGAAGAAUUCAAGGUUUGGAGAGCUUCGUAGCCUUUUCCAAAUCAAUCAAGUAUGCAAGGAAGAGAAUCAAAGAAGAAAUCUAACAUCCAACAAUUUCACCUGGCUAUGAGAAAUUUUCGCAUAGCAUGUGAAAUGUCCAAAAGGAGUACAAGCUGCAGGACAGAGAGCAAGACUGUGAAAAAUGAAUUUCGCACCCUAUGCGAAAUUUCGCAAGCCUUGCAAAAAUCCUCCUGUGUAAUUUUCAGAUAUUUUUGCACCUACUCCGUCAGAUUUUUAUCUCGAGAUAUUUUGUGUAAUUACCUAUUUUAUCCUUGUAAUCAAUUAAAGAUAUUUUUAGAUAUUUAGGAUAUCUAAAUAAGGGGUUAAAAUAUCUCUUUAUAUAUGUCUUAAAAUAUCUCUUUUGUAAGCUCUCGGAAGAUUUUCCAGAGAACACUUGUAGAUUCUUGUAGUAAGAAAUACACAGAGCUUUGCUCUGCCUUACCUACUCAUUUUGUUUUUAUUUUCUUUCUAGCCAAACAACCUCUAAUGAUGUUUUCUCAGAGGAUGAGUGGCUAGGUUUUUCAUUUCUUGGACUGAAGGAAGCUAGGUAAGGGAUCCAGAUACAAAGGUGGGAGUUUUCCUUGUUUUAAAUGAGGAGAGUUGUUACCCUUUAAUGGUUUUUAUUUUUAAGGUUUAACUUAAAAUCCCUUCAAAUCAUCUGGGCCAAUACUUGGUAAGCUUUUCAGACUUCCUGGAGAUCCAUUAGUUAUCUCUUAUGAGCCUCUAGGAAGUGGUUUAAAGGUAGGAUUACCUAAAAUGACCAAUACUUGGUAAGCUUUUCGGACUCCCUAGAGAUCCAUUAGUUAUCUCUUACGAGCCUCUGGAAGGUGGUUUAAAGGUAGGAUUACCUAGAAUGGCCAAUACUUGGUAAGCUUUUCGGACUCCCUGGAGAUCCAUUAGUUAUCUCUUACGAGCCUCUGGGAGGUGGUUUAAAGGUAGGAUUACCUAGAAUGACCAAUACUUGGUAAGCUUUUCGGACUCCCUGGAGAUCCAUUAGUUAUCUCUUACGAGCCUUUGAAGGGUAAUCCAAGGUUAGGAUCACCUUGAAUGGCCAAUACUUGGUAAGCUUUUCGGGUUCCAUGGAAUCCAUGGAUGUCUAUUAGUUAUCUCUUACGAGCCAUUGAAAGAUGAUUCACAGUGAGAGGUCUUUAGUGUUUGAAACCAUUAAUGGGAAGCAACUACAGUUUUUCAUGGACCAAUGGGAUCAAAUCUUGAUUGCUAAAUACACACCGGUUCGGGAGAUAACCAUUCUUUAUGUUAUUAUCCCCAACGCGAGGAAAAGAUCCGGAAUCUCCUCCUUUUGUCUAAGGAACCUGAACCUAGUGACCUAAAACUCUAAGAAAUCCUUUUCUUUGUAAUUAAUCUCAGUUACUAUUUUUGGUUAACUUAAAACCAACCUUUUUCAACCAAAAUUAUGUUUUCUUUUAAAGCUAACUCAUAAAAGAAAAAGCAUCAUUUCAGUACUUUAACUAAUAUCACUUGUAAUAUGAAAACCCAUCCUUGUGGACGAUCCUAGAACCACUAUACUAUGCUAGCUAUGCUACCCUAGUGUAUGGUGAAUUAGGUUUAUAAAUUUUGUUGAUAACUCCCGUCUGAGGACUGAAUCAAAUAGAUCACCAAUUGGGGACAAAUCAAAUGGCGUCGUUGUCGGGGAUGGUGCCACUUCACAGUGAUAUAACCUUUACAAAACACUUGUGAUCUUCAUCACAAGUUUGGUGAUUUUUCUUUUCUUUUACUAACUCUUUUUAUUUGUUUUCAUUUUAGUUUAUCUUUUAUCUAGUUUUUAGUUAACCUUAAUUUUUUUUUUCUAGAAUUGUAUUUCUUUUGUUUUCUGUGUUUUUGUUUCAAUUAUUGCUAGUUGUGCAUGCCCUAUUGGAUAUGAGACAAUGAGGGAAGACUUAUGAAAAUCGAAACUCCUCACGAAACAGAGUUGGAAUUGUGCUUGAACGUCAUGGAAGCUACACCUGAAGAUCAGCAUAGUCAACAUGCUCAGGAGGAGAAUUUCAACGCAUACCGAUCCAUGAGGGACCGCAUGCAUGCACCUCGUAUGAGUGCACCGUCAUGCAUAGUGCCACCUACAGAGCAACUGGUGAUCCGACCACAUAUUGUGCCACUUCUACCUACUUUCCACGUGAUGGAAAGUGAGAAUCCCUACGCGCAUAUCAAGGAAUUUGAGGAGGUUUGUAAUACUUUCCAAGAAGGAGGAGCUUCAAUCGACUUGAUGAGGCUCAAGUCAUUUCCUUUCACCUUGAAGGAUAAGGCCAAGGUCUAGCUUAAUUCUUUAAGGCCAAGGAGUAUUCGAACUUGGACUGAUUUGCAAGCUGAAUUUCUUAAGAAAUUUUUCCCGACCUAUAGGACCAAUGGCUUGAAAAGGCAAAUUUCAAACUUCUCAGCUAAAGAGAAUGAGAAAUUCUAUGAGUGUUGGGAGAGAUACAUGGAAGCUAUCAAUGCUUGUCCUCACCAUGGCUUUGAUACAUGGCUAUUGGUGAGCUAUUUUUACGACGUUAUGUCUUUCACUAAUGAAGCAACUCCUAGAAACUAUGUGCGAAGGAGACUUCAUGAGUAAGAAUCCGGAGGAAGCCAUGGAUUUCUUGAGUUAUGUAGCUGAAGUUUCAAGAGGAUGGGAUGAGUCGAAUGCUAGAGAAGUGGGAAGAAUGAAGUCUCAACUUAAUGCUCCUAAUGCUAAGGCUGGAAUGUAUACUUUGAACGAAGAAAUCGAUAUGAAAGCAAAAGUUGCAGCUAUGGCAAGAAGAUUGGAGGAGCUAGAAAUGAAGAAGAUAUGAGAAGUGCAGGUCAUUUCUGAAACACCAAUGCAAGCUAUGUCGUGUUCCAUUUGUCAAUCUUUUGAGCACUUAGUGGAGGAGUGUCCUACGAUUCCAAUUGUGAGAGAAAUGUUUGGGGAUCAAGCAAAUGUUAUUGGACAAUUUAAGCCCAAUAACAAUGCUUCAUAUGGCAACACCUACAAUUCAAAUUGGAGGAACCAUCCGAAUUUCUCAUGGAAACCAAGGGCACCUCAGCACACACAACCUGGCCAAGCACCUCCGUAAGCCUCAAAUCUUGAACAAGCCAUUAUGAAUCUUAGAAAGGUCGUGGGAGACUUUGUUGGAGACCAGAAAUCCAUCAAUGCUCAGCUCAGUCAAAGAAUUGACAGUGUAGAGAGUACAUUGAACAAAAUAAUGGACGGAAUACAAAAUGAUCUAUCUCAGAAGAUAGAUAAUCUCCAGUACUCAAUCUCAAGGCUCACCAACCUCAACACAGUAACAAAGAAAGGAAAGUUUUCUUCUCAACCUCAUCAGAAUCCCAAGGGUAUCCAUGAAGUAGAGGCUUAGGAGGGAGAAUCUUCACAUGUGAAACAAGUCAAAGCAGUUAUCACUCUAAGGAGUGGUAAAGAGAUUGAUCUGCCUACCUCCAAGCAAGAGCAUGAACCAGAGAGUGAAACAUAGAAAGAAAAGAGGAAGGAAAUCAAAGGAAAGAAAAAAGGGAACAGUGCAAAGAAUGAGGACCUUGAAUCUACUGUGAAUGAAGAACCAGAGAGGACCAUCAACCAAGAAGAUAUGAUGAAGAAACACAUGCCUCCACCUUUCCCCCAAGCUUUGCAUGGCAAAAAAGGAAUCAAUAAUGCAUCAGAAAUUCUUGAAGUGUUGAGGCAAGUGAAAGUUAACAUCCCUUUGCUAGACAUGAUUAAACAAGUUCCGACUUAUGCAAAAUUCCUGAAGAACUUAUGCAUUAUAAAAAGAGGGUUGAAUGUGAAUAAGAAAGCCUUCUUGACUGAGCAAGUAAGUGCCAUUAUACAGUGCAAGUCUCUAGUGAAAUACAAAGAUCCAGGUUGUUCUACCAUCUCAGUGAUUAUUGGAGGGACGUGUGUGGAGAAAGCUUUGUUGGACUUGGAGGCAAAUGUGAAUUUGCUACCCUAAUCUGUCUACAAGCAAUUGGGACUUGGAGAGUUGAAGACAACAUCAAUCACUCUAUCUCUAGCAGAUAGAUCUGUGAAGAUUCCAAGAGGCAUGAUUGAAGAUGUCCUAGUUCAAGUUGACAAAUUCUACUACCCAGUGGAUUUUGUUGUUCUUGAUACAAACCCAGUUGCCAAAUGAACUAACUAUGUUCCUAUCAUACUUGGAAAACCAUUCCUAGCUACAUCAAAUGGUAUCAUCAAUUGUAGGAAUGGAGUCAUGCAACUUAUGUUUGGCAACAUGACGUUAGAGCUCAACAUCUUCUAUUUGUGCAAGAAACAAUUCCAUCCAGAAGAAGAAGAAGAACCAAAAGAGGUGUGCAUGAUUGACAACUUAGUGGAGGAGCAUUGUGAUCAGAAAAUGCUCAAAGAUUUGAAUGAAAGUCUUGGGGAUCUUGAUGAAGGGUUACCUGAACCCUCAGAUUUGCUUGCACUUUGCCCCCUUGGAAGAGGAGGGAAGAAAUUCUACCUUUAUUCAAUGGGGAGGAGACACAAGAAGUUGUUAAGGAGGAGCCCCCAAAGCUUAUUCUGAAGCCACUACCCACGGAGUUGAAGUAUGCAUACCUGGAAGAAAACAAACAGAGCCUUGUUGUUAUUUCUUCAUCUCUUACCACUCCUCAGGAGGAUUGUCUACUUGAAGUCCUCAGGAGAUGUAAGAAGGCGAUAGGGUGGCAAAUAUCUGAUCUGAAAGGGAUCAACCCUUUAGUUUGUACCCAUCAUAUAUACAUGGAAGAAGAAGUUAAGCCAGUUCGAAAACCUCAGAGAAGGUUGAACCCUCACAUGCAAGAGGUGGUGUGAGCUGAAGUGCUUAAGCUACUUCAGGCUGGUAUUAUCUACCCCAUAUCAGAUAGCCCAGGGGUGAGUCCUACGCAAGUCGUGCCAAAGAAAUUAGAGAUCACGGUGGUGCAAAAUGAUAAGGGAGAAGAAGUUUCUACACACCUCACUUCAGGUUGGAGGGUGUGUAUUGAUUAUAGAAAGUUGAAUGUUGUAACAAGGAAUGACCGCUUCCCGUUGUCGUUUAUUGAUCAAGUGCUUGAGAGGGUCUCUGGCCAUCCAUUUUACUAUUUCUUGGAUGGCUACUCCGGGUAUUUUCAAAUGGAAAUUGAUGUUGAAGACCACUUUCACAUGUCCAUUCGGAACCUACACAUACGGAAGAAUGUCUUUCGGCUUAUGCAAUGCACCCGCAACAUUCCAAAUAUGCAUGUUAAGCAUUUUCAGUGAUAUGGUGGAGCGUAUUAUGGAAGUCUUUAUGGACGAUAGCACCAUAUAUGGAAGUACGUUUGACGAAUACUUAAUCAACUUGGAAGUUGUUCUGAACCGAUGCAUUGAGAAACACUUGGUGCUUAACUAGGAGAAAUGUCAUUUCAUGGUACACCAAGGGAUUGUCCUUGGGCAUAUUAUCUCAAAGCAAGGCAUUGAAGUGGACAAAGCAAAGGUUGAACUUAUUGUCAAGUUGUCAUCGCCAACAACUAUCAAAUGAGUAAGGCAAUUCCUUGGUUAUGCAGGGUUCUAUAGGAGGUUUAUCAAAGAUUUCUCUAAACUUGCAAGACCUCUUUGUGAACUAUUGGUAAAGGAUGCUAAAUUUGUAUGGGAUGAUCGAUGUCAACGGAGUUUUGAAGAACUGAAGCUAUUUUUGACAACCGCUCAAAUACUGAGAGCUCCCAACUGGCAAUUGCCCUUUGAAGUGAUGUGCGAUGUCAGUGACUUUGCUAUAGGAGCUAUUCUUGGGUAAAGAGAAUAUGGAAAGCCCUAUGUGAUCUACUAUGCGAGCAAAACGUUGAAUGAAGCGCAAAGAAACUACACAACCAUAGAGAAAGAAUUGUUGGCUGUAGUUUUUGCCUUAGACAAAUUCCACACUUAUUUGGUGGGGUCUUUCAUUGUGAUUUUCACUGAUCAUUCGACCUUGAAAUAUCUGCUAACUAAGCAGGAUGCAAAAGCGAGGCUGAUUAGAUGGAUUCUCUUGCUUCAAGAGUUCAAUCUUCAUAUCAAAGACAAGAAAUGAGUGGAGAAUGUGGUAGUCGACCAUCUGUCAAGGCUAGCCAUCGCAACAAAAUUCCCAUAGUUUGCCCAUUAAUGAUGAUUUUCCAGAGGAGUCACUCAUGUUGAUGAAAGUCGCUCCUUGGUAUGCUCAUAUUGCUAACUAUUUAGCUAUCGAAGAAGUUCCAAGUGAGUGGAAAGCACAAGAUAAGAAGCACUUCUUUGCAAAAAUUCAUGCCUAUUAUUAGGAAGAGUCAUUUCUAUUCAAAUAUUGUGCAGAUCAAAUAAUACGGAAGUGCGUCCCUGAACAAGAGCAACAGGGGAUCCUCAGUCAUUGCCACGAAAGCGCAUGUGGAGGCCACUUUGCUUUUCAAAAGACAGCUAUGAAGGUAUUGCAAUCGGGUUUCUGCUAGCCAUCACUUUUCAAAGAUGCCCACACCAUGUGCAGGAGCUGUGAUAGAUGUCAGAGGCUUGGGAAGUUAACACAUAGGAACAUGAUGCCUUUGAACCCCACUUUAAUAGUUGAUCUUUUUUAUGUCUGGGGCAUUGACUUCAUGAGACCUUUUCCUAUGUCCUUUGGCUACUCCUACAUCUUGGUAAGGGUAGAUUAUGUUUCUAAAUGGGUUGAAAUGAUCCCAUGCAAAUGCACUGAUCACAGAGUUGUUCUCAAAUUUCUCAAAGAGGACAUCUUCUCUAGAUUUGGAGUACCCAAGGCUUUAAUCAGUGAUGGGGGUACUCAUUUUUGUAACAAGUCGUUCGAAACUCUCUUAGCCAAGUACGGGGUAAAGCAUAAGGUAGCUACACCUUACCACCCUCAGACUUCUAGGCAAGUUGAGUUAGCAAAUUAGGAGAUCAAAAACAUACUGAUGAAGGUGGUGAAUAUGAGCAGAAGAGAUUGGUCUGUUAAGCUUCAUGAUUCACUAUGGGCGUACAGAACAGCUUACAAGACCAUUCUUGGAAUGUCUCCUUAUCGCCUAGUCUACGGCAAAAUGUUCCAUCUCCCCGUGGAAGUGGAAUACAAAGUUUGGUGGGCAAUCAAGAAGCUCAACAUGGAUUUGAGCAGAGCCGACAUGAAGAGGUUCUUAGACCUUAAUGAGAUGGAGGAACUGAGAAAUGACGCCUACAAUAAUUCAAACAUUGCAAAACAAAGAUUGAAGAGGUGGCAUGAUCACUUAGUCUCCCGCAAAGAAUUCCAGAAGGGACAAAGAGUCUUGCUAUAUGACUCUAAGCUCCAUGAUUACUACUCAAAAAGUGCUAUUUCAUAGCUUGUAAUUAACUCUUUUAAACACUUUUGAGUAGUAGUUAUCACCUUUUAACCCAAUUAACAUAUUAAGGACCCUUACAAUCAAUUCUAAUCAAAUUGUAUUAAGUUUUGGUGUUUUGAUAGCUUUUUUAUCACCAAAGCAAUCCGAGAUUGAGGAGAGUUCUUUGGAAUCCAUGGCAAAAGAUGUCCGGACAAGGCGUCCGGACACACCAUCGGAGGGCGGCGGAACGUGGGCUGUGGCAGGCUGUCGGAAUGACGUAGCAAGGCUUGUGCACUUUAGCCAAUGAUCCGGACAACAUAUCCGGAUAGGAUAUGCUAUCGUCCGGGGUGUGAUGAUCGCGAGUGUUGUGUGCUUCUCCCUGAGGGAGUCCGGAUAGGGGAGCGCGCCACAUAUCCUCUUAGAGAAUCCGAAUGGAGUUGCUCCGGAUAGCGAUGCGCACUCCGUGUCAUCAGGAGAAGGGGUCCCUACACCUUGCACACGCAGACAGCCCCCUUGCGAUGUGUGGCAUCGCACAUUCCACCCGGAUGUAUCACAUCCGGAAUUCUUCUCCGCCGACAUUCCAUCCGGAUAUUUCGCAUCCGACGUUUGAUGCCGGAUGGGAGAGGAGGGCGUUUCAACUUCCCCGGUCAGACAUAUCCGGAUCCUCUGAUAGCGCUUACCCAGAGAGUUUCGCAGCCAUUUUGCACUGUGACGCAGUGUUCUCCUGAAGCUUCCCGAUAUUUGCGACCGAUAUUUUGAGAUAUUUUGCUUUAGAUAUUUGAUGUCUAAAUCCCCAAACUCUCCUUGUAACCCACCAAUUAUAGGAUUCCUUAGUUAUUAAGUUUGGAAAAAUGAUGAAUAACCUUAUAUAUAUUAUUAUUGUAAUUUUCAUAUAAAUAUCUCUCGGGAGCCUAUUCUCAGGGAGACGACGCAUCCUUUGUACAGUUUUGCAAGGAAGUAAAAUACAGAGCCUUUGCUCUGCCUUACCUUCUCGUUUUGAUUGUAUUGUAUAUUAUUUAAUUUUUCUUUCUAGCCAAUCAAACUCUGAGGAUUUUUCCUCAGAGGAUGAGAGGCUAGGCUCUUCGUCUCUUGGAGUGAAGAAAGCCGGGUAAGUUUCCUCAUGCAUAAAUUGGAAGUUUUGUUGUUUUAGUUUUUAAUGAAGAGAAAGUGUGACCCGUUAAUGGUUUCUAUGUUUUUAGUUAACUUAAAACGCCUUUAAAUCACCUGGGCCAACACUUGAUAAGGCAAGUGGUCUCCAUCCAUUGAGAUGCACUAGUUUAUCUUUUGCGAGCCUUUGGGAGGUGGUUUGAAGGUAGGAUUUUCUAGAAUAGCCAACACUUGGUAAGCUUUUGGACUCCAAGGAGACAUCCAUUAGUUAUCUCUUGCGAGCUUUUGACGGGUAAUCCAAGGUUAAAAAUCACCUUGAAUGGCAAAUGCUAGGUGAGAGGCACGAGCCAUUGCAAGAUGCAUCAGUGAGAGGGAUUUAGUGUUUGAACCCAUUAAAGGGAAGCAUCUGUACCACACCGGUUAGAGAAUUAACUAUAUGUUAAUUCUCUAAAGCGAGGAAAAGAAACAAGUGACCGGAACUCCCUUUUUGUACAAGGAACCUGAGCCUAGUGAUCUAAACUCCAAGAAACACUUUUCUUUGUAAGUAAAAUCAGUUACUAUUUUUGGUUAGUUUAAAACCAAACCUUUUCCAUUCAAACAUCUUUAUGUUUUCUUUUAAAGCUAACCUUGGAAUGAAAAGGCACCAAUUCAGCUUUGAAUUAAUAUCAAUUGUGGAGUGAAAACUCAUCCCAGUUAACGAUCCUAGAGCCACUAUGCUAUAGUAGCUUUGUCUUUGCUACCCUAGUUCAUGGUGUAAUAAGUUAUAAAUUUUGUUGAUUACUUCCUGAGGACCAAAAUCAAGGGACACCAGCUGGACACGAAUCAAAUGGCACCACUGUCAGGGACCAUUGAGAUGACAGCUGAGACACCAAUUGGGAACGAAUCAUUCCACAUCUUCCCGGGAAAACUGAAGUCAAGGUGGAUAGGUCCGUUUACUAUCCAACAAGUGCAUUCAAAUGGAGUGGUGGAACUACUCAAUUCCAACAACAUCGAGAGUUUCAAAGUCAAUGGCCAUCGUCUCAAGCCAUUUGUGGAGCCUUUUUCUCUAGACAAUGAGGAAAUCAUCAUCUUUGAGCCACAUCAAGCUUAACAAGACAAGUGGUUAGAUGGACUUAGUCUGUCGAAAGACAUUAAGUCUAUAAUUUUUUGUUUUAAUGUUGAUUUAAAGUUUUAUUGAUUUAGUACUUGUUUUAAUUGUAAUUUCUUGCUUUAAUUUUAUUUUUUUGUGAUUUAAUUUAAUUUUUUAUGAUCAAUUGCAAGUGGAUUUCAUAAUAGAUGGGAAAAACCUUUAAAAAAUUUAUGGUGGAGGAAAAACAGAGCAUUUCGCACAUGCUGCGAAAAUUUUGCAAGGCUUGCGAAAAUCCCAAAUAUCAUUUCGCAAGGGGUACGAAAAUUUCGCACACCCUGCAAAAGCCAAUUCGCACACCCUGUGAAAAUUUCGCAAGGCAUGCGAAAAAUUCGCAUACCCACCUUUGCAUUGCGAAAAUGCCAUGCGAAAUUGCUUUGCUUUGCGAAAAUGUUUUGCGAAAACCUGUGCCAAAUUAGAGAGGGUAUGCAAACCCAUUUCACAAUCCUGUGCGAAGUCCAACAGCCGGUGCGAAAACCAACAGUCACUUAAAACUCUAUUUAAAGCCCUCUAAGCCCUAUUUUCAUUUCGUACACCCCAUCUACCCAUUGCGAAAGCCUCUAUCACCUUGCGACGCCCAAACUUCCAUCGUUUUUCUCCAUUGGACGCCCCGCGACCACCCAUUUGAAGAGGCGACCCCCACCGAACUUGAAGAACACAGACCCGAGCCUUUCACUCCAUUUUUUACAUGGCGCGAAUUAGAGGAGGCCAUACCGACUCUUCACUCUCUCGCGAGCCGAGGCCAAGAGCCUGCUCUCCUCAAGAUUCGACAUCUCAGGCCCUUGAGGCCCCAACCAUUCCAUCUUUUGAGGGAGGAGUGCCCUCUAAUCCUCCUCAACAUAGAUACGAGACGUGGAGACCACCGACUACACCUGGGACUACUUCUUCGCGCCCUGAGACCUCAAUACGUUGCACUCCAACUAAGAGGGCCAGGACUUUAGGCCCUGGAAAGUCGUCUAGAUCUUCACAGCCUGAUCAUAGGGCCCCUGUCGAUUCUCAGCGUCCUUCUAACAUGUCACCGGAAGCCAUCAUCAAACGACCUAUGGUCACCGCGCCGCCCAUUAAGGGCAAUUCAGAUUGUAGAGCCAGACCAUUUCAUUCCGAGCUAUAUUUUGACCUCGAGGUUAUGCGACAGUAGUCGGAGCUUCGGGAUUCAUUUGGACUACUCCAGAGGUACCAUCUCGAGCACCUUAUGACUCCCAGGGAGUUCUUUUACCCCAAAGUGGCAAUGGACUUCUAUCAUUCUAUGACUACUCAAGGCGCCUGGAGUCCUACCGCCAUUCACUUCAGCAUUGAUGGGCGCCAGGGUAUCCUUGAGGCUAGACACAUUGCAGAGGCUCUACAUAUUCCAUACGAGCUAGUGAAUCCAGCAGAUUGCCAGGAGUGGUCCCCUGUAUCUCAGUGGGACAUGGUCCGCAUCUUAUCCAUGGAAACCUUUGGAGAUUCAGUCCUUCUACGUAAGGAGCUUCCACCUAGGAUGCUCCUAGUAGAUGUGUUGCUACAGUCCAAUCUUUUUCCCCUUCAGCAUUUAGUGCAGAUGAGAGGAGCCAUUCUGAACGCUUUAUUCCGGAUAUCCAAGGGUUUCUAUUUCGGGCCACAUCACUUGAUUAUGGCCUCUCUCCUCCACUUUGAGGAGAAGGUUCACAGGAAGAAGCUCCAGAGAGCCGACACUAUUCCACUACUGUUUCCGAGGUUGCUAUGUCACAUAUUGGAGCAUAUGGGUUAUCCUACUGAGCCCUACCUUGAGCGCCGCCAUCAUUGUCGAGAGCGAUUCACUCUCAACAAAUGGACACAGUUGGCGGGCUAUUCGGCACCUCUAGAAGUCCCACCCAGGCCAGCACCUCCAGUGCCACCAUAGGCUGAGUAGGCACAACAGGAUGAGCUUCCCACGGAGUCUGUACCACCUACCCCUACAACACCUAUGCCUGAGGCCACUUAUACUGCUCCUCCUACCACUCCUGCCGUUCCACCAGUUGCACCUUCUAUAUCUGAGGCCUUCAUCACCAUUUCUGCCACAGAGUUUCGCGCCAUGGUACAUACAUUCCAGACACUGACCACUACACACAAUGCUUUAUUCCAACAGAUGGCCACCAUGCGUGCUCGGUAAGACCAUCAUACUGCUAUCCUUCAUCAUAUUCAGCAGCAUUGGGGACUUCUGCCACCACCUCAGCCUGACAUUCAUGGACCAUCACAGCCCAUAGCUCUAGUUAAGGAGACUAUUCCAGCUGAGGAGACCACUAAAGCCAAUGUCCCGAUCUAGCCUACUCAGGAGGCCACCACAGAGGCAUCACCUCCACCAGAGGCCCCCGCUACUUGAUCAUCUCUUUAUCAUAUUGUAUUUACUUAUUAUAUUAGUAGACAUAAUUACAUGUUUUGAUGUUUUAUAUUAUGGGAUUGGAUGUAUUACAUGAUCAUAUCUCACAUUGUACUUUCUCAGAGUAAUAUAUACACAUCAUUUUUUAUUAUAUUUGUCAUUCUUCUAUUUCCUCUACUCAUUACUCUUUUGUUUUUUGAAUCAUGUGGUUUAUCCUAUACGACUCAAACUCCAUGUCACUCAGGAGGUACCACUUCCUUCUUUUAUUUUCAAUCGCUCUUGCCACAUUGAGGACAAUGUUGAUCUUGGUUGAGGGGAGAGUUAAGGAAGAAAGUUUUGUUAAUAAUGCUAGGUUAUUUUGUUAAUUUAGGUCUUUUUUCUUAAUUUUAAACUUUUUGCUUAAUUUUAAAAGUUUUUAUUCUACCAUCCAUGAUUAUUAAGAAAAUUUUCUCAAAAGGAAAUGGGAGAUAUUGAAUUCUUAUCUUUUUACUUGAAUCUUAGAGUUUAUAUUAUGUGUAUUGAGGUUGAUGAAUUAUUGAAAAUCCUAUUGAAUUCAACCUUAUUUCUUCCACUUUAAUCUUACCACACACUAUGCACAUUAGGUUCCAUUUAUAAGAUGAAAAACUAUCUCACCCCCUAAACUUAGGAAAACUUUGACUUAGUACCUUUGACCUCAUUUUAAUAGUAUUGGGACACCUUAUAAAAGGCCAAUGAGCCUUUGAAAAAAAAAAUAAGAAAGAACAAAGUGUUUCGCUUGCCUUGAAACCCGAGCAAGAUCCGAGGGGUUUAUGGCGAAAGUCUUUAAAACCCGAUGCCCUAAACCUUUAUUGGUUGGGAGUCACCAACCUCAAUGCUCGUUGCAAGGGUGAAUAGGUGGAGUUUAACAUAUUGUAGGUGCUUGGGUAUUAAAUGUCAAUCUCAAAAGUCCGGGGUAAAAUCUGAAGAGUUAGUGGUCGAAAGAUCCUUAAAGCUUGAUGCCCUAAACCUUGAUUGGUUGGGAGCCAUCGAUGGAUCCCUAUUACAUGGACACUUUAGAAAACAAUACCUUAAGCAUUGCACACUUACAAUGAAAAAAAAAAUUUGUGAAAUAAAAGAGGUGCGUUUUUAGCCUAUUGGAGGUUGGUCAGUUUGCUAAAGUUUGAGAAAGAACUAGGUUGGGGGGAGAGAUUAGUUCAGCAUACUAUAUUCGGAAACUAAUAAGCUUAACACAUAGAUUUUUGUGCAAUAGUAAGGAUUGAGGCUAUGAGAGUGGAAAUCCUUUUAAUACUUAAAUUUGCAUAAUGCCUACUUUUUAUGAAUUGUGAUCAGGCAAGAUAUUUGAUAAAUUCUUGUUGAAGGUUGAGUUUUGCUUCUUUAAUGUCCCAUGAGAGAGUAUGCUCUACAUCAUGCCACUUGAAAAAAUUUUGGAGUGAUCAGCAUGAUUUUGUAAAUUAUUUUACUGUCUAUUUUUCAUUUUUCUCUCCUUCAUUGCUAAGGGACUAGCAAUAUGUCGGUUGGGGGGAGUGAUUACUACUCAAAAAGUGCUCUUUUAUAGCUAGUUAUAAACACUUUUGAGUAGUAUUUAUUACUUUUUAACUCAAUUGGCACAUUAAAGACCCUUGCAAAUGUUUCUAAUUAGUUUUUGGCAAGUUUUGGUGUUUUUGAUAGCUUUUUUAUCAUUAAAACAAGCCAAGAAUGAGGGAGAAUUUUGUAUAGUUCAUGGCAAAGCAAGUUGAAGCUCAAACACAUGAAGAAUCCAAGGUUUGGAGAGCUUCGUAGCCUUUGCCAAAUCAAUCAAGUAUGCAAGGAAGAGAAUUAGAGAAGAAAUCUAACAUCCAGCAAUUUCGCAUGACUAUGCAAAAUUUUCGCAUAGCAUGCGAAAUGCCCAAAAAGAGUACAAGCUACAGAACAGAGAGUAAGACUGUGAAAAAUGAAUUUCGCACCCUAUGCGAAAUUUUGCAAUCCUUGCGAAAAUCCUCUUGUGUAAUUUUCAGAUAUUUUUGCACCGACUCCGUUAGAUUUUUAUCUCGAGAUAUUUUGUGUAAUUACUUAUUUUCUCCUUGUAAUCAAUUAAAGAUAUUUUUAGAUAUUUAGGAUAUCUAAAUAAGGAGUUAAAAUAUCUCUCUAUAUAUGUCUUAAAAUAUCUCUUUUGUAAGCUUUCGGAAGAUUUUCCAGAGAACUCUUGUAGAUUUUUGUAAUAAGAAAUACACAGAGCUUUGCUCUGCCUUACCUACUCAUUUUGUUUUUAUUUUCUUUCUAGCCAAACAACCUCUGAUGAUGUUUUCUCAGAGGAUGAGUGGCUAGGUUUUUCAUUUCUUGGACUGAAGGAAGCUAGGUAAGGGAUCCGGAUACAAAGGUGGGAGUUUUCCUUGUUUUAAAUGAGGAGAGUUGUUACCCGUUAAUGGUUUUUAUUUUUAAGGUUUAACUUAAAAUCCCUUAAAAUCACCUGGGCCAAUACUUGGUAAGCUUUUCAGACUCCCUGGAGAUCCAUUCGUUAUCUCUUAUGAGCCUCUGGGAGGUGGUUUAAAGAUAGGAUUACCUAAAAUAGCCAAUAAUUGGUAAGCUUUUCGGACUCCCUAGAGAUCCAUUAGUUAUCUCUUACAAGCCUCUAGGAGGUGGUUUAAAGGUAGGAUUACCUAGAAUGGACAAUAUUUGGUAAGCUUUUCGGACUCCCUGGAGAUCCAUUAGUUAUCUCUUACGAGCCUUUGAAGGGUAAUCCAAGGUUAGGAUCACCUUGAAUGGCCAAUACUUGGUAAGCUUUUCGGGGUCCAUGGAAUCCAUGGAUGUCUAUUAGUUAUUGACCGAAAUUUCUCUAUUGUACCAAAAUACUUAGCCUUUUUACGUAGUAACUCUGGUCAAGAAAAACUAGAGAAAGAGUCACUACGGCUUUUGUAGUAUUCCGGGUAUCGUUCUCAAGGACUGGCUUAUGAAAAUUGUCAAUACUAGAAUAAAUGAAUUGUUUUUUGUUUAAAUCCUUAAGUGAAAAACAAUAUGUGAAUAAUGUGAAACUAAGUAAAAGAAAUUGGAUUAAUAAGAGAAAAUGAAUAUUGAUUUUAAAUUCAAUUGAUUCAAGUUUGGGGUUUUCCACAAUCCAACCUAGGGUAUAGAAAUUAUAGAAAACAAGGGUAUUUUAAGUAAUAUGAUCUUAGGGUUUUGGGAUCCUUGGCCACUCGCGAUCAAGUUGGGUUCUAUAACUCAAAAUUGCAUCCGAAACCUAAUUUUUCCUUUUUCAAACAGAUUCCUAAAACCAUCAAAUGAAUGAGAUUGAUUAUCAAUUUAAGAUUUGGCUUUUUAACCCUUCCUACUCCUUAUAGCUUUGUUUAGGGGCAAAUAACGGUAGGGAAAACGAGGAUAACUAAUGAUCAAGAAUUACCAAGAAUCACUAGUAUCAAGUAAUAACCUAUCGUAUCAUUCCCUAAACGAACUCACAAGGAUAGGAUAAAAAAAUAUAAUAAAUUGUCACCCAACCAAUAAUUAAUCUCAUUGUUAUAGUAAUUUACCCAUUGUCCCUAUAGGUUUCCUAGCCCUUAGGUUUUCAUGCUUCAAGCCCCAAGUUGGCUCUUAGCCUCUCAUGGGGGUGAUGUCACAUUCACAAUCCAUAGUAGGGUAAAAAUCCAUAAUUUGAAUCAAAAGAAACUAAAAACAAUAUAUUCAAGAAAGAAGGAGAAGAAAACAAACCAAAGUUCUCGUCUUCUUCCACCUUCAAUGUCAAACUCUCUAGAAAAAAAUCCAAGAUCCAAGAUCCCUAAAACCUAGAAUUGAGAGGGUUUAUAUAAUAUCCUCAAUUACCUAACAUGUGGCACACUCUCAUUGGCCACUUAUUACAAAAUAAUUUCCUAAAAAUGAUUAAAAAAUAAUAAAAUGGUGAUUUCUAGUCGUGUGGGGUCCACCUAGGCCGGAUGGAGUGCUUUAGAUGCAAUUCCCGAGGUAGAGGAGGCGGAACAUCAAAGUGGCAGUGGGUGAAUUCGAAAUUGGUGUCAUUUCGAAGUGAAUUUCGAAUUCAUAAGUUGAAUAUAUGCAAUUCCCGGGGUAGAGGAGGCGGAACAUCAAAGUGGCAGUGGGUGAAUUCGAAAUUGAUGUCAUUUCGAAGUGGAUUUCGAAUUCAUAAGUUGAAUUUCGAAAUCAUAAGUUGAAUUUCGAAAUCAUUUCGAAAUGACCCUCCAGCUUGGUGCAGUUGUCUUCAAAUGGCCAUAACUUCUUCAUUUCAGCUCCAAUUUGCAAACCGUUUGAAGCGUUGGACUCCUGACUUCCCGAGCUUCGAAACGAUAUAUAGUAUGUAUAUAAUGGACUCCAGAAAGUGCUCAAAAUUUGUCCUCAAAGUCAGAGUAUAUAAUGCCAUCAGAUUUUUGAGUUCUAAAUUUCCAUGUAGCUAAAUCUUGCUUCAUGCCUCAUUUCCCAUGCUUCCUUGCCUUCUUUCUUACUCCAUAAUGGUCAUUUAUCAUCCUCCAACCUCAUGAUAUCCUUGUUUUGCCUUUCCUUACAUUCAAUGAAUCUUGACUCACUUAUGUCCUCAUUUAGCCCUUUCUUGAUCUUUCAAAAUCUAAAGUCAUUCAAUUUGCACAAUUUUCUUCCCUUGAACCUGAGAUAAAUCUCCAAAGUAUAGAUUAAACUCAUGGCUAGGGCCUUAGCAUUGAUUUAGGUCAAGUUGGGUGAUUUGAAUGUCCUUUGGUGCACAAAUCAUAUCGAAUAUGUGCCAUUAGAGCACAUAUUUUGGCUCCAAUCAGUUAUCUCUUACAAGCCAUUGAAAUAUGAUUCACAGUGAGAGGUCUUUAGUGUUUGAAACCAUUAAUGGGAAGCAACUACAGUUUUUCAUGGACCAGUGGGAUCAAAUCUUGAUUGCUAAAUACACACCGAUUCGGAAGAUAACCAUUCUUUAUGUUAUUAUCCCCAACGCGAGGAAAAGAUCUGAAAUCUCCCCCUUUUGUCUAAGGAACCUGAACCUAGUGACUUAAAACUCCAAGAAACCCUUUUCUUUGUAAUUAAUCUCAAUUACUACUUUUGGUUAACUUAAAACCAACUUUUUUCAACCAAAAUUAUGUUUUCUUUUAAAGCUAACUCAUAAAAGAAAAAGCACAAUUUCACUACUUUAACUAAUAUCACUUGUAAUAUGAAAACCCAUCCCUGUGGACGAUCCUAGAACCACUAUACUAUGCUAGCUAUGCUACCCUAGUGUAUGGUGAAUUAGGUUUAUAAAUUUUGUUGAUAACUCCCGUCUGAGGACUGAAUCAAAUAGAUCACCAAUUGGGGACGAAUCAGUAGCACUUUAGGUAAAUUCAUUUUAGUUGCAUUUUAAGAAAAUUCAUUUAGUUGCAUUUUUAGAAAAUCAUUUAGUUGCAUUCUAAGUAAAUUCAUUUAGUUGCAUUUUAGGUAAAUUCACUUAGUUGCAUUUCAGGAAAAUUUACUUAGUUGUAGUUUAGGUAAAUUCACUUAGUUGCAUUUUAGUAAAUUCACUUAAUUGCAUUUUAGGUAAAUUUACUCAAUUGCAUUUUAAGAAACUUCACUUAGUUGCAUUUGAGGAUAAUCCACUUUAUGUAUUUUUAGGUGAGUCUCAUUUUUGCAUUUUAGUGAAUUUCAUUGGUGCAUUAUUGUAAUUAAAUUAUUGCAUUUUUAGAGAUUUUUCAUAACAUACUUUGAAAGGUUUUCCAUCUUCUAUAAGAGGACAGUAUGCAACAUCAGUUGGCACAACAAACUCUGAGUGCCAGGAAAGUUCUCUUCUUUCUCGGAUUGACCACCGCACUUUAGGUAUCUCAUACUCAACUGGUACUUGUUCAUUGUGCUCUGGAACUACUUUAAAAGAUUUUGGUUAUUCUUGUUUUGAUUGUUUGUUUCCAAUUAAACUUAUAAUGUUCAUCUUUUUCAUCAAUGUGUAUCUUCUUCUUCACUCUGUAGCAUGUCUUCUACAAAGAUGAUAUUUCUACUGAUGAUAAAAUUGCAAGCAAUGGGAUCUCACAAGCGAUACCCCUUUACUCCAUUAGUAUACCCCAAGAAUAUGCAUUUUCUGAAUUUGGAUCCAACUUUAUUCUUUCUUGGUCAUUAUACAUCACAUAAGCAGGACACCCAAAUAUAUGUAAGGAGGAAAAGUUCGCUGGCUUACUAGUCUACAUAUCCAUAGGUGUUUUCAUCUCAAUUGUUGUUGAUGUAGACCAAUUAAUUAUAUAGCAAGCAGUUUUGGUUGUUUCGGCCCAAUAUGUUUUGGGUAGUCUUGCAGUCUUCAAUAUAGCUCUCAUUCCUUUUGCAACAAUUCUAUUUAUCCAUUUUGCUACACCAUUUUUUUAUAGAGUAUAAGCAAUAGUUUUCUGUCGUUGUAUGUUUUCCUGACUAUAAAAUGCAUCAAACUCCUGGCUACAGAAAUCUCAUAUAUUGUUUAACCUCAAACAUUUUAUCUUUUUUCUCAUUUCAAGCUCCCUCUAGGCUUUAAACGCUUUGAAUACUGGAAAAACAUUUGGCUUUCUCUUAAUAGGGUACACCCAACAUCUUCUAAAAUAAUCAUUUACAAACAACACCAAAAUGCUCCCAAGAUAUGUGACUGGUGAUUCCCAAACAUCAUAAUGAACCAAGUCUAGAAUGCUCUUACUUCUUUUCGUAGAUCUACUGAAUCUUAAUCUAUGUUGCUUACUGAUAACACAAUGCUCACAGAAUAAUAAACUUGUAGUUUUGAGUUCAGGAAGCAACUUUUGAUCAGAAAGAAUUUUCAAUCCUUUUUCUUUCAUGUGACCAAGUUUGUGAUGCCACCAUCUCAUUGUUAAUUCUUCUCCAAAGUUUGCAACAAAAGUCUCUACUUGUUGAUAUGUCCUCUCAUGCAACAUGUAUAGAUUUGCAGUAAUAUUUUCUGCCUUCAUCACCACAAGUGCACAUCUAAUAACCUUAAUGAUUUCCUUUUUAGCAUGGAAUUCAUAUCCAAUGUCAUCUAGUUGUCUUAUUGAUAGCAGAUUUUUCUUUAAGCCUUUUACAUGUCAUAUCUCUAGAAUAAUGUGACUCACACCAUCAUUCAUCUUUACUUUGAUGAAGCCCAUGCCAACAAUCUCCAAAGCAUGAUCAUUACCCAUAUACACUAAUCCUCAUGGGAUAGGUUCAUAUUGGUGAAACCCUUUUCUAUGAGAAGUCAUAUGUCAUGUUGUUGUUGAGUCAAUUAACUAAACUUCAAAAAAUCAUUUUCUAACUUCUACAAUUGUUGUUGCCUCAUUGUAUAAGAUUUUGUCUUCAUUUGAAGUACUUGCUACACAACUCUGAGUAUUUGAUAGCUCAAGCUCUUUCUCUUUCAUGUUUUUAUCUACUUCUCCUUUGAAAUGCCAACACUCUUUUUUUACGUGUCAUUGCUUUCCAUAGUGAUAACAUUUAGCUUUCUUCUUACCUUAGGACUUUGAUCUAUUUUGUUUACUCCCACUAGAACCACGUUUUGUUGAUCUCCCUUUAGAGAUAAUUAGAGCCUCGAUUUGCUGAGAAGAUAUUAUGUCUUCCUUGUUUUUACGCCUACUUUCUUCCUCAAGUACAAUAGUCGCAACAUCAUUAAAGACUAGCAUUAUCUACAAUGCACCAUUGGCCACAUUUAUGAUGAGAUGAUCAUAUGAAUCAAGUAGACUUUGGAGUAGAAGUUCAACACGUUCCUUCUCUUAUAUACUAUGUUUUAUAGCUGAUAGUUAAGAAAAUAGAGUUUUUAGGGUGUUGAUGUGUUCAAUCACCAAAGUUGAUUCUAACAUCCAAAGAGUGUAGAGUUUUCUUUUCAAGAAUAUUUUGUUGUGCAAUGACUUGGCUUCAUAUAAGUUUGUAAAAGUAUCCCAAAUUUCUUUUGCUAAUUAAUUGUAAUUUUAACAUGCUUGACAGUAUAUUAUCUGCUACUGCUAAAUGCAAGCUUGCAAUGAUAUCCCCAUCCAUUUGCUUUCACUUUUUAUCUUCAACAUUUUUUGGUCUUUCACCAAUUGUUUCUAGUUAAUUUUCUUUCCUCAAGAUGGCUUUCAUUUUUAUUUUCCACAGCCCAAAAUUGUUCCCAUUGAAUUUUUCUAUUUCAAAUUUUGUCGUCAUUUGUUUCACUUUUAUAGUGAUUAGUAACCCAGAAUAGGAGUAAGUGGUUGUGUUAAAUACACCAAAAAAGUCUCGAGGAAAGUAGAUAAGUCAUAGUGGUCCCACUCUCCUUAGGCUCUAAUUGCCCUUUUUGAUAGAACAUUCCUAGACAUGUACUAACCACACAAGUAACCAUCUAUUGUCCUAAACCAAAGCUCUAAUACCAUUGUAAUGAAAUGAUACCUAGAGCGAUAAUUUGAAAAUAGAAUAAUAAAAAAUAAAAAUGGAAUAAUAAAUAAAACAAUAGAUAAAACAAUAAAUAAAAUAAUGGACAAAAAUACUUACAUGAUAAAACCUUCUUAAUUAAAAUGGAAACUUCCACGGGACAAGAUAAAAAAAAUAUCCAUUAUAUGAAGACAAAAUUUCAACCUCCCUCUCAAUUAAAAUGAAAGAACAUAAAAGCUUACAAAAGAAUGAAAUCCUUUUUUAGGAUGAAUAGUAUAAGGGGUGGAAGCCUUCUUUCAUAGGACAAGGAAGUUCUCCCUUUUUUGUUUUCUUCUGAUGUGGAAUGACUUCAACCUUAACAAAAUACUGGAAAAACUAUUUGUCCUCUUUCUUUCAUGCACUCCAUGAUCUUGGUCAAUUCAUCUAAACACCAUUUCAAUUGAGCAUAAUAUUUUUUUUAAAUGAUCACACCCUUGAUUCUUCAAUUGUUUUCAAGAGUGAUCCAAUCAUUUCUCCUCUCUGAAGUUUGUCAUCUUUAAAGGUGUCAAUGUGUUUUGGACCCAAUGCCUUGAAGAGAUGAUGGGUGAAACCAUCAUGAGUGUCUUCACCUCUAAAACUCAAAAGCACAUCAUAUCUCCAAUAUUCGAUAGUAUGAGAAGAAGGAGAAACUCUUUUCAUACUCAUGGAAGCCAUUGUUAGGUUGUUUAUGGCCAAAUUAUAGGGUAAAUGAUAUUUAAGCUCCUUUCUAAGGGGGGAAAUAAAGUGAUGUAGGAAGCUAGGCUACUUUUUGUGAUUUUCUAAGAAGUUUUAAUCUUGGAAGAUAUCAAGAAGGCAUGAAAUUUAUGUGAAGAAUGAAAGGCUCUUUUGAGGCUCAUGGAAGCCAUGUAAGAAUUUUAAGUGGCCCAGUGUAUAUUAUUAUGUGACAUUUAAAUAUCAAAUUAAACAUUAUGGUCGAAUAAAUAAUAACGUUAAAAUCCUAUUCGUUAGUUUUCAAGAAGUUAGUUUCCUAAAUUAAAGGCACUUUGAUGGAAAAUGUACUCCUUAUUCUAUAAGGAAAUUGAUCUUCUCUUCACCUUAUAAAAUAAAUGUUAUAUUCCAUCAAUAAUAUAUAUGAGAGAAAACCUAAGGGUAAAAGGGUUAAGGGAGAACAACACGAUUUCUACUAUGUUUAUUGUUUGGUCUCUUCAAGAAUUCUCUACAAAUUAAAAGUAUAUCUUUUCUCAAUAAUGGAAAUGUGAAAAAUCAUAGUGUUCUAAAAUCCUUAGCUAUUAUGAUUUAUGCAAAAUUAGGGUUUGAUUUGCAUAAUUAAAUCAUUACUUUAGAGUUUAAUUGGUGAGCAUAUAAUACCAUUGACAUAUGUUGAUGAUUAAGUAACGUGUUGUGGACUCGCAUUUUUCACGUGCGUUCUCACUCAAACGACGAGACUCAUUUUUUAUUUAGUGAAAAUUUUAUUUUUUGAAAAAGACUUAGAGUCGCCACUUAUUUUAGUUUUUUUUAAAUGAAAACAAAAUAAGAAAGAAAACCAUGUGUGACUUCUUAUUUGGGAAAGACAAAUCUAUAAAAAUUGAGUUUAGAUAUGAGGGUCAGGUUACCUAUGGAGAAGGUACACUUAUAAGCCAUAACACUCCUCUAAACCCAUAUACCUACGAUCUCUACUAAAUGAAUCAAGGGAAUUGUGAUAAUUAAUUAAUUAAUUAUAGAUACCGAAAUUAAAGACACAAAUCAAAAUACACAAAAAUAAUUAUAAAAUCAAAUUACAAAAAUGCACAAGAUAAAUGAUAUGAGAAUUAUGAAAAAUGAUUUAUUGAACUAAUUAAUUAAAAAAAUAUUUCAAAAAUUAGUUUUUCAAGAAAUUUCAAAGGAUUUUAUUAAAAACAAUUUUGAAUUAAUAAUUUUAAUUUGUUUAUUUACAAAAAAAAAAAAGUUUCAAUAUAUUUUUAACAAGUGAUUUGAUUCAAUUUCAUUUGUAUUCAAUUUUCAAAAAAGUUAUUUACACUUAUUUUAUCAAAAGAAUUUAAUACAAAAUUUCAAUUUGACAAUAAAAAUUAUUUUUACUUCUUGUUACUAGAAAAAGUUACAACUUUAUUUAAAAAGUCCUUCAAUUUAAUUUCUAUUUACAAAGGAAUUCAUUUCUUUACAAGCUUUAUUUACAAAAAUAUUUUCGAUCCAAUUUAUUAAGAAAAUGGUUUUUGCAACUUGAAUUUGCAAAAAUGACUCCCCUCUGAUUCUCAUUAAAAGGUUAUUUUAAGACCUUCAUUUACAAAAAUUACUUUUAAUCUCAUUCUAAUUAAGGAAAUAGAAUUUAUUUAAAAAAUAUAUUUUUUUGGACAAUUUUAUUAAAAAAAAUAAUCUUUUGAGAAAUAUUAUUUAAAAGCUAGUUUUCUGAACAAUUUUUUUUAAACAUAAAUUUUCAGACAAUUAUUAUUAAAAACAAUUUUUCGAAUUUUCUUAAAAACAAAUUUUUUUGGAUUUUUCUGAAAGCAUUUUUAUGAAUUUUUAUCAAGAAAACUUUAUUUUAUAAAAAAAUAUAUAUUUUCUGAACCUUUAUUUUUAUUAAAACAAAAUUUCUAAGUUAUUGUUCAAUUUUGUUCACACCCAAUAAAUAUAUACAUAAAAAUAUUUACAGGAAUCAAUAACAAUAAAACUAAAUGGAAGUGGAAAAUAAAACGUAUAUCCCAACAAGCCUACAACAAGUUCAAUGCUUCAUUUAUAGUUUUCCUGAGCUUUCUUUCCUUCCAUGAAAUUCGAUUUUCCACUUGUCAUUGAUCUAUAUUCAAUGGAAGGAGCCCAUUCAAAACAAAAUUAAACCAAAUGUAAAUAUCUAGAAAUGUACAAAGUCCAAAAUAAAUAUUUAAACUUAAAUUCAAACUUCAAAUUAGUCAAAUAAAUUUUACUAAUUAAAAAAGGGCCCAAAUUAGUAAAUAAAACUCAACAAAAAUAACCCACAUGUUAUAGGCCUUAGUCCAAGAUCUCCAAAUUAAUAACUAAAAUACAAGCACAAUUAACCAAACCUAAAAUUUGAUAAUUAAAACAAAUUCCAUUAGACCUAAAUUUAAUAUCCCAUAAUCUAAAAGAAAUUAACCCAAUUUAAUAUGUAAACCUAAAUCCAUAACCAAAAUCAACUCAAUUUAAUAUGCAAACUUGAAGUAACACCCAAAAUAUACCACAAUUAUCUCAUAACAAAUCAAAUAAUUUAAAUGAACAAAAUCCAUAUCAAUUAUAAAUCCAUCCAACAAAUUUCAUUAACAACAAAUAAACCCAAAUUUUGUAUUAAUUCAUCAAAGCUCACAUUCCAUAUUAAUUCACCAAUUCAAAUCUCACAAAUAAAAUAAAAUAAUGCAUAAAAUAAACUUACACAUUUUUUUGGAGACCAAGAAUGAAUAGGAGAGAAAAAAAUGGCAGUGGAAUUGAGGAGAGAAAGAAAAGGAAAAAAAGGAAAAAAUAAUAAUAAAAUAGGCAAAUGGGUGAGGUGAGAAAGGGAGGGAAGGGGAAAAUGAGAAAGGGGAAAAGGAGAUGGUUGACCGACAGUGGCUUGCCAAUGACGAUUGGCCGGCCGUGUUGUCCACAGUGAAGGUUGAGUGAGUGUGGUGAGAGAGAAAGAAAGAAGAAAAGAAGUAGGAAAAAAAGAAAGAAAAAAAAAUGGGGAAGGGCAUGUACAAUCUCUAAAAGUGGGUUGUCUCCGUGAUGUGGGGGGGUACGGGAGAAAGUGGGGGUAGGUGGAAAGAGAGAGAAGAGAGAAAAAUAAAAUAAAAUAAAAUAGAGAAAAGAAGAAAAUGAAAAAGAAAAAAUGUAAAAUAUAAUAAUAAUAAUAAUAAAAUGUUCUACAAAAUAAUAAAACUAAGAAUUAAAUAGUGUCUAUGGACAAAAAAAAAAUAGAUGUAAUCAAGUUUAGAAUGUAAAGAUAAAAUGAAGCUCAAAAUCAAUGUAAAAAUAAAUAUGAGACAAAUUUUGAGGUCUAUCCAUGUAUACUUUUGAUGUUAUUGUGAUGAAGUUUAUGAUAAUCAAAGUUUGACUUUAUCAAUUUUUGAUAUAUUAUAUAUAAUGUAUGUUUAUGGUUAAUAUAUAAAGUGAAUGACUUUCUUAAUUCAUGAAAUUUAUUGAAUUGAUUUAUACAUCAACCACUUUUGAUUGAACCAUAAAUAUGAUUUUGUUCAUGUUGUUGCAUCUUUAUCAUCAAUAGAUUCUAUAUGUAAGUGAAAUAGAUUAUGUUAUAUAUAUAUUUAUGUCAAUAGUGAAUUUUGUAUCUUUGAUAGUAAUGUUUUAACGAUAUAUGUACUAUAUAUAAAGAACCAAGAAAAUAUUAGAAGGGUAAACCCAACGAGAGGAAGUACUACCUAAUUCAUAAAUAGUACAAAAUGGUGAUAUGGUGGUCGAGAAAAUACCUUCCACGAAAGAACCUAAUGGAUCUCUUUAAUAAAACAUUAAUAGGCGUCACAUCACUUGUGGCUGGUUUGUGUACCGCUUCCCCGCUUCAUCAAUUGGUGUCAAGUCACUCACAUCAAAGCUUCAUUCAGAAUAACCACCUUGAUGGGCCUUAAUGUAAUUAAGGAAUGUGGAAUUGGUAUAGUGUAUGUUAAUGAAGAGAUGAAUUACUCUAUCUUCACUCCUCCUAAUGAGUCAUCUGUUGUCCUUCAAGAAAUCCACGAGGAGGGACCUAGUGCAAGCGGGUGCUCUAAUAUUGAACUCUGAUUACUAUUCUGCUGAUGAGGGGGAACCCACUGCACCCCUACUGUAAGGAUCACUCUGAAUCAGAGAUGUAGCUAGAGCAACGGUUGCAAUGCAGCCAUUAUCAGAGCAUCCCUUGGCGAGGAGGAACCGGGCAGACAAAUGCUUGAUAUGCACCCAAAUCUUCCGAUAUCAACUAUUGGUGAGCUGUGUGCUUCCUUUGUUUCUUAUCUUGAAACUGACUUUGUUCCUUUGUUUCUAAUAUUUUUGAAACAUCAUAACCAUUGGAGUUUUCGGGUUGUGCAGUAGUGGUGUUGCUGACAAGCUUUUGAAGUUUGAUACAUGCUGGGUGGUUGUUGCUGGUUUUUGCUUUAAAUUUGCCUUGAUACAUGUUGAGUUGUUUAGCAAACUCACUCUUGACAGAUUUUGGUUAUUCUUUCCCACAUGCUAAUGUGAUAUAUCUCUGUUCAAAUUCCUAUUUUCAUUCUUAUUCUCAUAUACUGAACAUACACCCUUAAGGGCAUAUGUUCUCUUCUAAUGUUAGAACAAAAAGGAUCAUGAUAAUUUUUUUUUGGGGAUGGGUUCUUUUGGCUGAAUAUGAUAGAGCUGUUAACAGUUCAUGGUUACUUUGUAAGAAUUGUAAAUUCUUUGGUUGAUUUUUAUACCAUAUUUUGUAGUUUCAUUUUGAUGGAUUCUAAGGUAAUCCAUGACUCAUUUAUCUUCAUUUUGUUAGUAAUGAUGUAUAAGAUACUUGCAGCCAAUGUUUUGAAAACCGGACUAAACCGUUAUCGGCCAUCUCUCAGGUCGAGUUUUCCCUAGGGAACCAUUUUCAUAUUAAACCGGGCUUGAACUGCUCAAGUCGGUCUGGUUUGCACCAGGGAACUAUUUUCAUAUUAAAUCGGUGUUAAACCGCUUGAGCCAUGGUUGGAUCAUUGAACCGGACGGACCGUUCGGCUUCCUAAGAAGCAGUCAAGCCCAAAACUGGGCCAAACUUCCACUUGUUGUAGAAGCCCAAUAGGCUCUACAGCCAAUCAUCCAUUAAAAGCCCAAACCGGUUGAGCCCAAGAGGGUUUAAACGAGCCAAAGCCCAACCCAAUCCGAUGUGGGAUUGAUUCCAGGUGGUAAGGAAAAAAAGUUGUGCAUGCUGCAGGUGGAUUUGAGGUCAGCUUUAAAAUCAAGGGCAAGGCCAUUGAGCUAUAUGCCAUCCAUGUACAAUAAUGCUGUAAAACUAAAUAUAUAGAAAGAUUAAUGGUUUUUUUUUCAAAUAUUUUCAUGUAAAUAUUUACGUUCAUGUCUAUUUGUAUAAUAAUAAUUAUGAAAAUAAUGUAAAUAAUUAAUAUAAUAAUUUUAAAGUAAUAAAAUACAACGAGAUAAAAUUAAAUACUAUGAUUUUAUUUUCAUCUUAAAUACUUUAUAUUUAAAUAUUAUACAUAUUCUAUUUAAUAAGGUUUCAAAUAUUAAUAUAUUUACAUUUAUCUUUAUAAUUUAAUUUGAUAUAUCUAAUAUAAAAUUGAAAUAUUAUUUAAAAUUUUUAUUAUAUAUUCUAAAUUUUUUAUAAUUAUUUUUUUAUUUUAUAUAAUAUAUAAAUUAUAUAAUUAUUACUUCAUUGAUUCUAUUGUGGUUCAACCAUCGAUCCAAUCAAUAAACCACAAAUCGAUAACUUUUUCAAUCCAAUAACGGAUCUGGUUCUAAUUAUUACAAAUGGAAGUAAUUUAUUGCUUUGAGAAGGUUAAGGAAGGAAAGAUAGAAUAAGUCCUCCUCUAUCGAAGUCCCCUUUGGUAACUGGUAACAAAACCUAAGCUCUCCCUUGUAUAUUUCAUGACAUAAUUUUAAGUAAAGAGGUAUAUUUGGCAAAUAAUCAUUCUCUUCCCCUUACUUCCAUCCUGCUCACCGUCCUAGGAAAAAUUUAGCAUCUUCAACCUUGUACCACGCGUGCUCUCGGGUCCUAUGGCUUUGUUUCUAAUCCCCAUUUGCAAAAAGUUCAGUGUGUGAAGCCUAAGGGUCUUAACGAAAAAUCAUGGUAUAAAAUGUGAACCAACCAAAAGGCUUUAUCCAAUUCUUGUGGCCAUGCAAAGCCCUUGUCUUUCUCUAGCCGGAGACUUACUUGCAAGGCGACGGAAGUGUCGGUGGCGGAGGAGCCGUCGGCUGCGGGGGAUGGCGAGAACUGGGUGCCAGUGGUGCCGCUGUCGGCAUUGCCCAAGGGGGAGCGGCGCGUGAUUAUACAGGACGGAGAGACGAUUCUGUUGUUGUGAUUAUACACGAAAUUUAUGUGAAGAAUGAAAGGCUCUUUUGAGGCUCAUGCAAGCCAUGUAAGAAUUUCAUGUGGCCUAGUGUAUAUUAUUAUGUGAUAUUCAUUUAAAUAUCAAAUUAAAAAUUAUGGUCAAAUAAAUAAUAAAACUACCAGAAGUUAAUUUCCUAAAUUAAAGGUACUUUAAUGGAAAGCGUACGCCUUAUCUGAUCUUCUCUUCACCCUGUAAAAUAAAUGUUCUAUUUGAUCAAAUACACAUAAGAAAAAACCUAAGAGUAGAAGGGUUAAGAAAGAACAACACGGUUUCUACUUUGCUUAUUGUUUGAUCUCUUUAAGACUUCUAUAUGGAUUAAAAGUAUGUCUUUUCUCAAUAAUGGAAUUGUGAAAAUCAUAUUAUUCUAAAAUCCUUGACUAUUUUGAUUCAAACAAAAUUAGGAUUUGAUUUGCAUAAUUAAAUAAUUACUUAUGAGUUUCAUUGGUGAGCAUAUAAUACCACUGACAUAUGUUGAUUAAGUGACAUGAAUACUUUUGAUGUUAUUGUGAUGAAAUUUAUGAUAAUAAAAGUUUAUUUUAUCAAUUUUCAAUAUGUUAUAUACAAUGUAUGUUUAUGGCUAAUAUAUAAAGUGAAUGACUUUCUCGAUUUUUGAAUUGAUUUAUGCAUCAACCACUUUUGAUUGAACCAUAAGUAUGAUUUUGUUCAUGGUAUUACAUCUUUAUCAUCAAAAUAGAUAUAUAUCUAUAUGUAUGUGAAAUAGAUUAUGAAAAUACUAGAAGAGUAAACAUAUUGAAAGGAAGUACCACCUAAUUCAUAAAUAGUACAAAAAGGUGAUAUGCCAAUUGAGAAGAUACCUUUUGUAAAGAACCUAAUAGAUUCUUAUACUAAAACACUUAUAGGAAAAGUCUUUGAUUGUAACGGGGACAAUAUAGGUGUCAAAUAUGCACCUAAUUUACUUUUAUAGCAUUAUGUUUUGAGGGCUAAUGGAAGAUUGUUAGGAUAUCAUCCUACAAAGCAUUACAUGAUAUAAUUAGAAAUUUGGAUUUAUCAUUUAUUUAAUUAUAUUCUAAUUGCUCUUUUAUCUAUGCUUGUAAUAGAGAGUUCCCUAUAUUCAAAUCCCAACCCUAAUAUCAUAUAAAAUAAAGUUUCAUGCUAGUAGAAUAUCUAAAUAUAUUCUCGGUAGUUUUUGGUCAUCAUUGGCAUAACUUUGGGCUAUGCACAAUAACUUUCCAUAUAUUUGGCUUUUAGGUAUAAAUUUAAUUUCUAUAUGAAAUCGUUCAAUAUAUAACUUUUUGCUACAUGAGUCUAAAAGUUAUUAACUUCCAUGCAUGGUGCGACUGGUGGGGUUUCCAAUCACUUGGAAACCAUGUCCAGAUACAUAUGAAGAGAUCAAUAAAACCAACCUUCCACUUCCUACAAUAAUAGUUUACCAAGUGUAUCUUCAAUCCUAAGCCAGUCUGGUAUUCGGUGUUGCAGCUCCUGUAAACUGGCCUCUGCUUGGUCCAGCUCCAGAUAAAGCUGCUCUACUUCAGCUAUCUUCUCAUUCAAGCGCCUACGAAUCACGUCCCUCUUGCCCUCUGCUUGUGCAUACUCAACUAAAGGUUGCACUCCUGUAAACUGGCCUCUGCUUGGUCCAACUCCAGAUAAAGCUGCUCUACUUCAGCUAUCUUCUCAUUCAAGCGCCUACGAAUCACGUCCCUCUUGCCCUCUGCUUGUGCAUACUCAACUAAAGGUUGCACUCCAACAAAUGGGCUUCUUAACCAAUCAACCUUAACCCGCGCCCUUGAAAAGAAGAAGAAUUAGCUGAAUUAAUAUUAUUGAUGUUGAAGUGUGUAUUUAUACAAGGAGGUUUGAGAUCUUUUUCUACAAAUCAGAAAUCAGCUUACCAUAUUCUAGACUAUCCAGCUAUAAGUCAGGAAUUACAAUAGGAAAACUAACAUAUACAGAUCAUCUAUUCUUAAUAUGGAAGAUUUAGGAAGAUUGACUUUCCAACACUCCCCCUCAAGUUGGAGAGUGGAUAUCCUGCACUCCCAACUUGCGAAUCAUAGGAGCAAAAAUCUCCUUUCCCAAUGGUUUAGUUAGAAUGUUUGCAAGUUGGUGUGCUGAGCUCACAUGUCUUGUAAUAAUGGAACCAUCUUGGAUCUUGUCCCUAAUAUAGUGACAAUCCAUCUCAAUAUGUCUAGUACGCUCAUGGAAAACAGGGUUAGCUGCAAUGUGCAACGUUGCCUUGUUGUCACAAUACAGCAAGGCAGGUUCCUGAUGUAAAACAACCAAAUCUUUCAAAAGGUACCGAAGCCAUGUCAACUCACAACAAGCUCUUGUCAUUGCACGAUACUCUGCUUCGGUUGAAGAGAGUGACACUGUUUUCUGUCGCUUUGAUCUCCAAGAAAUCAAUAAAGGUCCAAGGAAUACACAGUAGCCUACAGUGGACCUUCUAGUAAGUGGACAACCUGCCCAAUUAGAAUCACAGUAGGCUCUCAAUCUAAAAUCAUUAUUCGAAGAGAAGAACAGACCCUGACCAGGUGUAUUCUUGAGAUAACGUACAACUCUGAACGCUGCUUCCAUAUGAGCCUUUCUCGGUUGAUGCAUAAACCAGCUUAACACAUGAACUGCAUAAGUGAUAUCUAGCCUCGACAUAGUUAGAUAUAUUAACCUUCCAACCAAUCUCCUAUAACGACCUUGAUCCUUGAGCAAAUCGCUCUUAUCAGACAAUUUCAAUCCUCGUUCCAUAGGUGUAUCAAUAGGGGCAGCGCCCAACAAUCCUGCAUCCUCAAUAAUCUCUAAUGCAUACUUACAUUGGGAAAUAAAAAUCCCAUUUUUAGAAACAGAAACCUCAAUGCCAAGAAAGUAUUUUAAAUCACCCAGAUCUUUGAGAUGAAAAUGACUAUGUAGAAAUUUUUUUGUUGUAGCAAUGCUCACAGGAUCAUUUCCAGUAAUCAGAAUAUUAUCAACAUAUAUCAAGAGGGCAGUAAAGGACUUGCCUUGUUUUCUGGUGAACAAAGAAUAAUCGACUCGAGAUUGUGCAUAACCGACGGAUUGAAUAGCUUCUGAGAACUUGGCGAACCACUGGCGAGAAGCUUGUUUCAGACCAUAGAGUGAUUUAUGAAGGCGACAUACCAAGUUUUCCUCCCCCUGUCGCCGAAGCCCUAGCGACGGAGACAUAUAUAUUUCCUCAUGUAAGUUGCCAUGAAGAAAAGCGUUGUUAACAUCCAUUUGAUGAAGAGACCAGCCACGGGCUGCGGCAAUGCAAGCAAGCAGCGGACAGAUAUGAUCUUGGCGGUGGGGGCAAAGGUAUUCUGAUAAUCGACACCUUCUAAUUAAGUAAAGCCUUUCGCUACCAAUCGUGCUUUGUAACGCUCAAUAGACCCAUCUGAACGGUGUUUAAUUUUAUACACCCAUCGACAGCCAAUCGUUGUCUUACCGGCCGAAAGUGGAGUGAGAAACCAAGUGUCAUUAGCUUGGAGAGCCUGCAAUUCAGAACACAUUGCCUCCUGCCACUCAGGAUGAGCGGCUGCUUCUAAAUAAGACCUGGGUUCUGUGACAGCACUAUGUUGAGCAACAAAAGAUCUAUAUGCAGGCUUAUAUCUGUGAUAAGAAACAUAAUUGGCCAGUGGAUGUGUACCUUUAGUUGGACCUGGAAUCAAGAAAGACGAUUGAUUGGAGGAAACGUGGGAACAAACAUAAUCGUGGAGCUUGAUUGGCGGGGCGAUAUGGCGGCUGGAGCGACGAAGAGGAGUGGCUGGUUUGGGUGAGUGUGUCUCGGCUGGAGGAACGGACGGGAUGGAUGCAAACGGUGGCACCGGAGAAGGCGAUACUAGAGUUGUAGAAGGCGGUGGUGAAGGGUUUGGAUCAAUCUGAGAAGAAGGUUCGAUAAUGAGUUCGGAAUGUCGAGAAAGAGAGGAAAAGUCGUCAUUUUCUGUGGUGGGAGACAGUGUGCUUGUGUGGUUGGAAAGAAGAGGGGAAAGUGCGUGAGAAGUAGAGUCAAGGGAGGAAGAGAUGUCGUGGGCCACCAAGGGGAUUGGGCCAGAAUUAUGGGUGAACGAAGAGAGAGUAGAGUUGGGCUUGAGAGAGACAUAAGGAAAAAUAUCUUCAUGAAAUUUGACAUCUCGGCUAGUAAAGACCUUUUUGGUUGAUAAAUCAAAUAAUUUGUAUGCUUUCUGACCAACAGGAUAACCAAUGAAGAUGGAUGGCAUGGCACGGUAAUCAAAUUUGUGAGAGGUGUGAACAUUGGUGGCAUAGGCUAAACAUCCGAAAACACGGAGAUGGAGUAAGAAGGUGGUUUUGAGUAAAGCAAUUCAAAAGGAGUUUUGAAAGACAAUAUUGGUGAAGGUAACCGAUUGAUGAUGUGUACGGCAAUGAGAGCACACUCCCCCCAAAAUUGAGUGGGAACUUGAGCAUGGAAUUUCAAAGCUCGGGCUACUUGUAAAAUAUGACGAUGUUUGCGUUCCACAACCCCAUUUUGUUAAGGCGUGUAAACACAAGAAUGCUGAAAGAUGACACCAUUAUCUUGAAAAAAAGGAACGAAGUGAGGUAAAUUCUCUACCAUUGUCACUUCGAAAAGUUUUAAUGCGAAAUUCAAAUUGUGUGAACACAUAGCUGAAGAAAUGUUUUAAAAGUGAUUGUGCUUCAUCUUUAUAUCGCAUUAAAAAUAUCCAAGUGAAACGUGUAUAAUCAUCGACAAUAGUGAGAAAGUAAUGGGCACCAAACAGAGAACGGUGUCGAUAACGACCCCAAAUGUCACAAUGAAUAAUCUCAAAAGGUUUUGUAGAAGAAAUAGCACUAGUACCAAAAGGUAAACAACUUUGCUUAGCCAAAGGACAUAUAGGGCAAGCAUUAUUGGACUGAACAAAAAAAUUCAAAAAAUUCUUGGCAAUGAAACUCAAACGAGAAGGUGAUACAUGGCCUAAGCAACUGUGCCAGAGAUCGGUGGAAGAGAUGGCGAGAUUGCAGGCUGGUUGGUUUGUGGAUGAGGAAUGGUUGGUUAAAGAUUUCUCCGUCGCUAGUGCCACCAAAUAGUAUAGUCCGUCACGUUGUUUACCCAAACCAAUCGUCCUCCUCGUAGCCAGAUCCUGCAAAAUACACCAAUAAGGGAAACACGUCACUGAACAAUUUAGACCUCUUGUCAAACGACUAACUGAUAUUAAAUCAACUUUGAAUGUAGGCACAGAUAAGACAUCAUGCAGAUAAUAGACGGAAUUCAGAGGCAAAGUCCCUUUCGUAACAAUAUUCGUUUUUUCUCCACUAGGCAACAAUACGAGCGGUAACGAGCAAUUUUUAUCUUUAUGCAAUAACUUAGAGGAUGAAGUAAUAUGAUCCGUCGCCCCACUAUCAAUAAUCCAAUUGCGAGAAGCGACUUUGGACAAACCUGGCUUUGUUACAGCAUUCACUUUGGAACUAGAGUUUUCAUCUUGGUUAUUAAGAAGUGACAAAAGUUGCUUGAGUUGGGCUUCUGACAAUGCAACUGCAGGUUUCCCUUCAUCUGCCUCAGAAACUUGGUUAGCUGCAGAAAAACUUUUAUUUCGAUUUGAGUUUGAGCCUAAGUUUAUUCUUGCUUUUGGAUGGUCUGGUGGGUAUCCAUGUAGUUGAAAACACUUUUGGACCCAAUGACCCAUAUCUCCACAAUACGAGCACUGGGGGCGUCCUCUUCCAGAACCCAUGCGGCGCCAAUCUUGAUCAAAAAAUGGUCUGCCAUCUUGUCCCUGAGAAGACCGAUUCACCCGGAAAUUUUGAGAACUAGAGGGGUGAUCAGUCGGUUCCAUCCUUCCUGUGUUCGAUCGAUCUAUUCCAUCCUUCCAAGUUGCCGAAGACUUGUCGUUGCUACGCACAGCCAUAGCAGCACUUGCGGCAGAUUCCGCUGCUGCGUUCGUCGAAGUGAGGAGGCGUUGUUUUUCUUCUUGAGAGACAGAGGAGUAUGCUUGGCGGACAGAAGGAAGAGGAUUCAUCAGGAGGAUUUGCCCGUGAAUAGCACUGUAAGAUUCAUUCAAACCCAUCAGAAAUUGCAUCAAUUUUUGUUGAUCUUGUUGUGCCCCAUGUGAUGCAGCGUUGUAGGAAGCCAGUUCAUCCCACAGGCCUUUCAAUUUUGUGUAAUAGGCAGAGACAGAGAGUUGCUCUUUUCAAAGACAAGCAAUAUCUCGCUGAAUUUCAAAGAUGCGAGGCGCAUUGCUCUGAGAGAAUCGCUCACAGAGAUCUUCCCAAACUUCAUGAGCAGUAGAAUAAUAGAUUACACUGUCCGCAAUUUCUGGAUUGAGAGUAUUGACGAUCCAGGAGUGAACCAUGUCGUUACACCGUGACCAAGUCGCAUAACCUUCAGGAUCAAUUUCUUCUGAAGGAGCCUUGAUCGAGCCAUUAACAAAACCCAAUUUGUUCUUGGAAUUUAAAGCUAGAAUCAUAGCCCUUUUCCAAGCUGAAUAAUUGUCUCCAUUCAAAGAUUUGGAAAUCAAAACCAAACCUGGGUGAUCUGAAUGGUGAGUGAAAUAGGGAUUGGAGAGAUCUGCCUUUGAGAAAUCCGUAGGAAUCUCUAAUUUUGCCAUGAUGAUUGAAGAAAAGAGAUGCUAUACGAGAGAUUAGAGUGUAGCAAUAAAUCAGGAUUUUAGUCCUGCUCUGAUACCAUGAAAAGAAGAAGAAUUGGCUGAAUUAAUAUUAUUGAUGUUGAAGUGUGUAUCUAUACAAGGAGGUUUGAGAUCUUUUUCUACAAGUCAGGAAUUAGCUUACCAUAUUCUAGACUAUUCAACUAUAAGUCAGGAAUUACAAUAGGAAAACUAACAUAUACAGAUAAUCUAUUCUUAAUAUGGAAGAUUUAGGAAGAUUGACUUUCCAACACCCUCUCCAAAUCACUCAAUGCUCUAUCAAUGAAGUAGGUGUCUGCACCAGACAGGCUACAGGCAGUAUUCUUCUGCAUCAGCUCCACAAUCUGCAGUAUGGAACCUUUGAUGAUCUCUACAAACUGGGGUGCUGUAAAGGAGCAAUUGGCAGUUACGUCUCCAUAUUUGGUCCAUAUUUGCUGCCAAAUCGACUCCCUGGUAUUGGAAGUUACACCAGAUCCCUCAACCAUCUCAAGAAGCCCUGCAGCAGCUGUGUUAGGAUCUGUGAGAGUUUUGUCUGUGUCCUCAGCUUCAGUUGGAGCGAAGGAAGUUUGGAUCUCCUAAAGCCCAAAAAAGAGAAGGAAAAGUAUAGAACUUGUGCUUGGAAUUAACCAACAAAAAAGAUUAAUUUUGAUGUAAAAGUGCCCAAGGAAAAAUAUUUUGGUAGUUUCAGUUGAAAAUUUUGACAAACCUUGUCAGCUCCCGAAGCACCUUCCACUUCAUCUGAAGGCCAAUUAAGUGUAUCUAGGCAUUGCAACCUGUGAUUAUGCUCAAGAUGAAGUUUUGUGAUCACCCAUUGUCCAUUGUCAAGUUUGACUUGGAUCUGGACAUUGCAACCUGUUCUUGUUUCUGAUCUCUGAUACUUUGUUCCCUGGUUGGGAUGCUUCUUGGUCCGGAAGCCUUCACAUGAACAAAGAAAGCAUCGCCCUUUCAGUGUACCAUUUGCUUUCCUUUGUACCUUUCCUUUUCUUACUGUAAAACCAAUUCUCUUGGCAUACUUUUUACAAAAUUCUUCAGCUUCUAACUCAGAAGAAAACGCCAUCCCUCUCCGUGGUAUCUGAUCAUCGUCUUCAGGAUUUUUCUCAUUUACAUUAACCAAUGUUCCAAUCUCAUCACCAUUUACAUUAAUAGCCAUUUCAGUCUCACCACUAUAGAACGAACUCCACCAAGAAUCAAAAUUAAGCUCAUCCUGUACAAAGUGAGAUAGAGAGAGAAGUUUUCUAUGAGAAAAAUGAGAAGCAAAAAGUGGUACAAUGCAUAACAAUAAUUUUCUUCUGUUACACCAACUAUUGAUUCAAACUACAUCUUAUCCUGUAACUCUUGUAGAACAAUGAAUUAAUAUAAGAAGAGUGACACUGUAAGACGGCUUAUAGACAAGUAGAUGGAGUAACCAAUUCUUGAUUUGCUGGUAGCAGCUUUAUUUGGGCAGAAAAGUUUUUGAAUUAUUUAUCUUUAAAAUUAACCGUUGUUCUAGAAAAUGGAUCGAGCUUACCUGGAUAGUGAGGCGCCUGAAGGUACCGCCAACUCUGUUGUGGUUUACUAAAUCAUCAGAUUCCUGUAUGGCACCCCGAACAUCUGGGCGUGAACCGAUGGAACUAUACCUGCAAGAUGAUAGGGUUCGAUAGACAUUCUGGUGCAGUUGAUGGGUGUGGAUCCAGAGGAUCGGUGCUUGAUUGCUUUGCUUCCGGCUGGUGCAGGACCCUCAAAUGUUUGGGAUCUCGCCUUCCCAAGCCAAGACUCCUUUUAUGGCUCUCGCAGCCUGCUGUGUGGGACAGCGUCCUUUUUCCUUGUUUGCUUUGCUUCCGUUCCCAAAUUCCAACCCACUGCGCUUUGACCAGAUGGUCCAAAUCUCCAUUUCUCGGCCACGUCGGUGCCUUUGGUGCUCUUUUCCCUUGUUUUAUUUCCUUCAGUGCCUUCACUACAAAAUACAUGGUCCCACCCACCGUUUUUAAAAUUCAACCCAUCUUAUCUAUUUAAGCAUCCGUUGUCUUUUUUAUAAUUCAAAGAUAAAGGUUUUUUAUCUUUCCUCCCAAGAGGCUACUACUCAAAAAGUCAAAACUUCAGAAACAUUAAAUAUAUAUAUAUAAAAUAGAGAAUUAUCAAAACGGUGGGCGGAAAGUGGUAAUCCUUUUUAAAAGUCAUCAUGUUGACCAAUUCUACUCCUCGGGUAAUCAUUUGAAAGAAAUUUUCAAUUAUAUCCUAUCUAAACUUUAUUUUUUUAUUUUUUUCUUUUGUAUUAUUAUUAUUAUUAAAUAUUAAUACUACUCUUAAUAUUAUUAUUUAUGAUAUUAGUAUUUUAAAUUUUCAUAUUAUUAUUAGUAUCAUUCUUAUUAAUAUUAUUUAUUAUUUUUAUGAUUAUUAUUCAUAUUUUUAAUAUUAUAUUAAAAAUAAUAUUAUUAUAUUUUUAUUACUACUACAAAGAAACCUUAGAAGAUAAUUUAUAUUUUUUCGUUCUUAGAACUUGUAAACUUUAUUAAAAAUUUAUUCUUUUUUUUUCAUUUUAUACUUUAUAUGUUAUAUUAAGAUUAAUUAAAUUAUUAUUAUUAUUAUUCUUAUUAUUGCUAUUAAGAUAUUAGUUUUAUAUUAUUAAUAUUUUAAUAAAAUAAUAUUAUAUCCAAGUUAUAGAUAUAAUAAAAAAUGCAUUGAUGUUAAUAAUAUAAUAGAAUAAAGCAAUGUUUCUAAUACUAUUAGAUUUGUUACAAAAUGUAAGUACAACAUUUAUCUAUUGAAUUUAUAACAUAAAUACAUUAAAAAUACGAUAUAGUACAACAUUUUUAAUAGUUUUCAUGUAAAAAUAAAAUAAAAUUUUAUCAUUUAAAUUUAUCUCAUUUUAACUGUUAUACAUUCCAUCAUGUUAAUGUCUUGUAAAUUACUAUUGCAUUUUUUUUCCCACAAAUAAUAGAUUCAUGUUUAUCAUCUCACAAAUAAAUUUUAAUUAGGAUUUAUAUUUAUUUUAAUUUUUAAAAUAUUUAUAAAUAUAAAACAUAAUACAAUAAUUUAGUUUACAACAUUAAACUUUACCUUGCUCCACAUCCUUUCAAAAAGCAAGGAUGACCUUGCCCCAUGUGCUUUCAAAAAAUAAGGAUGAAAAUAUGGAUAAUUAUGAAUAUAUCAGUUAUUUAAUUUUACUGAUACAUUAGAGAUGCGAAUAUUUUCAUACAAAUAUCGAUGAAUAAAAAAUUGAUCAAAACUCAUGAAAAUAUUAUGAAAAUCUCUAAAAAAAAUGAUAUAAAAAUAAUAAUAAUAGAAAUAUUGAGAUUGUUUUGUUAAAAUAAAUUGAUAUAUAUAUAUAUAUAUAUAUAUAUAUAUAUAUAUAUAUAUAAUAUAAGUUGUGAUAUUUAACAAUAAUGUUUAUAACUUGAAAACAUAUUUUAUGUAUAUACACCAAAUUUGAAUAUAUUUAACAAUAUAUAAGAAAUGAUAAUAAUUUGUAGAAGAAUUUUUUGUUUCACACAAUAACCAAAACUAAUUAAUUUAUAAUAAUUUUAUUAUAAUUAAUUUAUAACAUAUAUAUACAUUAAAUAUGUUCGAUUUAUAAUGUAGCAUGGUUGGUUGGCUGGUGGUGGGGGAUUUUCCCCAACUUGAGGUUCUACCUUUCAAAUGAGCGCAAUGUGUAGGCUGGUAAGCGAGCCCAUUGCAAGAUGUUUGAAAAAAAAAAAAAGGAAAAGAAAAAGAAAAAAAAUGAAUCAUGUGGCAUUGAAAUUAUUGGUGCAUCAGUCGUAUGUCGGCGAAAAAUGGCAAGAAAAAAAAAACUCAAUCGGUCAAUUUAAUCUACUAUUCUUAUAAACAAGUUUGUUUGGCUAAAGGGUAGAUUUCACAAACAUGCUUGGAAUCAAAAUAAAUUUCAAGAUUAAUUUUAGCAAGAACUUGAAGAGAACUGGAUGACGAGUGCCCAAGAUGCUAAUGCCAAAGAUUGGGAUGUUUACAAAUGGCAUAAGCCAAGGCUAGAUUUUGGUCUUGUGCUAGGUAGUAGAGGUCAUUAUGUUGCUUGCCCAAGCCAAUAGUCUUCCUUGUAGCAGUGUUUUACACAAUACAAAAAUUGGAAAAGAACAUCACUAUACAUUUAAAUGUCCAUGUUAGUUUACUAAAUGAUAGUAAAUUAACUUGAAAUUGUGAAACUUUGAGUACUUCAUCAAGUUUAAUGUGGGGUGAAAUAUUCAAUGAACUAAUCGACUUAAUAUGUGUUUGACCACCAUCUGGCAAACUAAUGGUGGUUAUCUUAUGCAAAUUUUUUAGAUCUAGUAAUUCAGUUGAAGAAGUCACAUGAUUUGCGGCUCCACUAUCAAUAAUCCAACACAUAUUUCUGAGUGUAGGUAAUCUUGAAUGAUUUUGGAUGAUAUAUUUAUACUUGUGGCAUUUGCAAAAUAUUGUGAGUUACCAUCAUUGUUUUUUUGAAUCAUGGCCAUUAGUUGGUCAUAUUCCUCAGUUGUGAGCCUUAAUCCGUCACUUGUUGGAAGAUAUUUUGCUUUUAUCUCCAUGACCUUGUUUGUUUCCACCUUCACAUUGUUUGCAUUUUAGUGACACUGAUUGGGAGACUUCACGUUCUUCCCAUGAAGCCUGUGACCUAUUGGAAAGCAAUAUAGGUAGUAACACUUCUCAAUGUUAUGAUAAUCACCGUCACAAUAAGAGCAAUGUAGCAAAGUUUUUUACCUUUAAACCUAGUGUGCUGGAGUCACCUUGUUGUGCCAAUCUGCAAGCAUGGCAUGACGGUUCAUGUUCCCAUGUUUGAUAUAAACUUCAACCUGUUUUUCUUAUUGAAGGACAAGUGAGUAAACUCGACAUGUAUCAGGUAGAGGUUGCAUAUCAAUAAGAUUUGUCCAUGAAUGGUAGCAUAACUAUCAUUCAAUCCCAUGAGAAACUGCAUAACUCUUUCUUUCUCAUCCUUUUCCUUGAGUUUCUCCAACCCUCCACAAGAGUAGGAUAACACUUCAUGAUAGGAUGAAAGUUCAUCCUAAAAAGCUUAAAGCUUUGUGUAGUAAACCGAAAUUGAUUGUUGGCUCACCUAUGUUCCAUGAUUUCUCGUUUGUUUUAAUAAAUUCUUGAAUUAUUUCCUUGAAAAAAGCAUUCUUUUAGAUCUACCCUAACUUUUGUUGAAGUUUCAACAUAAAUCACACUGUUGAUUAUGUCUGGAUGAAUGAAAUUCAAUAACCAUGAGAUCACCAUAUCAUUGCAUCAUUGCAUCAUUGCUAAGAAGGAAAACUAUCAUAUGUCAAUGGAGUUGGAGUCAGCUUGAUUGAACCUAUGACAAAUCCAAUCUUAUCUUUAGUACUCAAACUAAUUCUCAUACCCCGACUCCACGUGUUGUAGUUAUCUCCUUCAAGUACCUUAGAGAUGAGUACCAUACUCGGAUGGUUCGAGUGGUGUAGAGAGAAGGAAUGUGAGGCUUCUAUGGUAGCCUUAGACGAUGUCAACAAUCUCAUUCUGUUAUUAAUGUCCAUGGCAGCAACUGUAACAAGGAAUUAGGUUGCAAAAAUAUUUGGAAGAAUUCAAAGCCACCAAGUUUGGUGCUUUGAUACCAUGUCAAAAACAAAGUAAAACAGAAUAUUUUGGAAAUCUUCAGUAUAUUGAAUGUUUUGACUUACAAAGAAAAAAAUACAUAUAUAUAAAACAUCAGUUAGCCUAUUAUAGGAAACUAUGUGUAAACAGAUCAAUUACAAUCAAUCAAAAAAAUAAUCUCAUAUUAACAAAUCUUAUCCUAAAAUUAUGAGAUUCUUGAUUCUUUUCUUGUAAUAAGUUCCACGGUUGGAGUCAAAUAAAGCUCCAAUAAAUGUUCCAUUUUACCUUGAAUAUCUAGAAACUUCUUGAGCCCUGAGCAGCCAAAGAAAUUAAGAAUUUCAAGUGCUUCCAUUUUGAUGAUGCUCUAAAAAUUGCUAAGCUUUUUGCAGUUUUUCAAACUCAAUAAAAUAAGCUUGCUAAGCUUUCCAAUAGAUGGGUGGACCUAAAGCAAACUUGAACAACCAUCAAGAAUUAGUUUCUCCGGAUUGGGCGCACUAAAUGUGAUGUCUGGAAUUUCAAUUAGGUGUUGAAGAAGCUAUAACCAAAAAUAAAAAAGAAAAACCAAUAAUAAUAAUUACUUUAGUAUAUAAGCUUUCAUGGAGUUUAGAGAUUAACUAAAGAAGAAACAUGAAAAAAAUAAAAUAAAAUCACUCAUCAUACCAUGUCAUUUUCACAAAGUUGUUUUAAGCUGCUAUGACACAUGUUAAGUUCUACAAUGUCUUUUGCAUAAAAACUUUAAUAGUUUUUAUGUAAAAAUAAAAUAAAAUUUUAUCAUUUAAAUUUAUCAAACUUUAACCGUUAUACAUUCCAUCAUUUUAUCGUCUUGUAAAUUACUAUUGCUUUUUUUUUCCCACAAAUAAUAUAUUCAUGUUUAUCAUCUCACAAAUAAAUUUUAACUAGGAUUUAUAUUUAUUUUAAUUUUUUAAAUAUUUAUAAAUAUAAAACAUUACACAAUAAUUUAGUCCCAACUCAAGACUUUACUUUGUUCCACACCAUUUCAAAAUCCAAUGAUAAAAAAAUAUCGAUAAUCAUGAGUAUAUUGAUAUUUUGAUUUUAGGAAUAUAUCAUAGAUACGGAUAUUUUGACGUAAAAUGUCGAUGGGUCAAAAAUUUGAAUGUACUUAAUAAUAUAGAAGAAAUAAUGAUAAUUUGUAUAAGUAUUUUUUAUUUUAAAAUUUUGAUAAUUUUAUUCAUAAAUUUAUAUUUAUUUUGUAUUUAACACAGUAAUCAAAAUUAAUUUAUUUAUAAUAAUUUUAUUUGAAUUAAUUUAUAUAUAUAAUUAUAUUUGUUUAUAUAGAUAUAUGGUUUAGAGCCCGUUUGACAGUGAUUUUUAAAAGUGUUUCUACCCUUAAAAACACUUUUAAGUGUUUUUGGGAUGAAAAUAAAGUGUUUGGCAAAUUUUAAAAAACACUUUUGAAAAUCUGGAAAAACACUUAAAGUGAUUUUUAGAGAAUCACUUAACAGGUGUUUUUUUUUAAAAACACUUCAAUUUUUUUGAAAUAUUCCAAAAAUGCCCCCCAGUGGUCAUAUAUUGUUUUACUUUUAAAAUUAUCUUUUAUUCAAUGUUUUUUUUUUUUUUAUUGAUUUAGAUGUUUUUUGUAAAUAUUUUUUAAAAUUUUAGUAUAGUGAUAAAAAAAUUAUUAUUUUUAAUUAGAAAAGUCUUUUUCUUUUUUAGAAAUUAAUAGGUAAAAUCAUAUAUUGUUUUAAUUUUAAAAUUAUCUUUUAUUCAAUGUUAUUUUUUUAGUGAUUUAGAUGUUUUUUCAUUAAUAAAAAGUUUUUUUGUUUAUCAUACCAUUUUUUUUAAUUAAAAUUGUAUGUCCUUUUUGGUAAUUUAUUAAUAUUAAAAGUGUUUUUAUAUUUAUACAAUAUAUUAUCAAAAACACUUUAGAAUCAUUUUUUCUGAUUAUCAUAAAAGUGUUUUUCACAUAAACACUACAGUAGAAAACACUUCAAAUAAAAACACUUCCACUAGAAUCACUACCAAACGGGCUCUUAUAUAUGUAAUGCUGAGAAUGAACAUAUAUAUUAAAUAUGUUCGGUUUAUAAUGUAAAACAUGGUUUUCCCAAGCUCGAGGUUUUACCUUUAAAGUGAGCGCAAUGCGUGGGCUGGGAAGUGAGCCCAUUGCAAGAUUUUUGAAAAAUAAAUUAAUAUUUUAAUAUCCCUCACUUAAAAAUAAAUUCUCUUAUAGCAUGUUGAGACAAAAUAAAUAAAUAAAUAAAUAAUGGUCUAUAGAAAGCAGGUGGGUCAACAAGGACCCUUUGUCUUCGAUGAUCUCACUGGCAUUUAAUUUACUUGUUGCAGAAACUGCCUGUUCCUUACACUCUGCGAGUUUUGCUCAGACUUGACUUUCACAACUCAAAUUUCAGAAUCCAUCUUCUCUGCCGCCUCGUAAUGGCUGAUCCUUCUUUCCAACGGAGCUAUGAUGUGUUCCUGAGCUUUAGAGGAGAAGACACCCGCAAUAGCUUCACUGCCCAUCUCUAUAAGGAGCUACGCACCAAAGGAAUCAACACGUUCAUUGACGAUGACAAGCUUGAGAGGGGUGAUGUCAUUUCUUCUGCGCUUGUUGCGGCUAUUCAAAACUCCAAGUUUUCUCUCGUUGUUUUGUCAGAAAAUUAUGCAUCUUCCGGGUGGUGUUUGGAGGAGCUGGUGAAGAUUCUAGAGUGCAUGAGAACCAUGGGACAGAGGGUUCUCCCCAUUUUCUACGAUGUGGAUCCCUCGCAUGUAAGACAGCACAACGGAAAAUUUGGAGAAGCACUGGCUAAACAUGAAGAAAAUUUGAGAACUAUGGAGAGGGUGCCGAUUUGGAGGGAUGCUCUCACUCAAGUUGCCAAUUUAUCCGGUUGGGAUUCCAGGAAUAAGUAAUUCUCUACAGCUUUCCCAUCAUCAUCUUCAUCCUCAUAUCACUAAUUUCAAUAUAUGCAUCUGUUCAUUAAUUAUCUUGUUUACUUUAAUUUUACCUUUCUCUUUUUGAGUGAUGAACUAAUUUCAUGUUUAUACUUCAAAUUUGGCAGGCAUGAGCCUAUGCUUAUCAAGGGAAUUGCCACUUAUAUUUGGAAUAAAUUGUUUAGUAGAUCCUCAAAUUAUGCUGAUCAGAACCUAGUUGGAAUAGAAUCUAGCAUACGAGAAAUAAAAUCCCUGCUAUUUACCGAGUCUCUAGAUGUUCGCAUGGUGGGGAUUUGGGGCAUGGGCGGCAUAGGUAAAACAACCCUUGCCAGAGCUGUUUAUAACCAAAUCUCUCAUCAAUUUGAAGCUUGCUGCUUUCUUGAAAAUGUCAGUGAUUAUUUGGAAAAGCAAGAUUUCCUUAGCUUGCAAAAGAAAUAUCUUUCUCAACUAUUGGAAGAUGAAAAUCUAAAUACAAAAGGAUGCAUCUCUAUAAAGGCUUUGCUUUGUUCUAAAAAGGUUCUCAUUGUCAUUGAUGAUGUGAACAAUUCAAAAAUAUUAGAAGACUUGAUUGGGAAGCAUGGUUGGUUUGGUAUCGGAAGUAGAAUCAUCAUAACAACAAGAAAUAAGCAGUUGCUAGUUACACAUGGGGUGAAUGAAGUCUAUCAGGCUGAAAAAUUAAAUGAUGAUAAUGCGGUUGAGCUCUUCAGUCGAUAUGCCUUUAAAAAAGCCCAUCCUAUAGAUGAUUAUGUGGAGCUCUCUCAAUGUAUAGUGGUUUAUGCUCAGGGCCUUCCAUUAGCUCUUCGAGUUUUAGGUUCAUUUUUAUUUGAUAAGAGCAAACGGCAAUGGGAAAGUCAGUUGGAUAAACUAAAAAAAAUUCCUAAGAAGGAAAUUCAAGAUGUGCUUCGAGUAAGUUUUGAUGGGUUGGAAGAUAACGAGAGAGAUAUAUUUUUGGACAUCGCAUGUUUCUUUCAAGGGCAUGAUAAAGAUUAUGUAAUGGAAAUAUUCAGAUCUUGUGGUUUCUUCCCUGAUAUUGGAAUAAGAGUUCUCAUUGAGAAGUCUCUUAUAUCUGUUGUUGAGAAUAAAUUGAUGAUGCACAAUUUGUUACAAAAAAUGGGUCGGGAAAUUGUUCGUGAAGCAUCUCCUAAGGAACCUGGAAAACGCAGCAGGUUGUGGAUUCAUGAUGAUGUAAAUCAUGUAUUGACAAAAAAAACGGUAAGAGACAAAUGUAUAAACCCUUUUUUUAUAUAUAUAGGUAAUUAGGUUGGUCUAAAGUGCAACUUAGGAAGUACCAACUUUGUUUAAUUGCGUAGUUUAGUAUGUAUAUAAUUUUACUCACUUAUCCAUUACUCUUUUUUGCUAGGGAACCGAAGAAGUUGAAGGAAUAUCCCUUGACUUGUCCAGUUUGAAAGAGAUAAAUUUCACUAAUGAAGCUUUUGCACCGAUGAAUAGGCUCAGAUUGCUCAAAGUCUAUACAUUGAAUUUUCUCAUGGACUCCAAAAGAGAGAAGUGUAAAGUGCACUUUUCCCGAGGCUUUAAAUUUCACUGCGAAGAACUGAGGCACCUAUAUUGGUAUGAAUACCCUUUGAAAUCACUGCCCAAUGAUUUUAACCUCAAGAAUCUUGUUGACCUCAGCAUGCCUUAUAGCCAAAUAAAACAACUUUGGAAAGGGACCAAGGUAUCGCUAUGAUUUAUCCAUGUUAUUUUAUUUAGAUUGUAUGUACCGUUCAUGAAAAAUCAUCUUCUUAAGCCUUGUUUCUUUCACUGCAGGUUCUUGAAAACUUGAAGUUCAUGAAUCUCAAGCACUCCAAAUUCUUAACGGAAACCCCGGAUUUCUCAAGGGUUACCAACCUUGAACGGUUAGUUUUAAAAGGUUGUAUAUCUUUGUAUAAGGUUCACCCAUCACUUGGAGAUUUGAACAAACUCAAUUUCUUGAGUUUGAAAAAUUGCAAAAUGCUGAAGAGUCUUCCAAGUUGCAUUUGUGAUUUGAAAUGCCUUGAAGUAUUUAUUCUUUCUGGUUGCUCAAAAUUUGAAGAGUUACCUGAGAAUUUUGGGAACUUAGAAAUGUUGAAGGAAUUUUGUGCGGAUGGAACUGCUAUUAGGGUACUUCCCUCCUCUUUUUCUUUAUUGAGAAACCUUGAAAUAUUAUCCUUUGAGAGAUGUAAAGGACCACCACCAUCUACCUCAUGGUGGUUGCCAAGAAGAAGUUCAAAUUUCAGUAAUUUCGUAUUGUCUCCUUUGUCAAGUUUAAGCUCCUUAAAAACUCUAAGCCUAAGUGCCUGCAAUAUAUCAGAUGGAGCAACUCUUGAUAGUCUUGGCUUCUUAUCUUCACUGGAAGAUUUAGAUUUAAGUGAGAACAACUUUGUUACUCUGCCUUCAAAUAUCAGCCGACUUCCUCACUUGAAAAUGCUUGGGUUGGAAAAUUGUAAAAGAUUGCAAGCACUGCCAGAGCUUCCAACAAGCAUACGUAGUAUAAUGGCUCGUAAUUGCACAUCAUUGGAAACAAUCUCAAAUCAAUCAUUUAGCUCCCUACUAAUGACUGUCAGAUUGAAGGAACAUAUCUAUUGCCCAAUAAAUCGGGUGAGAUUUUCCUCCGGUAUAUCAUAAUUCAAUUUCCCACUAAAUAAUGCACAAUUUAAUUUCAUUUGUGGUAGUGUAAAAUAAAUGUCGAAUGAUUUAAGAUGGUAAAGCAGCAAGCAAUUUCUAUCUCUACUAACAUCCUCAUCAUGUUCAUUCUACAGGAUGGACUUUUAGUUCCUGCACUUAGUGCAGUUGUUUUUGGGAGUAGAAUACCAGACUGGAUAAGGUACCAGAGCUCAGGGAGUGAAGUAAAAGCAGAGCUACCUCCAAACUGGUUUGAUUCCAACUUCCUGGGUCUUGCUUUGUGUGUUGUCACUGUUCCCAGGCUGGUGUCACUUGCUGAUUUUUUUGGUCUUUUUUGGAGAUCAUGUACCUUGUUCUAUUCCACAUCCAGUCACGCUUCUUCCUCCUUUGAUGUUUACACUUAUCCAAAUCAUCUUAAGGGAAAGGUGGAGUCAGAUCACUUGUGGCUGGUUUAUGUACCGCUUCCCCACUUCAUCAAUUGGCAGCAAGUCACUCACAUCAAGGCUUCAUUCAGAAUAACCACCUUCAUGCGCCUUAAUGUAAUUAAGGAAUGUGGGAUUGGUCUAGUGUAUGUUAAUGAAGAGUUGAAUUACUCUCCCUUCUCUCCUCCUCCUAAUGAGUCAUCUGUUGUCCUUCAAGAAAUCCAUGGGGAGGGAUCUAGUGGAAGUGGGAGCUCUAAUAUUGAUGGCUCAGAAUCAGAGAACUCCGAUUACUAUUCUGCUGAUGAGGGGGAACCCUCUGCACCCCUGCUGUAAGGAUCACUCUCAAUCAGAGAUGUGGCCAGAGAAACACUUGCAAUGCAGCCAUUAUCAGAGCAUCCCUUGAUGAGGAGGAACUAGCCAGACAAAUGCCUGAUUUGCACCCAAAUCUUUCCAUAACAACUCUUGGUGAGUUGUGUGCUUCCUUUGUUUCUUUUCCUGAAACUGACUUUGAGUUGCUUAGCAAAAUACCUUACUUUCUAGUAUUCUGGAAACAUCAUAACUGUUGGAGUUUUUGGGUUGUGUAUUAGUGGUGUUGCUGACUAGUUUUUGGAGUUUGAUACAUGUUGGGUUGUUGUUACUGGUUUUUGCUUCAAGUUUGCCUUGAUACAUGUUGAGUUGUUUAGCAAACUCUCUUGACAGAUUUUGGUUUUCUUUCGCACAAGGUAUUGUGAUACAUCUCUGUUCAUAUUCCCAUUUUCAUUCUUAUUCUCAUGUACUAAACAUAUACCCUUAAGGGCAUAUGUUCUCUUCCAAUGUUAGAACGAAACAGAUCAUGAUCAUUGUUUUUGGGAUAUGUUCUUUUAUCUGAAUAUGAUAGAGCUAUUACAGUUAAUGGUUACUUCGUAAGAAUUGUAAAUUCUUCCAUUGAUAUUAUACCAUAUUUUGUACUUUCAUCUUGAUGGGUUCUAAGGUAAUCCAUGGCUCAUUUUUCAUUCAUUUUGUUAGUAAUGAUGUAUAAGAUACUCGUAGCCAAUGUUUUGAAAAUCAGACCAGUCGUCCAACCGAUUGAACCGUCAAUCAGCCAUCUCUCUAGUCUGAUUUGCCCUAAGGAACUGUUUUCAUAUUAAGCCAGUGUUGAACUGCUUGAGCCGGUCUGGUUUACCCUAGGGAAUCAUUUUUAUAUUAUACCGAUGUUGAAUUGCUCGAGUCGAUGGUUGGACCAUCUAAUUGGAUGGACUGUCCGGCUUCCUAAGAGUAGUCAAGCCCAAAACCAGGCCAAAUUUGCACUUGUUGUGGAAGCCCAAUAGGCGUCACAACCAAUCACCCAUUAAAAGUCGAAACAGAUUGAGUCCAAAAGGGUUUGAUGAUCAGUCAUUAUGGUCCGACUAGUAAAUCAUAAACUAGUAACUUUUCUAAUUCAAUAAUCGAUUCGGUUUUGAAAAUAUUGCUUAUAACUUAGGUUGUUUCUUCAUUUUCUACCGAGAAUGUUGUCUUAUAAUGCAGGCAAACUAUCACCAAUGGAGAAAACAUAGAGAAAAGAAGAGUUUUAUUUUUCAAUUUGUUUAGCCAAUAAAUACCUUUCUUUAAUUUACUUUUCAAAUAUGAUGACGUUCAGAAAUUAGGAAAACUUGCCCAUGAAAAUAUAAAACUUGGGUCUGCUCUGGAUUAAAGAGAAAUCAGACUUGGCGGUACAUGGAUGUUUGCCCAAAUAUAUGAAAUUAAUUUAAGUGAAAUUAGGGGAAAAGUAUACUAAUACCUGGAUUCUAGCAUAUAGUAAUGGUUAGGCUGGGAACUUGAAAAUAAAUUUUUUGUUCUUUGGAACUGAAAUAAUUUUCAGUUGACAGAUUUUAUUAUUCGAAACAAUUUUAUGGAGAAUUUAUUCUUAAAACAUAAUAUUUUUUAAGAAUAUAUUGAAGGUGUUUUCUUAAAAUAUUAUAAGAAAUAAUUGAAAAUGUAAAGAAUAUUUUAAAUAUUUUUGCAUUAUACAAUAUUUUCAUGAAAAACAAAUCAAGAAAAUUGCUUUUUCAAUACAAUAUUUUUAAGAACUAUUUUUAUUUAUUUUUUAAAUGUUAUCUAAGAAAACCCUAUACCUAAAAAAAGUCGCCAUAAAGCAUAGAAACAAAACGGAGGCAUAAUACCUCCGGAGGCACUGUAGAAUUUUUCAGCAUAAAAAGGUUGUUGUUAUUCUGAUUUGUUAGGUCAGUCUAGGUAACAAAACCUAAGCUAUCCCUUGUAUAUUUCAUGACAUAAGUUUAAGUAAAGAGGUAUAAUUAGCAAAUGAUCAUUCUCUUCCCCUUACUUCCAUCCUCCUCACUGUCCUAAGAAAAAUUUAGCAUCUUCAACCUUGUACUGCGUGUGCUCUCGGGUCCUAUGGCUUUGUAUCUAAUCCCCAUUUGCAAAACGUUCAGUGCGUGAAGCCUAAGGGUCUGAACAAAAAAUCAUGGUAUAAAAUGUGAACCAACCAAAAGGCUUUAUCCAAUUCUUGUGGCCAUGCAAAGCCCUUCUCUUUCUCUGCCCCACUUUCCACCCACACCUCUCACUCCACCCCCCUCACCUCCUCUCUCUCUCUCACCUCCCACUUCUCCAUGGCCACCGCCGCUGCCACCAAGCUCACGCCCCAUCUCCUCUCUCUCUCCUCCCCCCUCCGUCGCCGGAAACCCCUGCUGCACCACCUCCCUCCGCCGCUGCCCCGGAAUGACCGUUCUUCUGCCUUAACACUGGGACUCUCUAGCCGGAGAAUUACUUGCAAGGCGAC
This 107260-nucleotide long non-coding RNA is filed under the name Vitis vinifera (wine grape). RNAcentral describes it as "long non-coding RNA (VVIN_LNC007105)". The record is from RNAcentral. Lineage: Eukaryota; Viridiplantae; Streptophyta; Magnoliopsida; Vitales; Vitaceae.